Molecule: long non-coding RNA, 97498 nt
Filed under: Vitis vinifera (wine grape)
Lineage: Eukaryota; Viridiplantae; Streptophyta; Magnoliopsida; Vitales; Vitaceae
Description: long non-coding RNA (VVIN_LNC000787)
Source: RNAcentral
UUUGUUUCAUUUCUUUGCCCUUAAGGAAUUUGGAGUUGCUUUUUUCAGUUUUCUUUCCUAUGAAAAUAAUCGAGAUGUUUAAUGUUCCAGGCCUCCAUGUAUUUUAUAUUCCUUCAUUUCUCUGCUUUGACAAAUGCUCACAAUCUGAUCAGCAGAAAGGUUAUAACAUUUGAAAAAGAAGUGGUUUAUUUUUGUUUUUUUUAAGUACAAUAAUUUUCGUUUGGAUAAAUGGUCUGAAGGGUGUUUGUGUUUGGCUGAGUUCAUGGAAUUUUCAAGCUAAUUUGGGAUUUAUUCUCAAUUUCAAGAUCAUUGUGGAUACGUCAGAAAUUAAUGAAAUAUAAAUGGUGGAAUGUGAUUUUCUUGUUUAAGAAAAGUUUUUCUUUGAAAAUGCGGGUGCACCCGACCUACCUUAUUGUGCUAUUUGGAACACAAAACAUAAGUACAGGUAAUUUAUUAACUAAAUUGUACACUUUUUGAUAGUUCAAGGAGGUGGUUUUCUUCUUUUAGGGUGUCAGCUUUGGAAAUAAGAUGGAUCUACAAGUUUUUAUGUCUCAUCCUUAUAGGGAACUUGAAAGCAUGGAUGCACUUAUCUCCAUGGAAUUUGGCUGCCUUGAAAUCAAAUUAAGCUUUAUGCAUCAUUUGGAUGCUGAGAAACAAAUGGAAAUAGAAAAUUCGGAAUCUGACAAGUUUUUGUAGGGCAACUGGAUCUAAUCUCUCACUUGAAGCUUAAUUGGGGCAAAUGCUGAUCAUCUUUGAACCCAUUGAAAGUUCUAAUCUGUGCACAAUUCUAAUGUUUUUGUUUUCUUCAUUUCUUUUUCAACUCUUCAUAAUAGAUGUUGAAAGUUAAAACCGAGCUUACGUAGUCCAUCCAAGUGGAUGCAUAUAAAUUUAACAGAAACUGAAAUUCGAAGAAACUUAUUUUCCCUUUUGUAAAUGGUGUUUAAAAAGUCUGUGUAGUUUGGUUUUUUUCCGGGAAGAUCAGAUGAUUUUGUGAUCAUUUUUCUAUUUGCCUUGUCAUCAUGAGAUUUAAAUAUUUUAUUUUCUUAUAUAAUGCAUGUCAGGGUACCAUUCUGGCCUUACAUAAAGCUGAUGGUCAUCUGCUGGCUGGUGAUACCGCAGUUUGAUGGUUCAUAUUAUGUCUAUCAACACCUAGUUCAUCCAUGCUUGUCCAUGGAUCCACAAGUUGUCAUGAAUUGGCUCUUCAAUGAAUCAAAAAAGAAGUUUCAUAGUAGAGAAACCUUUCUUGUUUCAGCAGACCAAUAUACUAAGGAGAAUGGACCUGAAGCUUUGGAGAAACUACUUGCUAGGAAGGUAUGCCAUUAUAAGUAGGAUUAUCAACAAGUCAAACAGAGUUUUAUUUGAAAUGUUCAGGUAAAAAAUGACUAUAGCAGGUCAUCUAAAAUCAUUUGGUCUAAAUUCAUGUAUAUAUCUAUAUAUAAUUGUGUUCUCAUUUUUUCACAUAUGCAUGUGCAUUUAGAUUUACAUAAUUAUAUAUGCAUAAUCAGAUUCAACUGUGAUAGCCCGGAAUUUAAUUCAGUAUUCGACUCUUCUGGGAACAUGUUGGUUAUGGUUUCUCUCUCACUGUCCUCUUCUUUACACAUGACUUUUCAGUUGAGGAGCACAAAGCCUAAUGUUGAAGUGAAAGAGAUCAAAGCACCUGCAGCACCGGAGAAAAAAGGGGAACAGGUAAGUACUCUAAUGUGGCUAUUUAAUUUCUAUGGAGGCAGAUCCCCAGAGAAAUGCUGUUCAUGUAAAUUACUGAUGCAUUUGAUUCAAUGGCCACGGUUUUAAAAGAAAAACCACUUUAUGUAUGUUUCUGUGAAUGAGAGAACAAGUUUAUGGAUUAAAUGAUAUUUUUUAUGGUGAAAUAAUCAAUAAUUUUCAAAAUAAUAAUACAUUCCUGCAUGUUUUUGCAAUUCAUGAAUUCCUUUUAUGAUUGAUUCUUCUCACCUUUUUUCUCACCUCAGUGGAAGUGUGAAGAGCCUAAUGUUGCUGAAAAGGAGAUCCAAGUAGUCAAAGUAACAGAGAUAAAAAAUGGGGGGGAUGAAGCAAAGAGGGUAAGUUUUGCUUUUUAUUUAUAAAGUAGGCUGUCUUCACACAAGGAUUAUUAUUAUUAUUUUAAGACAUGAAUGUUGAAUGAUUUUGGAAUUGUCCUUGAAUCAUGUGAAGUAUGAAUGGCCUAAUGCUGCUAAGGAGGAGGUCAAAGUGACAGAAGUAACACAGAGAACAUUUGGUGGUACAGCACAGUGGGUAAGGUUUCUUCUCAUAUUUAAAUGGCUCCUUAUAUUUCACUAGGAUUAAUUUUGCCCCUACAAACUAUUUGGCUACAAGUUAAGAGAGAGUUCCAGAUGCUGAUAAAUCUGAGACAUAAGUAAUGAACGAAUUUAGACACAUGCACAACUCUUGUGUGAAACACAAUGAGAGUGGAAAAUAGCUAAGUUCAAAAAUGGCCAAAUACUAUUUUGUAGUUCCCCCUACUGCUUAAGUAAUUUUUGUCAUCCUUUGUGAAUGGAAAAUGCAGUCCCUUCAGUAAUUCCAUUAUAUUCAUGACUUGGUGAAGCAUAUAACCAUUAGUGUCUUACCCUAAGUCGACCUUUAAUGAUGAUCCAUUGAGAUGGGUCUGACUUUUGUCAACCCUCUUAUUCCCUUGAUCAUAGAGGUGAAACUUAGGGGGCUUAACCCACUUUUCAAUCUUAUUGGAUAUAUGGCACGUGGUAUCCUCUUCAUCUUGAAAGAGUGAAGUGGUCAUACUCUUUCCUCUGAGUCCAUUGUAGCCAUGCACUUCUGGCUUAUUGGGCUGAGUGAAAGGAUUCCCUUCUGCUUCAAAUCAUAGAGAGAUAUGCCAUGGUCAGCCUCUUUAAUUCAAGGGAUUGAAGUACUCAAAUCCAUUUCUCUGUAUCCAUCUUAGUUCUGCAUUCAUGUCUCAUGGUUAACCAAGAAGAUCCAGCCUCCAUCCAUGAGAUCAGCAUCUGCAGGUUUAUGACACCACCCUUCCUUGGCAUAGGAAAGGGAUCAUUAAGCCGUGUGUCGGAUGACAGAAGUCAUCAUUCAGGUUAUCUUGAGAACUAAGGAAGUUGGAAUUCUAAUUAUUGCAUAUGGUUCUUGAUGUUUAGCCAAUAUACUAUAGGAUUUUAAGCAUCAUGCUCACGUGCAUUGUGGUUGUUUAUCAGCUAUAUGGUUUAUCAAAAUGAGGGACUGAUUAUGGUCAUAAGUACCUUUUUCCCAUUAAUUUCUUGCAUGUGCUCUGCUGAGAUUAUGUUUUUGACAGUCCAAAUCAGGGCAAACCAACAAACAGCUUUAUGUUAACUUUUACAAACUGCCACAUUUUCAGGUUAAACAAACAGAGAUAAAUCUUGGUGAAACUAGAAGUAAUACAACCUGUUCUGUGGAGAUAAAAGAAAGGGCAGCAGUACUGGUGGCUGCAGAAAUUGAGGCAUGUAGAGACGAUAGAACCCCCAAGAUACCUCUUCAUGAGAAAGUCCAGAAAGAGUGGGCUUGUGCUGUAUGCCAGUUCACAACCCAAACUGAAGCGACCUUCAAUUCCCACCUUCAAGGGAAGAGACAUCAGGCCAUUUCUGAGCAGCUGAGAGCCAAAAACCAGGCAACCAAAACCAAUUGUUCCCCAUCUGCUUCAAUGGCCAAGAAAUCUGAUCAGUCCACCAAAGAGGAGCAACCAAAGUGUACUUCCAACAAUCUGAAUUCCAAAAACAAUGGAAUCUCAGCUGCUUCAACAGUGAAGAAACUUGAUGAGACCAAAGAUGAUGAGCAACAAAAGUCUGCAUCUAGCAAUGGACCAAACCAGAAGAAUAACAAAAAGCAAGAGGUACAGACCAAUGAGCAAGGCCAUCAGAAGAACUCAAGGCAAACUGGUGAUGGAAUGAAAGAGUUGAGAUCAUGGUGCAAUAUCUGUAAUGUAAGCUGCACAAGGGAGCUUGACCUGGCCUCUCAUCUCAAUGGAAGGAGGCACUUUGAUAGGAUAAAGCAGCUGUCUGAAUUAUGGUGCAGUAACUGCAAUGUAAGGUGCAACAGUGAGGUUGAUAUGGCCUCUCACCGAAAUGGGAGGAGGCACUUGGAGCAGCUGAAGGAACAGUUAGGAUUAUGGUGCAGUAUCUGUAGUGUGAGUUGCAACAGCAAGGUGGACAUGGAUUCUCACCUAAAUGGGAAGAGUCACUCGGAUCAGAUCAAGGACCAGUUAAGAUUAUGGUGUGGGGCAUGUAAUGUAACCUGCAAGAGUGAGCGCAACAUGGCCUUUCAUCUGAAUGGGAGGAAGCACUUAGAGAAGAAGGGGAAUACCUGAUUUGCUCUUCAGAUUAUUGAUACUUACAAAUGGUUUUAGUUAGAAGCAUACAGACCAGUGGGUGGUGCUCACAGAUGCCUCUAUUUUGUUGUAUGAAGUAAAAACAGUAUUUCCAUGUCCAGAAAUCAACCACUUGUUUAGUGCAUGCAUGGCUGGUUCAAAAUUAAACCUAAUUGUGAAUGACUAGGAGCAGGGAGGGAAAAAUUGAAGUGAAGAAUGUAAGAUUAUGGCUUCAUUUUUAUUUUUUCCUCUUCUGAAAAUUGUAAGAUUGUGUUAGGAGGAGCUGGAAUGGGUUCAAAUCAGGAAUUAAGACCCAGUUCCAAGACAUGGAAAGUGUCUUUAGAUUAUGUUAAGUUAUUUCCAUUUUUUUUUCUUUAUUUACGGUAAGAGGGAGCAUAAGGAACGAAAAUGAAUAUUUUUUUUUUUUCGAAUAAAAAUGAAUUUGAUAAUUUCAAUUAUUGUGUUUGGAUGUAUUUCGGAAUGUAAGAUUAAAAUAAUUAUUUGUUUUCAUUUUAGUGUUUGAUAAUAAUGAAAGUAUGAAUUAAAAAAUAAAUUGAUAAUAAUAUUCUUAUAUUUAAUUUAAAAUAUAUAUAUAUUUUUUAUUUUAGAAGAAUAUGGGUUAAAAGUUUUUUUUUUUUUUUAAAUAAUAAGCUUAAGAAAAAUAAUUUUUACUCAAUAAAUAAAAUUAAUCAUACAAAGUCAUAAAAACCAAACCAAAAUAUAAGGGUAAAAUAAUAAUUUUAAACUAUUCAUUUAAGUUAUCCAAAUGCAUUCCGACUCUUCAUUCUCUUAUACCAAAUACCGUCUUUAAGUAUUUGUCAAACUUAUUUUUUUGCAAAAUAUCAAUAUUUUACUAAUAUUUUUAUCGAUUAUUUGCCGAUAUUUAUCGCCACGUCACCAAUUCUUUGAGUUUGACUUUCAAAAUUUUGAAAUGAUCUUUGAAGUCCAGUUCAGCCCAAAUCACUACACCCAUGAACUCAUCUACAAAAGGGAACGGCUGGGCCACCACACUAAUAUGGCCCAUACAUGGGACCUCGUAAAAGAAUACCCAUCUUCAAAAAUAGGGACCAUAUUAAAUUAUUAAUGUAGCUAUAGGAAGCAUUUGAGGACAAGGGUUAUGAUUUUUCCCUUUUCUUUUUCUCCUUAAUUUUCACAUCACCCAACAACACCACUCUUAAUUCACACAAAUUUGAAGGUUUGGAAUGAGACUUCUUCAUAAUUAUAUUGUAAUUAUGUUAUAAUAACCAUGUCGUUUUUGGAUUUAUUUAUUCAGUCCAUCUAAAUCUUUUGUUUAUUCGCGUCAAAACAAUAUAUUUAUAAUCGAAUCCAUUUAUGACAUGUUCAUCUUUUAUAAAUUCAUUAAUUUUAUAUAUUUAAAAUUUAUAAAAGUUAAAUAUAUUUUUUCAAUUAUGAAUAUCAUAUUACUAAAAUAUUAAAUAACUAAUUAACUUGAAAUGUUUUAUAUUUCAUUAAUUAUUUUAUAAUUACAAAAUUAAGUGAAAUAAUAAAUAGGUUAAAAUAUAUAUUUUAUUUUAGUUAAAAAUUAUAAAUUGUUAUUGAGACACAUAACUACUAAAAUUCUACCCAUUUGACUAUCAAACAAACAACUUAAGUUUUUAGUCAUAAUUUAAGCUUAUGAUAAACUCUAUUUACAAAAAUUAGAAACCAAAAUCAAAUUCUUCCUAGACUCAAAAAUAUAAAGACAAUCUUUUAACUUUAGAAGAGAACUAUCAUCUAAGAUAAGGGUAACACAUCCCAUUGCCUGUACAACAAUUCUUGCUUCAAAAGCUAAUGUUAGGUACAUAUCCCUAUCAUUCAACCUUUCCCUUAGCUAAAACCCCUAUAAAGAAUUAUAAACAUGAUCAAUGGCUCCAAAAUUUAUCCACCAAGAGUUAGUGGAAUCUAAUACUAAACAUGAUUCAACUAAAAGAGAAUGAUGCAUACCUGACUGUCUCUUUAAGAACUAAGGGCAUUCCUUUUUCUAAUGGCCUUUUUUACCACAAAGGAAACAUUUGUCAUGACCCUUACUCUUCUUCUUCUUCUCUUGCCCUUGAACUUUCCCUUCUGUUUGGUGAAUUCUAUAAUGUUCUUAUUUUGGUUAGAAGAACCUAAAGAACACUUAACUGCCAUAUAAAUACCUCUCUGAUCCUUGAGAAUUCCCUCAAUCAUUUUGUGUUCUCUCAUCAGUUCGGUUAUAGUUUAAGAAAAAAAUUGUUUUUUUUAUGUGACUAAACUUGGAAUGAAUGUCCAAGUUGCAUACAUACUCGGGUUGAGAUCAAGUCAUAAUGUAGUUUAAGAAAAAUAUUUUUUAUUUUUUAUUUUUAUUUUUUAUCUGAUUGAACUUGGAAUGAAUUUCUAAGCUACUUACGUAUCCAGGAUGGGAUCAAGUUCUAACAUAGUCACAAUGCAGUUCAAGAAUUAUUUUUUUUUCUUUUUUUGUGCUCCAACUUUUGCCAAGACUAAAGAUCUUAAUUUUGCGAGCAUGUCCUAACUUUUGCCUAGGUCGCCUUUCCAAGUUUUCAAUUUAGCAAACUAGGUUUUUUUUUUUCUUUUUAGUUCUCUAACUUUUGCCAAGACUAAAGAUUUUAAUCUUGUAAGCAUGUCAUAACUUUUACAUAAGUCGAAUUUUUAGGUUUUCAUAGUGCUGGAUUUUUUUUUUGUUUUUUGUUUUUUUUUUGUGUCGUAGUCAAUUUAAGCUCAUAUGGGUUGGAAGCGAUGUGUAGUUUGUUGGGAUUGAGCCCUUAAAAGCAAGACAUGAUGUAAUAAAGUUAAACUUAACUAUCCCCUUACUAUCCUUUUGGUGUAUCAACAUUGAUUUAAACAUUCAACCCAUAUCUCUUACAUUGUAUAUGAUUUAGAAGCAUUAGGAGUUGUACAGAAGAUACAAGUUAUGUGUUCUUUGUAAGUAGGUGAGUUAUCCAUAGUCAUUUCAUGGAUUUGGGCAAUCUAGUAGAGACUAUAGUGCACCACCUCCUAAUUGAAGGGAUGACUUGUCUUGGCCGUUGGGAUGAGUUUCCUAUGGUGAGCGUACUAGUGUAUAUGAUGCACAUUGGAUAGGACCUAUGACAAAUCAUGAUGCAAGGCUAUCAAUUGUCAUGAUUCACCAAGUUACUAUACUACAUGGACUCUCAACCUUGAGAGGACAUUGAACCUGUGUCAAAAUCAAUAGAAAGUUUUGACCUAUGGGCGAGACCCUAAAGUAGUCAUAUAUCCUUAUGAAUUAGGUCAUUGUUGAUGGAGGCUAGUGAUAAUAGGCAUUCUCAAUAGAGGCACCAUGAUAUGUCAUGCGAUUGAGAUGGUGUGUCCCUUUGGGUGAUCCAAGGAACAUGUGAUCAUGAAAUUUGUGGCCACAGUAAUUCCUUUAGUGGAAUUUGACAUAUGCUCAAGGAUUUGAGAGAUAAUAUUGAUAGGUGAUAACACUAUCUUGUUAGAUUAUAGACACCAGUUUCAUGGGGAAUCUGCAUGUAGUGGAUAGUAGGUCAUGAAUGCGAGCUUUGUCUCGUUGUUAUUUACAUAAGGUACUGGAGUGUAGUUGAUUCUCUUUAGUAGAAUGUUAAAUCAACUUCAAAAUUGGAUUAUGAGGGAGCCAGUACUCCUAUGGGUCUCAAUGGUCCCCACUCUAAGCUUAUAUACCAUGAUGACAUAAUUUAUGAGGGUUGGAUUGGCUUUAGGUUCAUUCUUAUGCAUAAGGGCAUUUUGGUAAUUACUCAAGGUUGCAUAGGGGAUAAUAAAUAAGGUCUCUAGAUUGGACUAAUUGAUUAAUUAGAUGGCCUUAUGUGGUUAAUUAAUCAAUUAAGACAUGUUAGGGCUAGAUUAAGUGACUCAAGCCUUGAUGGGUUCAAGUCACUUAAGCCUAGUGGGUAACCGUAUAAAUACCCCCUUAUGGGUUAGGGUUUUCUAAUGACUUUUAGUUAGUCAUCUUCCACUUUUAGAAAAAUAGAGAGAGUCAAAGCUUCCUCCUUUCCACUGCCCACACUUUGGAAUGCCAAGAUCGUGGAUCGAGUCAUCGAACGAAAGAUCUUGGGUGUAUGAGACCUUCGAACUCUUUAGGCUUCUUCUUCGUUGGAUGGAUUUUGAUCUAGGAACAUCUAGAUCACAUGUAUGUGUUAUAAAAUUUGGUUAAUUCAACCUAAGGUAAUCAUCCUAGAGAAGGGGCGAAUAGGGUGAUGAUCUUUUUUUGAAAAUUUAAAUUAUGUGAAUGCAAGAGACAAUUAUAUGCAAAAUAUAUAGCAAAACCAUAUAAAAACAAUUGCAUAUAAAGUAAAAGGGUAAGGAAGAGAGAAAAUAAACACAAGAUUUUUAUAGCGAUUCAGUGCAACCCGACCUUCAUCCAUUCUCCUCUAGCUUCAAUCCCAAACUUGAGGUUCCACUAAUUUAAGGCUUCCAACCCAAGCCUUCAAGCAAUACAAUCGGAUUAUGGUUCCAAUCAAACCUCUUGAAAUUUUAGUUCUAAGCACAUUUUACAAUCUUCAAGAGAUACCUCACUCUUAAACAACUCCUUAAGUGAUACCCCACACUUGAGAAUCCCUAAGUGAUACCUCACACUUAGAUUUUUCAUCUCAAAGAUUUAUAAAUGAAGAUAGGAAAUUGUUAGCCCAAGGGCUCUCCUAAUCGGGUUUUGAUGAUAAAAAAUCAUGGUUAAAUGACUAAUUGGUUUAAUGGUUAAGAAUCUCAGGCAUAAACUUGAAAAUUCAUCAAAAGACCAAAUGGAUACAAGAUCGAGACGUUUGGAAGACUUGUGAUCAUAGGAAACUAAUGUAAGAUGAAUGCAUGAGUACACUUAGGAUUUUCAUACCGUUUCAUGCAAUUUAGAAAACUCGGUUUAUUCUUUAAAACUUCAAUUUCAUUAAAACUUGAGUUUUAACAAAUGUACCUUAGGCAAAAUGUUUUAAAAUUGGCAUAAUAAUUCACCUAAAAACCUUGCUUAAGUGUUAGAAAAGAAAGGAAUUGAAAAAUAUAGGUUUUCGGGGCCAAAAGGCUCAACCGAUCGAGGCUAUGACCAACCUGCUCAACCGGUUGGGGAAUCGGUCGACCGGUUGCCCCUGUCCGGUCGAGGUUCGAUAGAGGGAUGCACAAAAUUUUCUUUCUCUCCCAGUAGCCUUCUCUUCUCGGUCGAGGUCUGGUUGAGGACCGAUCAAGGUUCGAUCGAGGCAACGGUAACCUGUCAAGCAUUAAAUGUUCCAACGGCUAGUGAACCGGUCAACCCCUAGCUCGACCAGUUGAGGUUACCUUUUGCUGUUUUUGGCUCCCGAGCUUAGAAACCUAUAAAUUGAGAGCUCCACUUUAUUUAUUGACGAGAGAACACUUGCAAUCAAUUGUCUACCUACCUGUUCUUGAUCAAAAAACUCUCAUUUCUUUCUUUGUGCAUUAAAUCAUCACUUGCAUAUCCUUUAGUGCACUCUUAUGUGUCAUCCUAGCUUUGUCUUAUAUUUGAGCUAUCCUUAAGCUAGGUUGAGGGAUUCAUUCUUGUAAAAACUGAGUGUCAAAGCCUUCAAGAGGUUUAAAUCUUGAAGAGAUUGUGUAAGAGCCCAUUGGAGCCAGAAUCCAAGUGUAAGAAGAUUGGAAGCUUGGUUGAAGCUUCAAGUUAGUGGAACCCUCACUCGGUUAAAAGAUUGAGGAGAGUGGAUGUAGGGAAGGAAGUGUCGAACCACUAUAAAACCCAAGUUUGAAUUCUCUAACUCUAUCUCUUUAUUUUGCUUAUAUUGUGCUUGAACUCGUUGUGAUUGAAAAGAAUUUAAAAAACCCAAUUCAUCUCCCUCCCCCCUUUUAGGUGUUUUUCUUAAUUAAGCAUAGCAUUUAUUUUCUCAAUUGGUAUCAGAACUAGACCUCUUGUUUUUUUUUUUUUUUUAAAAAAAAAAAUUAAUCGUCUAAGAGGAUAUGACUAUUGCAUCAAGCUCAUCUCAAGCUAAAAUUUUUUCAAAACAUAGAGCUUCAUUCUUUACGGGAUCCGACUAUCCCUAUUGGAAAACUAGAAUGACUUGGUACUUACAAUCUACUGAUUUAGAUGUAUGAGACGUCAUUGAAGAUGGCCUAACUUUUCCCACUAAACUAGUUGAUGGAGUUUUGGUUCCAAAACCCAAGCAAGAAUGGAAUGAGCUUGAUAGAAAAAACUUUCAAUUAAAUGCUAAAGUCGUUUUUACUUUGCAAUGUGCUAUGGAUAGAAAUGAAUAUAAUAGAAUAUGUCAAUGCAAAUCGGCUAAAGAAAUUUAGAGGUUGCUUGAAAUAACUCAUGAAGGAACUAAUCAAGUGAAAGAGUCAAAAAUUAAUUUACUUGUUCAUAACUAUGAAUUGUUUUCAAUGAAAAAAAAUGAUACUAUUGUUGAGAUGAUUACUAGGUUCACCGACAUUGUCAAUGGUCUUGAAGCUUUGGGAAAAACCUACAAGGAAUCCGAGAAGGUGAUGAAGAUAUUGAGGUCUUUCCCAUCAAAGUGGCAUACCAAGGUCACUGCAAUUCAAGGAGCAAAAGACUUGACUAAGCUACCUAUGGAAGAGCUCAUAGGGUCAUUAAUGACAUAUGAGAUCAAUUUGACAAAGAAGCUACAAGAGGGUAAAGACAAAAAGAAGAAGAACAUAACCCUCAAAGCUAUAACCAAGGAAGAAGAAGAUGUUGAAGAAGAAAAACCAAGUGAUGAAGAUGAUGAUUUAGCCCUCAUCACAAGAAAGCUCAACAAAUACAUGAGAGGUGAAAGGUUUAGAGGAAGAAAGUUCACCUCUAGAAGAGAUCCUUCUAAAAAGGAAUCUUCAUCCCAUGGUGACAAGGAGAAAUGAGAAGAUAAAAGAGAUUUGAUAUGCUUCAAAUGCAAAAAACUGGGACACAUUAAAUAUGAUUGUCCACUCUACAAGAGUGAAGCCAAGAGAAGAAUGAAGAAGGCAAUGAUGGCCACUUGGAGCGAAAGUGAAGAAUCCUCCGAAGAAAAAAAGGAGAAGGAAGUAACAAACAUGUGCUUCAUGGCAAUAGAUGAUCUUGAUGAGGUAAACUCUAACUUUAGUGAUGAAGAUAUGUAUGAUGUUUUUGAAGAAUUAUAUGAGGAUUUUGAAAAACUUAGUUUGAAAAAUAAUUCUCUUAAAAAUAAAAUUCAAGAACUUGAAAAAGAACUUGAAGAAGUAAAAGAAAAAGUUUCAAUUGUUGAAAUAUCUAAAACUCAUCUUGAAAAAGAAAAUAAGAUUUUGAGAAGUGAAAAUGAGAUUUUGAAAAAGAAAAAUGAAUGGUUGACCUCCUCUCUUUCAAUUUUCUCUUGUGGAAAAAAAUAUUUUGAAAUGAUCUUAGUUAGCCAAAAAUGUAUUUUUGACAAACAAGGGUUAGGAUUCAAAUCUUCAAAAAAUCAAAAGUAUUUUAAAAACUACUUUGUAAAAGAAUCCGCAAGUGUAAGUCAUUCUACCACUUGCAACUUUUGUAGAAGAGGAGGAGACAUUAGUAGUACAUGUCUCUUAAGAAAUGGUUCUCAAAAGAAUUCAAAUGCUAAAGCUAAAAAGGUUUGGGUUGAGAAAUCCAAAGUCACUAACCCUCAAGGACCCAAAAAGAUAUUGGUACCUAAAUCAACUUAAAUUUUAUUUUGUAGGGUUCAAAGAAGGAUAAGUGGUUCUUGGAUAGUGGAUGCUCAAGACACAUGACCGGGGAUGAAUCCAAGUUUGUUUUCCUUACAAAGAGAAAGGGAGGAUAGGUUACCUUUGGAGACAAUGCAAAAGGAAGGAUCAUUGGUCAAGGCAACAUUGGUAAUGACACAUCCUCUCUUAUUGAAAGUGUUUUAUUAGUGGAUGGUUUAAAACAUAAUCUUUUGAACAUAAUUUAACUUUGUGACAAAGGUUUUAAAGUGAUUUUUGAAGCAUUUCAUUGCAUUAUCAAAGAUAUUCAAAAUGAUAAAACCAUCUUCAUGGGCCAUAGAUGUGAUAAUUUUUAUGCUAUAAAUAUUUCAAAUAUGAUGGCCAUGGUAAAUGUUUUUCAAGCAUGCAUGAUCAAAGUUGGUUGUAGCAUAGGAGGUUGGGACAUGCUAACAUGGACCUCAUUUCCCAACUCAACAAAGAAGCACUUGUUAGAGGCCUUCCCAAAAGAAAUUUUCAAAAAGACAAAGUUUGUGAAGCUUGUCAAAUGAGAAAGCAAAUCAAAAACUCUUUUAAAAACAAAAAUUUCAUUUCAAUAACUAGGCCUGCAUAUGGAUUUAUUUGGUCCCUCUAGGACACCAAACCUUGGAGGAAAAUCUUAUGCAUUUGUUAUUGUGGAUGACUUCUCUAGAUACACUUGGGUCUUAUUUUUAAGUCAAAAGAAUGAAGUCUUUUUUGAGUUUUCAAAGUUUUGCAACAAGGUUCAAAAUGAAAAAGGUUUUACAAUUUCUUGUAUAAGAAGUGAUCAUGGAGGAGAGUUUGAAAAUAUUGAUUUUGAAGACUAUUGCAAUGAGCAUGGUAUUAACCACAAAUUUUUGGCUCCUAGAACUCCUCAACAAAAUGGGGUAGUUGAAAGGAAAAAUAGAACUCUUCAAGAAAUGGCUAGAACCAUGCUAAAUGAAAACAAUUUACCAAAAUACUUUUGGGCCGAAGCAAUUAACACUUCUUGUUAUGUUUUAAAUAGAAUUUUAUUGAGGCCUAUUCUUAAAAAAACUCCCUAUAAGCUUCGGAAAAACAAGAAACCCAACAUUAGCUAUUUCAAAGUCUUUGGGUGCAAAUGCUUUAUAUUAAAAACCAAAGACAAUCUUGAAAAUUUUGAUGCAAAAUCGGAUGUUGGAAUUUUUCUUGGUUACUCAACUUUAAGUAAAGCCUUUAGAGUUUUUAACAAAAGAACCAUGGUUGUUGAGGAGUCCAUCCAUGUUAUUUUUUAUGAAUCUGACAAUUCUCUCCAAGAAAGAGAGAGCUUUGAUGAUGAUUUAGGCUUGGAGACCUCCAUGGGAAAAUUACAAAUUGAAGAUAGAAGGCAACAAGAAGAAGUUGUAGAGGAUCCCAAGAAAGAAGAAUCACCUUUGGCACUACCUCCUCCUCAACAAGUGCAAAGUGAAUCAAGCUAAAACCUUCCUAAAGAUUAGAAGUUUGUCAUCAACCACCCACAAAAUCAAAUUAUAGGUAAUCCAUCUAGUGGGGUAAGAACUAGAUCAUCUCUUAGAAACAUUUGCAAUAAUCUUGCUUUUAUCUCUCAAAUUGAACCUAAAAAUAUAAAUGAUACUCUAGUUGACGAAAAUUGGAUGAUUGCUAUGCAAGAAGAGUUAAAUCAAUUUGAAAGAAGUGAAGUAUGGGAAUUAGUGCCAAGACCUCAAAAUCAAAGUGUUAUUGGAACUAGAUGGGUCUUUAGAAAUAAAAUGGAUGAAAAUGGCAUAAUUAUAAGGAAUAAAGUAAGAUUGGUAGCCCAAGGUUUUAAUCAAGAAGAAGGGAUAGAUUAUGAAGAAACCUUUGCUCUCGUAGCUAGAUUGGAAGCCAUUAGGAUGCUACUUGCCUUUGCACGUUUUAAAGACUUUCUUUUAUAUCAAAUGGAUGUGAAAAGUGCUUUCUUAAAUGGCUUUAUAAAUGAAGAGGUAUAUGUUGAACAACCACCCGGUUUUCAAAGUUUUAACUUUCCUAAUCAUGUUUUUAAACUUAAAAAUGCACUUUAUGGUUUGAAACAAGCACUUAGAGCAUGGUAUGAAAGAUUGAGUAAAUUUCUUUUGAAAAAGGGUUUUAAAAUGGGAAAAAUUGACACAACUCUUUUCAUAAAAAUAAAGAAAAUGACAUGCUCUUAGUGCAAAUAUAUGUUGAUGAUAUCAUUUUUGGAGCUACUAAUGUCUCUCUUUGUGAAGAAUUUUCUAAAUGCAUGCAUAGUGAGUUCGAAAUGAGCAUGAUGAGAAAACUUAACUUCUUCCUUGGACUUCAAAUCAAGCAACUAAAGGAAGGAACCUUCAUCAAUCAAGCAAAGUAUAUAAGAGAUCUCCUCAAAAGGUUCAAUAUGGAGGAAGCGAAAACAAUGAAGACUCCAAUGAGUUCAUCCAUCAAGCUUGACAAGGAUGAGAAAGGUAAGUCCGUUAACUCAACUAUGUAUAAAGGCAUGAUAGGUUUUUUGCUAUAUUUGACCGCUAGUAGACCUGACAUCAUGUAUAGUGUAUGCUCGUGCGCUAGAUUUCAAUCUUGUCCUAAAGAAUCUCACUUAAGUGCCGUAAAAUGAAUUCUUAGAUAUUUAAAAGAGACAAUGGACAUAGGCCUAUGGUAUCCUAAGAGUGAUAACUUUGAAUUAAUUGGAUUCUUAGAUGCCAACUUUGCCAAUUGUAAAGUUGAAAGGAAAAGCACUAGUGGCACUUGUCAUUUCCUAGGACACUCACUUGUUUCAUGGCAUAGUAAUAAGCAAAAUUCGGUAGCCUUGUCAAAGGCGGAAGCAGAAUACAUAGCAGCUGGUUUAUGUUGUGCACAAAUCCUUUGGAUGAAACAAACACUUAGUGAUUUCAAUUUGAUUUUUGAGCAUGUUCCUAUUAAACGUGAUAACAUUAGUGCCAUAAAUAUUUCAAAAAAUUUGAUGCAACACUCUAGGACUAAGCAUAUAGAGAUUAGACACCAUUUUCUUAGAAAUCAUUUACAAAAAGGUGACAUUACACUUGAAUUUGUAAGCACAAAAGAUCAACUUGCCGAUAUUUUUACAAAACCUCUAAGUGAAGAGCAAUUUUUUUAUAUUAGAAGACAACUAGGGGUGAUUUCUUUAUAAUCAAAUGAUUACUUGAUGAAUUCUUGAUUGAAUAUACCUUAUGAUUGCGUGAAUUUCACAUCAUAUGCAUCAUAUAGAAAUAAUCUUAGGAAAAAGGUCAAAUUUUGACCAAAAAUCAAAAUUCCCUUGGCAUUGGAUAUCAAAAAUUGGGGAUUUCAACUGAAAAGGGCAAGGGAAGGAUCACGAGACAAGCAAAAGCCAAAAAAUUAGAGCGUUGACCAUUGACCAUUGACCAUUGACCAAGCGGUUCGUCGGGGCUGGGAAUUUAAAGAGACCCCCGCGCUUUAUUUUUUUCACUAUUCCCCUCAAUUCCUUGAAAACUCUUCACAUACCUGCUUCCAGAGACCACUUUGGGUUGAAUCUUGGACCAUUUGAAGGGCUUGGAGUUGUUUUUGGGACGUUUUUAAGACUAGGGUUUCAAUCUGAAACCUAAGGUUUCCAUUUUUAGGAGCAAUUCCUCUCAGACCACGUGCAUCAGCCAGGCUCAACUCCUUCUCCUUGCGCUUAGGGCUUCCGGUUGGAUUUCAUUCUCUCUUGUUUGGUUUCAUUCUCUCUUCAAACUUCUUUUUCUUCAUUUUCCGUUCUUUGGAUGGCGCCUAGGAGAGAGACAACUACCUCUAGGGCUCAGGGCAAGCGCCCUGCUGAGCCAUCUCAACCUGAGCAGAUGGAGGCUCACCGAAAGGCGAGGUAUGACACGACCCUCUGUGGACCCGCAUUUUUCACGUGCGUCCCCACUCGAUCGGCGAGACUCGCUUUUUAUUUGUGAAAAAUUGAUCUUUAAAAAAAAAAAAGUUGGAGUCGCCACCUAUUUUAUUUUUAUUUUGAAGGGAAAAUAAAACAAGAAAGAAAAACCCUAAAAAGUGACUCCAUGGUUUUGGAAAAAGCAUGUCUUUGAGAAACCCGAGUCUAAGUCCGGGGAUCAGGUUACUUAUUGGGAAGGUACCUCUAGGAGGUAGCACCCCUCUAAGCCCUAAAAAGGUCUCUACUGACUAAGUUAAGGGAAGCGUGGCAAUUAAAUGGUUGAUCAUGGAUACCUAAGUAGGCUAGGUGAUUCCAAAAACAUAACAUAUCAAACAAGAUCAAAUCACAAUUAAGGAGAGUUAAAAAUGCGUACCUGGACGGCUUCCCAAACGCUAUCAUAAAACAUAAGAGAUUAGUUUGGAGAUACAUCACACAACAUUUGUUUUACUCAAGCAAAUCAGGCAUAUAUCAAGACAUUCAAGAAUCACGUCAAAUAUGGAUAUGGUCAUCAAUGACAUACAAGUCCAUAGAAUUCUCGAAAAAAGGAUGAAAAUGAGCGUACCUGGAUAGCAAGCUAGAGCGCCUUUAUGGGAAACAAGGUUAACCCAAUAACAAAUUCAAGCAUAUCUCCAAGAAGAAUCAAAAUCAAUUGAAUACCAAAAAAUCAUCUUUAAAAUCAAUAUUAGUGAAGAUAUUAGGAAUGUAGGACCCCCCACCAAAGUCCAUAUUACUUUUGCACGAAUUGAUUCAAUGAAUUCCAUUAUUUGGAAUCGUGAAGCUUAUUCAUGCUUGUCAAAAAUCGAGAAAAUCAUAAAAUAGUUGAAGAUGAUGAAAAUGCAUGCCGGAAGGGAAAAUGGCAGCAAAUAGUAUGUUAAAAUUUGGAUUUUAUGCCUAGAGACUUCUCAGGAAUUUUAAAUAAAACUAGAAUUAUUUUUUACGGGAAAAGAUUUUGAAAUCCAGAUUUAAAAUGUGUAAGAUAACAAAAAGAAUAAGGAGAAACAUUAGGAGUAUGGUGUGUGGCAAGGUGACCACUAUAUGAGUGAGGUCUGGAGGUGCACUUGAGACUAAAUGGUUGAAACAGAUUGCAUAGGGAGCAUUCUGUACACCACUAGUUGUCUAGAAAGAAACUGAAUGUGUUCGUUUCCGAGCCCAUGUUCACCGGAGUUUAGGGUGCCACCUCAUUUAAAAAAAAGGGCUUCAAUACAACUCUAGUUUCUCAAGAUCACAAUCUGAAUUAUCAACAGAAGCUUCUGGUGAAGACAUAAUGCUCAAUUUCAGAUUAAAUUUCCUGUUCUAUAACUCGUUUUCUCUGAAUUUUCCUUUAAUGUCUGUGCUUUCUGAUCAUAUAAGUUGCCCGUCUGGUUCCUUGUUUGAGACUCUGCCGAACCUGGAAUAAUGCUUCUAGGUCUAGCUGAGGGGACCUACACCCCUUUUCAUGGAACCUGAGGCAUGCGUUAAUUCGAAACUCUAUUACUUUGCCUUCCAUUGCUUUAAGUCUUUUAGCCAUCUCAGCCACAAAUCUGGAGAUUCAUUUAUCUUUCUUUAAUAUUCAAGCCAAAUGUCAAUCCAGUCCGCUUAAACCCCGAUUUGAAUGAUUUUGAACCCUCUUUUUGCGCUCUUGAUGUUUUUCAUUUCAACUACAAUGACAAACCACCCUUCGAAAAAAGAAGAAAUCUGGACCAAAUCCUAAACUUUUAAUUCACAACUUCUUGAGCCUGACUCUGAGUCGACACAAUUGAAUCACCUUGGAUAAGAGUGCUUCUAAAAAUCCUCCAGAAUGUAGGCACAAGUGCAGCGUUCGUUAAUAAUGUCCAUGGCAUGUCACAAAGGAAAGCUUCUUUUUUUAUAAUCAUCAACGCAAAUUGACUCUUAAUGGACCCCAUUGCCAGCGUCACAUCAAAGACUGGACAGAUAGGGAGAUUCACAAUUUCGAUAGCUAUCUUUGCAUUAUUUGGGCAGGGCAACCAUGUUAUGGAUAUAUAGCUCGAAGGUGACUUGCGUUUUGUUCUGUAUCAUCAGUAGCAGCCUCAAACCCGCCAUAGGUUUGAGUGGUAUUAAAAGACUCAACAUGAUCAGCUGUAGGUGAUCGAGCAGCCAAUUCAUCAUUGAGCAAAUCAAUAAAAGCUUGGAUAUCGUUGCCGAGUGGCCUAAAAUCAUUAGAUAAAUCAUUAAAGUCAUUAAGUAUAUUACUGAUCUCCAUGAAAACCCUCCUCCUUGCUUCUGUAGAGCGAACACAAGCUGCCACUAAAAUUGGUUAGCCCGGAUUGCUAAUUUAUGCAUCCAAUCACCAUCGAUUUCUCUUGUCCUUUUUGGAACUUCUGGAAUAUGGAUGAAACCUGUGAAGAAUGUGGUGGAAUUGCGGUCUGCAAGCACGAAGUUUCCAGUUACUUGAAAUGCUUCGAAAUCAUGGUUCCAGUUUACAUCUACAGGCAUUGGCUCAAGUAAGUUCGUAUCAGCUUGGGUGGCUUUCGAUUCCAAAAGCUCUAACAACAACAUGAUUCUCAAAUAUCCGAACAGCAAUGUCCAAAAUUGAAUCAAGAAAAUUCUUUAGCAGCAGUAUGUGUUGUCCCUGCUGGAGCCAUCACAGGAGCAACUAAGCUAACUGCCAAAAAGGUUCUAGCCAGUGAGAUCCCAUUCUGACGUUUCGGUUUUGGUGACUGAUAGCUUUCUAAUUGUCCCUGCAAAUAAUGUAAACCAAUAGUUCCAUUGAAUGGAUUGUCAUCCAGAGCAAGGAUCCGAAUACUUGUAAGGCCAUCAACGAAAUCAGCGAGGGUGGUGUCGACUUCGUUGUAAUCGAAGAAGGCGAGUUGCAAUUCAGACAAUCUGCGAGAAGAAGGCAAUUUUCCAUUGAAGUGGUUCAUCUGAAACCCCAAAUUGCAGAGCAUUGAAAGCUGGUUGAAGUUUUGAGGGAGAGGUCCCUUUAAUCCCAAUCCCUUAACUUGAAUCUGUGUAACUCUGUCACCACUAUAAAAUACACGAGGCCACAAAUUUGACUCCACCCGUUGGCUCCUUUCCUUCAUUCAUUCGCUUUAACAAGUCACAUUUAAUUCCAAAGAAUAUUAUAUAAUCUUCAAGUAUGUUCAAAUCAGAGGGCUCUAGUCCGUUAACCUUUACACUCUCUAGCAGGUUCUGUUCUUGUCUCUUCCUAUUAUACAGAAGUUCAAGCAAGUUUCAUAAAGCCUGAAUUUCUACACGUAGCCACUACUGGGGUCAGGUUUAUCCAAGUGUGCUGCUCCAACAGAAUUAUCGAUGUGUCAGUUUCUCUAAAAAUCACCUUGUGAAUCAAUCCACAAUACCGAGGCAUCCCAUCAUCAGAACUUCCUAAGCUUUCAGCAAGUAGGCAAGCAUUUAUGCUUGAGUCAACUCUACCGAUGACAACAAACCCAUCCAAAUCAAACUUCAUAGCUGUUUCUUCUUUUCCAUUAAUAUCAACUGGUAUCCUUUCUAAAAGAAUGCUUUUCUUAUGACGACAUGACAGUAAAACCCUUUUGCGAGAAUGGCUCAGAGUUUUGAUCAUCAUCUGAUUCUAUUGUAUUACUGGAAUGAUUGCUUUGGUAAAUGGAAUUCAACAGAAUCCACACAUUCAUGACUCUAAAAUUCAGCUUACUAGCAACCAGAUGGAACACACAUUUUCUGGUUCAGGCAUUCGUUUCUGGUCAGAUUCAUGGUAUCUUAGCGGUGCAACAGACGAUGCAGCAACCUCUUCUAGAGUGCCUUUUAUGAGCCUCAAGAGCAAAGGCCAAUGAUAGAUGAAGCGGUCCCUCUGCACUACUUGGGCUUCUGAUUCAGAAGUUAUCAUGAAGCCAACGAACAAGCAGAGUGAACGCAUUUGCAGUCAACCUUAAAAUUUCUAAUAUUGUCAGCAGGCCUGAUGGUAAAAAAACGAAAGUAGGGGAGCCUUAUUCAAGAGGAUCAUUGCGAACACUGUCACGUGUUAUUGGUGAGCUUGUUGGCAUCUUGUUUUGGGCAGAAUAAUGAGAUCCUUCAGUUAAUUAGAGAUCCAUAUCAACUAAACACCAGAAUCAUGGAUUUCCCAUGCUUUCUACUGGACAACGAUUGUCAGUUCUUUCUCUUGUUCACUUCUACUGGCAGUGGCUUGACUCUCCAACAAAACCCCUGAUGCACCCUGUAGCUCCUCAUUUAAUUCUGGAUUCUUAUCAGCAUCGCUUUCUUCUCCCUUUUGAGACUCUUGGAGUAUGAAAAAGAAAACUUGUGAAGAAUAAGGUGGAAUAUCCCAGCAAUGCAGUAUGGUAGGACCCAUUUGAGGGGGAACCCUGCAUUCAUCACUCUCACCUCCAGUAGCAUUAGAUGCUUGCUGGACCCAAUUCAGCCAGUCUCUGCAUAUUGACUCUCAAUAUAAACGUUUAGAAAUAACAAUGACUUCAUUUCUACUGCCUUGUUUAGACCUUCCUUGAUCAAUGUCUACCUUCAUUUCUCACAAAUUCUGGUUCUACUAUUAAAGUUCUGCCCCCAGUCCGUUUUGCAAAGCAUAAGCUAAUUUUAUAUUUGUAUAAUUCCAUCUUAACACACAAGUCCGUCGUAGCCUUUCCUGAGAAGUUAGAGAAGUUGCUUUUCUGAUAUAAAAAAGCCUUUCAGAACCAUGCUGAAGCUCUGAAUGUUGAUAGUUUUCCAUUGCAACUGAUAUGAGCUCCUCAUCGGUAGUGUCACAAGAAUGAUUCCAUGAGAAGUUUCUUGUUGCAUCACCUUUUUUAUGUAUUCCAACCCCAACUGUUGAGUUUCUUGAAAUUGAAACUACGGAACUUAGUUAUUUUGAAUUGUUUGCAUCUGUAGUGAUAAAUCACUGGAAGAGACAAUCAUAAUUUAGGCACUUGAUUUCCGUUUCGGUCGAACUAACAGCUUCGUAACUGUUAAUCUCAAGGUCAGAUUCAUGCUCUUGUUUCUCAAUUUCCUCUUCCCAUGAGAAUUUUUUUCAUAACAAUCGAAUGAAUUCUUAUAACUCCCAAAAGUUUCUAGCUUUUGCUGAUCAUGGAGGUGCCUCACAAUACUUGUCAUUAUACUCACUUUGGAAUUUUUCUGGUCCAUGUUCACUUUGAAUGAAUGUAUCCCUAAAGGGGGUAUUCAAUGACUGCCCAUAAUGAGUUACAAGUUCCCCAAAAUAGAAUAUAAUGAUCGUCGGCCUUACAGUACUGCUGUUUUAAAAUUUUCUGCUCGCUGAACAGUCAUAGUUCAAACCAUCAAUAUCAAAAGGCUUUCCCAGGCACUCAUCUUCAGAACCAUAAGGCCAGCAAGUCUGCAACCGUUUGAGUUGGGUAAAAAAGAAAGUCCUAAGCAGUGGAAGUGCACAGCAUGAUGCUGUCAAGUUUCAAUAACUUAAAUAUUGGCCAACUUAAGCCAGACCAUAUUCCUCAAAAAUCCAUUCUUCCUCUGCUCAUGUAAACUUGUAAUGCUGUCAGAAAUCCUGUCUUCAGAAUAGCAACCCUGACAAUUGAGUAUGGAAAGCAGAAUACCCAUGUGCUUCCAACUAAGCUUUUUACAACCAUCCUCAUAAACUGAGGCGUGCCAUUCUAAAGAAAAGGCAGAGUCUUUUAGAAAUCACAAUACUUCUGAAGCAGCUUGAAUUAGCAUAUUGCAGUAAUUGGAAGUCGGAUUGACUGAAACAGGGGCUCGAACGCAUCCAUCUGUAAAUCUUACAGACCGACCACCCUCAGAGAAAAGGUCUCCAAAAAAAAGGCUUCAGCUUCAUGACAAACAGCAUUCUCUGUUUCAGAGUUGCAACUGCCCCUGUUAUACUACUCCUGUGCACUUCAGCAUUUAUUCUUUAGUUAUACCGUCCCUUUAGAUAGCAUCUAUCCCACACCGUGAAGCAAGCAAGGUUCACUAUAAUAGGAUCUAGUAGCAGCAACAAACGGGUGAUCCUGGAGAUAUUUUAAACUCAACUUCAUCAACAUCUUCAGCGUGCACUUCUGUUGGAACACAAGCGAUAGUAGCAGUGAAAAAAAAAGUGUUGUACUGAUCCCGUUAGGAUUGCAGCCCAGAAUACCACGAACAGAGAGCCCCAAAAAUUGAAGCAACUCUGCAUCCAACUAAAUCACAUCUAGAACCCGGUUUAACGACUUUCUUGUCUUGAAGAGGAAAUACCCAAUCUGACUCAACAAUCUGUUAUCAUGUGCCAAACCCCACAAACAGCCCACAUUCUACGCAGCCUUUAUAAAGUCUCUACCUUUCAUGAAAUACUCAUGCCAUCAUUGUCUCCAUAGCCCAGAACACCAAAGUAAAGAAGAGGAAGAAGCGUAGAUAUAGAAGCACAAAAAAAGAAACCGAACAAAGAAAGAAAAAAAAAAAAAAAAAACGAAAACAGGGGAAUGGAAGGCAAUGGGUGGGAAAUCUGAAUAAGUCACAUUUCAUUAUUUUCAAAAGGGCUUUGAAGAAUCUGAACACAUUAGGACAAGCUUAGUUAAAAUUAUAUCAGGAUUCCACAAACAUUAAAAUUCAAACAUAAGUCUCUGUUUCAGCUAUUUAUAAAAAGAAUCAAAGAAAUCAAGAACACAAUCAUAAUAGAGCAAGUUUGAAGGAAAUUUCGAUUCAACAACGCAAAUAAAUGGCCCUCAAUGUCCACUCCAAUCAGCAAGAACAACUUCCCGAAAACAGCCAGAGAAUCUCAAGUGAAUGUAAACGGGAAUACCAAAAUAAUAAAAAAAAUAACAGGAAGCGUACCUGGCAGAACCUUGGCUGCAAUCUCCCUCUCUUUCUGCUCUUCUCUCCGCACUUUUUCUUCAAGAUCUCUCUUUUUCUCCUUUUUCUCCUUUCUUUCUUUUCUUUCCUUCUUCCUUUUCUUUCCUUCUCCCUCUCAAGCCCAAAAAUCCUAUCUCUCCCUCCGGAUCUCUCCAAAAAAAAAUCCCCAUGCGUGCUGCCAGUCCCACUUUUCAAAAAGAAAACAUCUUGCUGAAAAGGAAAAUCCUACUUCCUUUUCUCCUUUCUUUCCUUUCUUUCUUUUCUUUCCUUCUUCCUUUUCUUUCCUUCUUGUAGCCGAUCCCCACAUGGAAGAAGUAUAUGUGCUGUCCCUCUAAAAAUCAAAAUCUCCUCUUUUCAAAAUUCCGUUGAUUUUCCUUCCAAAUAAAUGGCGGUUCGUUUCCUCAUGCCCAAAAAAUAAAUAAAAUAAAAAAAUAAAAAUAAAAAAAAUAAAAAAUAAAAAAUUAAAAAAAUUAAAAACAAAAAUAAAAAAAAAUCAAUCACAUGCAAGCCAUACGAGCUAUGUAACCACCAAAGGAAUAUGAGUUAUGCAACCAUGCAAAAACACGAGCCAUGCAACCAUGCAAACCAUGCAAAAACAUCUAAAGGUGACCUAGGGUGUGUCCUAGUGCGCUAGGGCAAACGAAAUGGACUAAGUGUGCUUAAAAGCUAUCCUAAAAAAAAGAAAAGCCUACGACUAAGUUAGGGCUGCCAAGGGUCACAAUAAGGGAUCAAAUAAUCCCUCAACCAAAAUCUCCGAGGUGACUCAGAAAAAGGUUAGUGGUAUGAGUAGCCAUGGGCCACCAAGGAACUAUGGGGCACUGAAAACGAAUUUAAAGACAUGUGCUAAAGGGACAAAAUUGAGGGUCUACACCCUCUUCAGUUCUGUUGAAGAUUAUCAAAGAUACAAGCAAAAAUUCUCCCAGAGGAAACUAGGGAGAAAUAUCAAUUUCUCCCAACUUUAGUACUUCGGGUUUGAGGGACUCUUUAGUCGGAUGGGAUAACUGCCAGUUGUGAUGAUUUUCGAGCCGAUCUUCCUGACUCUGGUGCGGGCAUUUUAUUCAUAGGUGACUUAUGGACUUGGAGGACCAGUCAUGUCCACUAUUAGAGGUGUUGAGAUCAGACUGAGCCCGGAGAGCAUUUUCCGCAUUCUCGACAUUCCUUUAGUUGGACUCCGGGUGUAUGAGUCCAAGGUUUGGCCCACUGUGCCGGGAUUCGAGCCUAGAGAGGCUAUUCAGAGGCUGUGCGGACUUGUAGAUGCUGAGGGGAUGGACAAACCAUCGGCACAUAGCCUGACCGUGACCAGCCAAGUCCUUCAUCACAUGAUUUGCUCCUAUUGCCACAAGGCGGGUAUCGAGAUGAGAUUUCCUACCUGGAUGCUUUCAUAGUGGACACCAUUCUAAUGGGGAGAUGGAUUCAUGUAGGGUAUUUGAUGAUGAUGCAUAUGAUAUCCUACUAUGAGAGCACGACCCGAGUACUCCCCUACAGACGCUUCCUCACUCGAGUAUUCAAGGAUGUCGGGGUCGAUUUGAGUAGAGAGACGAACUUCGAGGCCCUUACUAGCUAUGAUACUUACGAUGAGCAGUCCUUGGAGCGGAUAAAGUUUGAGAAGGCCCUCGAUGGCUCCUGGAUUAGGAGAGUUGAGCGAGCUCCAGCAUAGGCCCGGGGACAAGGAUAGAUGCAUCCCGGAGUAGAGGAGGAGGCUGAGAUCAAAGAGAUGGAGGAUGGGUUAGACCCAAGGAUUGAAAUAUCGAUAAAUAUGGAUAUAUCGGUACUUGGAUUUUACGGAUAUAUCGGAAAUAUCGGAGAAAUAUCAAUGGAUAUUUUUCAUCAAAUAUCGGUGAGACAAAAAUUAUCCAAAAUUGAUGGGAAUGCUUAGAAAAAUCCAAAGAAUGAUAAAAUAAGCAAGAAUAUACAUGUUAAAGUUAUUUUAUGAGUGUAAUUGACAUAAAUAUGGUAUAAAAAAAAUAUAUAUCGGUAAACAGUUUACGAUACUUGGAUUUUAAGAAAAGAAAAUAUGAAAUUUGGAAUUGUACACUUAAAAAGUUAGAAUUGAGUUAAGAAAUAUUUGAUUUUAUUAAAUGAAAAAAAUUUACACAUAAACAUAAUACAUAUGACAUUGCAAUGGUCCUUAAUACCAAAAUGAAGAUCGAUGUGGUUCCAUCAUAUUGUUAUUGUUAGAUGAAGGGAGCCCAUCUUGUUGAAGACAAUAUUCAUACCAGGACAUGGAGUUUCGAUAGUAUUGAUUGUAUGUACUAACAUGCCAUGCAUAAAUUUCUUGAGUCCUACCGACAACCUGUCCAUGGAUGGGAAAUCCAGGGUUUUCCCAUGUGCUCGUUUGAAAUCCUUGUUGUUGCAGCUGAUGUAGAAGGUAGUAUGGAAUUUGUGUGGAAGAAUGAUAGUUAUACCUUUCAUACUCUUCAUCAGUGGAACUUGAAAGAUUUUGAGGAGGCUGACCAUAACUCAUUGCAUAAGGGGCAUAAAUGUUGGCUUCAUUUGAUGAAUCACUUAAUUGAGUCUCUACACUCAUCGACUCAAAACUGGCCGACAAUGAGUCCUCGUUGUAUGGCAUCAUCCUUCGUUGUCUUCCUCUAUAUGGCUUUCCAAUGGCUCCAACACCUGGACCGGCUCUUCUAGAGCCGUGGUCUUCAUCUUGAGUACAAUGUGUGAAAUCAUCUUCACUAAUAAAUGCCAAUGGUUGUCCACUUUGUUGAUGUUGUCUAACAUCCCCUUCAUCAUUUUCAGGGUCGCUACCAUCAUUGGUCCCCUCUCCUCUUGAAUCAUCAUAACCGGAAGCGGAAGUACCAGUAGCACUAGGUCUACUACUAUGUUCAACACUCGUGGGGUCAAAAGAAGGUCGAGAAGUGACUACCAGCUGAGAAAUUCCUUGUCGAAAUGAAUCUUUCGUGUCUUGGUUGAAACUAUCAAUAUGAACUUCUUCGGAUAACACUUGAUCAACAUCAACACCUGCUUCUCGGACAUGUGCGGCAAUUCGUGGGUCGAGAUUUCCAUCUUCAUCAUCUAAAUGAAGAGGUCUAACCCAUUGAAACAAUUGGUUAUCUUCUUCUUCACCAGCCUCAGUUGCAAUAUCAAGUAAAUCAAGGUAAUCUUUCUCUGAAACUUUGUCAUGUUCUGCUUCCAUGUCACGUAUCUUUAGUUUCAUGUUAUAAUAAUAGAAAACUAAUUGUUAGAGCAUCGGGUAAGCAAGCUGAUUUCUUUGUUUUGUAUGAAUUAUGGAAAACAUGCUCCAAUUUCUCUCACAAGCUGAAGAUGAUGCAGUUUGCGAUAAAACCUUGAUGACCAACCUUCUUAAUGUAGGAGUGUGAUUUCCAUACAUGAACCACCAUUCAACUACAACCAAAUAAAUGAUAUCAAUACUUAUAUUGGAAAGCUAUAAUAAUAUGCUAAUGAAAUGAAUUAUUAAUUCACAAAUAAUACUCACCGAGAACCAUUUCUAACCUCGAAGCAAUCACUGUUUGAUCACCGAAUCCUCUUUUUGCAUCUCGGAAUAGUAUAAUCUACAUAUUAAAUAAUUGAAAGUGAAAAAGUUGAGUAAAUGAAAUUAAAUUAUUUAAUUUAUAUUAUAACUCUAAUAAUUUACCUCAUUUCCAAAUUGACUAAAACCUUCUGAUGUAGGAUCUAAUUUCGCAAAGACUUCAUGGACAACUUGAAGUAGAUCAGGAUCAGUACCAACUCCAUGUUUAUAUUGAAAUCUUGGAUUAAGAAAGAAUGCUACAAUAGUAAAAUAGAAAUGUAAAAUUAGAAUGUUAUGAAAGAAACAUAUUAAAUACCAAUAAAUUUCAAAGAUGAAUAAUACUUACCUGCUGCAUGAAAAGGAUGUUUAAAAGUUCUAUCCCAACGAUAUGCAAUUAUUUCUAACACCCAUUCUUUAGCAUUAAGUCGAAUAAGGUUCUCUUUCAUAACUCGAAUCAAUUCGUACACAAAUGGCAUUGUAGGAACAACUUCUGAAUCGACAAUGCGAAGAACUGUGUAUAGCGCCUCAUAUAUUGACACUAGCUUUCCCACUCUUUCCUAGUAUGCAUGGUCAAACAUAAGUGAUUCAACUUCUUUGCCGAUUAAUGUGCAACUUAAGUUGUGUUGUGCCCAUUCAUCACUGAUAAAUAUUUUCUUCAAGUUUAUUUUCUUUUUCAAAAGACUGUCGAAGGCUAUAUAAUUGGUUGCAAAUCUUGUUGCUCCAGGACGAACUAUGUCUCCACCACACACCUUCCGCAUCUGGGUAAGCAACCAACCAUGGUUAUAAAUGAAGUUGGUUAUCUUUCGAGCCUUUGUAAUCACAUCUGCAACACUCGUCCUUUUACCGAUAUCUUCGAACAUUAAGUCGAUGCAAUGUGCUGCACAUGGAGUCCAAUAAAGAUUGUAUUUCUUCAUUAACAACUUCCCCGCCUUCAUGAAUGCCGACCCAUUAUCUGUAACUAUUUGGACCACAUUUUGUUUGCCAAAUUCCUUGAUCACAUCCUUCAACAAACCAUAUAUGUAUUUGUUGUCCUUUAUAUUAUUUGAUACAUCAACAUAUUUGAGGAAGAUUGUGCUACCUUUUGAAUAUACCAUGAAAUUAAUUAUGCUUAAUUUCGUGGGCCCAGUCCAUCCGUCAGACAUAAUCGUGCAUCCAUAAGUCUUCCACUUUUCUCUUUGAAUAUUGACAUAAGCUUCUAUGUCUUUGUACUCCAUAUCCAAAUACUCGUGUUUGAUUUCAUAAGGAGACGGUGGUUUUAUACCCAUACCUACCAUCCAUAUAUAAUUAAAGCAUAUAAGAACAUUUGUGGCAAUCAUACUAUAUAAAUAGUAAUGAUAUUGUUAAAAUGAAUACAACUUUUAAAAUUAUAGUAAUUACCUGCUUGUUGUGCACCAACAAUCAUGUUCUUGAAGUGGUGAGAGUCUGUUUUACUGGGCGGAACACUCUCAUAUAUGAAGAACUUACUGAUCAAACGUCCCAUGGUUUCCUUGAUGGCACCACCUUUGAAAAUAUUUUUCAUAUUUUUAUGUCUUGCUACUGAAGAUUUGUACAAUGAGGGUGCAUCAGGCAGUGAUGGAUCUAAAUAUCGAACACUUUGCGAUUUUCGCAUUUGCCUUGUUGUUGGAUUGGUUGGAUGUGAAGACUUGCCUAUUAUAAUUAUUAAAAUUAAACAUAUAUGCUAAUUUAAUAUUAUUGAUAAAGUUGAUAAGAAAUAGUAAUAAUUCAAAUUAAUAUUAUACCUGUUUUUAUUUUGUCUUUUAUAAAAUGUUCUUCUUAUUGUCGAUUCCAUUCAGCAGCUUUUGAUGCUCGAACCGCCUCUCUAUAAGCAUGUCGCUCACCAAGGUGCAUGUCAGCCAGAUACAUAUACACAUCAUCAUCUCCAUCAUCAUCAUCACCACCAAGGUUCUCCUCAUCGUCCUCAUCAGUUACAUGCUUAUGUCUUAUUCCCAUUGUGUCUCGCAGUUCAGAUCGAAUCUCUUCUAUAUCUGUAGCUUUCUUCGCUUUUGCCUUAUUUUUUUGCUCUAGAAGUCGUCUUAUUUAUUGUUUCACUUCUGGAGGCAUGUUAGGACACUUUUUUGUAUUUGAAUUAGGGUCUGUAUGUGAUAGGUGAAAUUUAAAACGAGUAAUCCCACCACUCUUUAUUGCCAACCCACAGUAAUUGCAUACUGUUCCAUUUUUGUCCCCUUCCAUAGGUGUACAAUAUUUCCAACAAGGAUCUCGACCCAUGAUACCGCUUUCACUAGCCAUUUUCUAAAAUUGAAUUAUGAAACUAAUAUCAAAUUUAAAAUUAUUAAAGAUAAAACAUGUAAGAAAUUUAAUAUUCAUGAAAUUGAUAAGAACUAAUAAAAAUUGAAAUUAAAAUUAAAUUAUGCAUAUAUGAAAUAGAUAAACAUUACAAUAAAAUUUCAAUAUGAAUUAAAUUUAAAUUAAAUUAAAUUAAAUUUGUAUAUUCAUGAAAUUGAUAAGAAUCAUUACUAAUAAAAAUUAAAAUUAAAAUUGAAUUAUGCAUAUAUGAAAUAGAUAAACAUUACAAUAAAAUUUCAAUAUGAAUUAAAUUAAAUUAAAUUUGCAUAUUCAUGAAAUUGAUAAGAAUCAUUACUAAUAAAAAUUAAAAUUAAAAUUGAAUUAUGCAUAUAUUAAAUAGAUAAACAUUACAAUAAAAUUUCAAUAUGAAUUAAAUUUAAAUUAAAUUAAAUUAAAUUAAAUUUGCAUAUUCAUGAAAUUGAUAAGAAUCAUUACUAAUAAAAAUUAAAAUUAAAAUUGAAUUAUGCAUAUAUGAAAUAGAUAGACAUUACAAUAAAAUUUUGAUAAGAAUUAAAUUAAAUUAAAUUUGCAUAUUCAUGAAAUUGAUAAGAAUCAUUACUAAUAAAAAUUAAAAUUGAAUUAUGCAUAUAUGAAAUAGAUAAACAUUACAAUUACAUUUCCAUAUGAAUUAGAUAAUAUCAAUUAAACUAUUGUAGACCCCCCUCUUUUGGUCUCGUUUCUUUUUUUUUCCUCUACAUAUAUUAUGUUUGUUUUAGCCAUUGCGGAAGCACCUGGAAGAGGUGUUAGUGCCUUGAACAAGUGGGGGGACCUGGCUGUUUGGAGAGAUGAGCUGCGUGGAACACGUGGUGGAGCAGUUGGCCACAGCCAUGGUGGUGGUUGGGGCUCCAGUUUGCUGAGCAGAGGAACAGUAUAGUAGCUGAUGGCUUGCAGGAAAAGCUUUGACGGAGAAGGAGGACAGAGGAUUUUUAAGAGGAUCCUUUUGAGAGUGCUGGCAGGGGGGGAUCUUGGAGGGAAAGGGAAGAGGAGAAGUAAGUUUUGAGGAGAAAGGGGCUUUCAGGUAUGGCCAUUUAUGAUUUUUCCCGAAUAUUCUGAUCUUUCAUAUCUUUCCCAUCUUACUCUCCAUGAUUCCAGUUUUGCUUGAUGAGUUGUUUUGUUUUGAUGAUUGUUGGUUUAACAUUAAAAAAGAUGGCUGUUUUUUUUGUGUUUUACCCGUGCAAACCUCUUCCAACUUAACCCUUUGAUCGUUAAGCUCAUGGAUGAAAGAAUGAAACGAAGUUAGCACAUUCAUCAAAAGGUUCCCUGCUAUGUUUCUCCAUUUGUUCCCUUUGCUUGAGUAUGUGAGUAUUGAUGCUAAUAGUAGCAAGGUCCCAGCCAACUUUGUACAAUAGAGCUCAGAUGUUGCUCUAGGGGUUCAUGAUCAUCCUGUCAAGUGCCUAGGAGCAAAUGAUGCCCUUGAGCUUACGUUUCUAAGUCGUGUUCUCCCUACCAAGCUGGAUACCCUCCUUGCUAAGGACGGGGGGACGAAACCUAUUAACAGCCGAAACCCAAUGAUAAGAUCCAAGUCACUGUCGAGUAUCUCAAUGAGAAGGAUGCCAUGGUUCUUUCUUCGUGUACAUGUUGUUCCCAUCUCCACCCAAGUUGACUAAACUGUCAUCAGUGAUGAGAUUGCUGCCUACACUAAAUAAUACAUCAUCCAGCCGGUUAUUCAUGAGAAACAUUAAGAUGAGAAGUCCACCUUCCAACACCCAUUAAGCCACUCUUCACACCCAUCUUCUCUCAUUAACAUCCUCAUACCCCUCCCACCACUUCGUGAUUCAUAUCCCCAUCAUCCCCAGCCGUCCAUGCUAUCAAUAAUAUCCCCACUUAUCUUCAUACCCAUUUGUUCCACUAUUCGGAAUCCCCAUGCAUGCGAAACUGGACGCGGAAGCCAUGAUAGCAGAGAUUGUGAUGAAGAACGUGGAAUGCGGUACCCUGUUGCAUGAAGUGAGCAUGGUGGAGCGGCGGUUUGAGGAGUCGACGAGGAAGAUAGAGCUGUAGAAGAGCUUGCUGGAGGUGUUGGAGUUGGAGAGGACGAUAUUGCUGAAUGAUAACGUGCGGCUGGGGCGCGAGAUGAGUGCGCUGAUUGAGGAGAACAAGGGGCUGUGGAGGUCCCGGCUCCUGCUCCGACGCUGGAGGCGCUGAGUCCUCCAGCACCGCCGGCCGAAGCUCCUAGGCCACAGCUAGAUGCGAUCCCAUCCAUCUCCAUCUCUGCCAGGUGAGAGUAGGGCAGAGAAGAUCACGUGCGUGAGGUAGAGGGUAGAAAUGGAUAAAGGGCAUAGAAAAUGGGCUACAGCAAUGCAUGGAAUUGUUUGAUAAAAGAAAAGAGAAAUGGGUUUGUUGACACGUGAAAGAACUAUGCACUUUAAAAAAACUCUCCCUGUUUGUUUUACAUAUUCUCAAACAAUGCUUAAAAAUCCCUUAAAAUUUUAAAGUUAAAAAUUUAUUCACUUAUUCAUGUUUUUCUAUUCACUUCAAAUUCUCGAAACUCAAUCCUAAAAUUUAAUUUCUUCAAAGUUCAAUCUCCAAAAUAACUUUUUUUUUAGGUUCUAAUUUUAACUUUAAUUCUCCAAAGAUCCAAAAUUUUAAAUUUAACUUUCCAAAAAUCCCACAAUUCCGAAUUUAAUUUUAGGUCUUGUAAAUUAGUAUUAUUAUCCCAUAUUUAUUUAUUUAAAGUCCAAUCCUUCAAAAAUCUCAUUAUUAUUAUUAUUAUUACUUCAACUUUCGAAAUCAAUUUAUUCUUAUUAUUAUUAUCAUUAAUCCAAACUUUCAAAAUCCUAUUAUUAUUAUUAUUAACCCAACUCUCAAAAUAUUAUUAUUAUUAUUAUUAUUAUUAUCAUUAAUUCAGACUUUCGAAAUCUUAUUAUCAUUAUUAUUAAUUCAACUUGCAAAACCUUAUUAUUAUUAUUAUCAUUUCAAAACCUUAUCAUUAUUAUUAUUAUUAUGAUUAUCAUUAUUAUUAAUUUAACUUUUAAAAUAUUAUUAUUACUGUUUUUAUUAAUUCAACUUUUAAAAUCUUAUUAUUAUUAUUAUUACUAAUUCAAUUUUCAAAAUCUUAUUAUUGUUAUUAUUAUUAUUAUUGUUAAUUCAACUUUCAAAAUCUUAUUAUUAUUAUUAUUAUUAUCAUUAUUAACCUAUUAUCAUUAUUAUUAUUAUUAUUACUAUUACUAUUAUUAUUAUUAUUAUCAUUAUUAUUAAUUCAAUUCCCCAAAUCUUAUUAUUAUUAUUAUUAUUAAUUCAACUGUCAAAAUCUAUAUUCCCGUAGUUUAAUUUCUCAAAGUUCAUUUCUUAUCAUUACUGUUAUUAUUAAUUCAAUUUUCAAAAUCUAUAUUCUCGCAGUUUAAUUUCUCAAAGUUCAUUUCUUAUCAUUACUAUUAUUAUUAAUUCAGCUUUCAAAAUCCAUAUUCUCGCAGAUCAAUUUCCUAAAGUUCAUCUCUCAUUUUCUUUGACGAAUUUCAAUUUAAUUACCGAAGCUCUAAUCUUUCAAAGUUAAUUCCAAAUACUUCAAUUUUCAAAUAAAGUCUAAUAAUCCAGUUUUCACUCGAAUGGUUUUAAUCCCAUUUCAGUCCCUAAAUAAUCUUCUGGUAUUCUUGAUUUUAUAUAAGCAAUAGUGAAUUCUUCAUAAUUCUAAAACACGGAAUUUGUGAGACUGGUUCAUGAAUAAUAAAUUGGGUUUUGGUGGGAGGCACUAUGUUUGAUCCCUAUUGAUUGUCAACUGUUGUGCUUAAUGUAUUUUUGCUUGAUCUUCAUUUUGCACCCUGAUAUGCAUGAGUUAUAAUUUGUAUUCAUUAAUUAUGCACUAAUCCUGUUUCUUGAUAGCAAAUUGCUGUUUGCUACCCAGGUACGCAUUCACUCAUUCUGAUCAUUCACUAUACGUAUUCUGAUUCUCAUAUAUGCAUGAUUAAUGUGAGUAUCCAUUGACUUUCUUAUUCGAUUGCCACGUCAGUUUCACUUUAUUAGUAGAGACCCGACUUUAGGGACUUUGAGGGGUGCUAUGGUCUCUACCGUACCUUCCCGAUAAGUAACCUGACCCUCGAACCCGAUCCGGUUUUUCACAGACCACCUUUUCCAAAACAAGGAGUCGCACUUAGGGUUUUUCUUUCUUAUUUUGUUUACCCUUUAAAAAUAAAACAAAAAUAAGUGGCGACUCCAAGUCAUUUUCAAAUAAUCAAUAAAAAUCAAGUUUUCAAAUAAAAAUCGAGUUCGUCAUCGAGUGGGAAACGCAUUGAGCCGAAAUGCGGGGUCCACAACUAUAUAUAACAAAUAAAAUUGAAUUAUGCAUAAUAAAAUAAAUUUUAUGAAAGGUAAGACAUACCUUAAUUAGCUUUGACUUGGAGUUAAUCCCUUUCACCAACAAAUUUUCAAAAUAAAAAAAUUUUGCUAGAUCAUAUAAGAAUUUUGAUGUAUGAAAUGGAAUGGAAUGUGGGUAUUUAUAGGAAUUUUUUGGUCAAACUACUCGUUGGAUGGUCAAAUAGCCGUUAUAAAUUAAUUUUAACCGUUGGAUCAAAAUUUGGUUCAAAUUUCACCAUUAGAUCUUCAUAUAACCGUUGGAAACACUCCAUAGCCCUUGGAUAAAGUGAAGAUUGAUUUUCCACCAUUGGAUCACAAAUCUGACCAUUGGAGGCCUUUAUAAACACACGGGUGAAAUUUGGGCCAUCAGAUCCUCAAAAAUUCAAAUUUGGCCGUCAGAUCAAAAUCCUUGAAGCUGUAAAAAAAUCACCGAUUAAUCGCGAUUUUCUCGGCAAAAAAUCGUUGAUAUAUCGGUAAAAUAGCUGAUUUUUUGGGCUCCUCCUCCGGCUUCUUCGUGCGUGCCUCUACUCGCGAUUUUUCGUCGAUUUAUCGGUGAAGCACCGAUAUUUGGCCGAUAUAUCGGCGAUUUUGCCGAUUUUUCCGUCGAUUGAUAAUCGGUGACGAUUAUUAUUUCGGUGCCGCCCAAUAUCCGAUAUUUCUCCGAAAUAUCGAUGAUAUAUCCCGAUUUUUCAAUCCCUAGUUAGACCCUUAGAGGGAUUUUAAGUAGAGAGGGCCCGAGCUUGACAUUUCUCCUCCACCUCAUUCAGAUGGUAUUCAUGUUGAGACCACUUUCUUAGAGCCUAUGAUGAUUGAGUCGUCUUACACUACAGGAGCAUCAUCUCAGCCAUCAUUCACCGAGCUUCCUCACACAGAGAUACCAUCUCAGGCACCUCACGCUUCUGAUCAUGCCCCUUGGAUGGAUGUAUCAGCUCAUAUCAGCUUCCUUGGGACUCCUAUGGAGGAGCUUGCUUUAGUCAAUGAUACUCGAUUCUACUCUAUGGAGGAUCACAUAGAUCAGUAUCAGACUGGCUUCACUUCUCGUUUUGAGCACUUCCAGCAGAGAUUUGAGCGUAUAGAGGAGCGUAUGGAUCAACAGCAGGCUACAGUUGAGCAUCUCCAGCAAAGUAUUGAGCGCAUUGAGAGUCGCCAGGCGAGUUAGCAUGAGGAGAUGAUGGCUUACCUCCGCUCCGUGUUUCCAUCUUCACCCCCUCAGCCUUGAGUUUAUCUAGAGUUCCCCCUCAAUUUCUUUUUUAUGUUGCUAAAGGGGGAAAAAUAUCUAGGAUCUAGGAAACCCUCAUGCAUAUCAUUGUCAUAUCUAUCUUGAUUAGCAUAUAUGUUAUGUUUUCGUGUACAUGUGAGGUUACCAUAUAUAUGAUAUGCUAUUUUCAUGAUCCAUUGUUUCCUAUUCAAUUUUUCAUGCUUUACAUUGUUUCCUAUUGAAAAUUGAUUGAUUGAUCCAUGAUUGGUUUGAGGGGGAGAUUUUUUUUCUCUCCUAGAUAACCAAGGUUGGUCAUCAUAAAAAAUGGGGAGAUUGUUAGCCUAAGGGCUCUCCUAAUCGGGUUUUGAUGAUAACAAACCAUGGUUAAAUGACUAAUUGGUUUAAUGGUUAAGAAUCUCAGGCAUAAACUCGAAAAUUCAUCAAAUGACCAAAUGGAUACAAGAUCGAGACAUUUGGAAGACUUGUGAUCAUAGGAAACUAAUGUAAGAUAAAUACAUGAGUGCACUUAGGAUUUUCAUACCGUUUCAUGCAAUUUAGAAAACUCGGUUUAUUUUUUAAAACUUCGAUUUCAUUAAAACCCGAGUUUUAACAAAUGUACCUUAGGCAAAAUGUUUUAAAAUUGGCAUAAUAAUUCACCUAAAAACCUUGCCUAAGUGUUAGAAAAAAAAUGAAUUCAAAAAGAUAGGUUUUUAGGGCCAAAAGGCUCAACCGGUUGGAGAACCAGUCGACCAAUUGCCCUUCUCCGGUCGAGGAAUGCACAAAAUUUUCUCUCUCACAGUAGCCUUCUCUUCCCAGUCGAGGUUAUUCUCUUCCCGAUUGAGAACUGGUCAAGGUCCGGUCGAUGACCGGUCGAGGCAACGGUAUCCUGUCAAGCAUUAAAUGCUCCAACGGCUAGUGAACCGGUUGACCCCUAGUUCGAUCGGUCGAGGUUACCUUUUGCUGUUUUUGGCUCCCGAGCUUAGAAACCUAUAAAUUGAGAGCUCCACUUCAUUUAUUGACGAGAGAACACUUGCAACUAAUUGUCUACCUACCUGUUCUUGAUCAAAAAGCUUUCAUUUCUUUCUUAGUGCAUUAAAUCUUCAAUUGCAUAUCCUUUAGUGCACUCUUGUGUGUCAUCCUAGCUUUGUCUUAUAUUUGAGCUAUCCUUAAGCUAGGUUGAGGGAUUCAUUCUUGUAAAAAUCGAGUGUUAAAGCCUUCAAGAGGUUUAAAUCUUGAAGAGAUUGUGUAAGAGCCCAUUGGAGCCGGAAUCCAAGUGUAAGAAGAUUGGAAGCUUGGUUGAAACUUUAAGUUAGUGGAACCCUCACUCAGUUAGGAGAUUGAGGAGAGUGGACGUAGGCAAGAAAGUGCCGAACCACUAUAAAAUCCGAGUUUGAAUUCUUUAACUCUAUUUCUUUAUUUUGCUUAUAUUUUGCUUGAACUCGUUGUGAUCGAAAAGAAUUUAAAAAAUCCAAUUCACCCCCUUCCCCUCCUUUUGGGUGUUUUUCUUAAUUAAGCAUAGCCUAUAUUUUCUCAUAAAUAAUCUCACAAAAUCCUAGUACAAACUUUAGCCUCAAAUUAUACAAGAUAAACUAGGAUUGAAUGGUGCACUAAUGAUAUGUAAGUUUUAAAACAAUGUGUACUAAAAAACACUCCCCUAAGGCUCAAUUAUAUUCAAGAAAGGUUUAAGAAGGUUAAACUCUUGAAACUAUAAAGAUUGAAGCGUUUUUAUAGAAGAGAAAAGCCAAACUACCUAUUGGGGGUUCGUCUGGUCGAGCUCUGGUUCGACCAGUUCACUAGCCAUUAGCAUUUAAUGUAUGAUAGGUGACCAUUGGGCCUUGACUGGUACUCAAUUGGAUGAAGUUCAACCUUGAUUGAUCGAAUAAGCAUUAUGGAAAAGAGAUAAGGUUUUUGCACCCUUCAACUGAGUAAGUUGAAUAAGUCGACUAAUUCCUCAUUCAAUUCAACCAAUUAAGUCAUUUUUUGCUAAAAAAACCAUCAUUUUCAACUUAAAACCUUUUAAACAAGUUUGGAAAGCAUUUGACAUAAGGUUUUAGUUGAAAACAUGAAAUCAUCCAAUUUUUAAAAGAUUUAAAACAAAAUAACUCUUGAAUGAUUUUAGUGUAUAAGUAAAGAAUGUAAUGCAUGAAAAACCCCAUGCACUAACAACCUUACAAAGAGAUCCUAUGAGGCUUAGGUCUUGAAAAAACACUUAUCUUUAAGGUUUUCUUCUUCUUAUUGAUUUUAUCUUUGUGAUUGCCACUUUGGAAAUCAUCUUGCCUAGUCACACUUAAAAUAUAAUCAUUAGUUCUAAACCUUGUUUUGUUAUCAUCAAAACUAAGAUUAACCAAACCUUGGUUUCACAGUAUGAAUAUUGUAUCUUUAGAUCUAUAGUUAAUAGUGGUUUUUAUAGUCAUAUGUUUCUAUUGUGAUAAAUUUAGAGAUGCCUAGGGAUAGAUGAAUGCACCCUAUGAGAUCUAGUGCAUAUGAAUGGAGUAAUCUGGGGUUCCUAACAUAGUUUAGGCUUGUGCUUCAUAGAGCGAUAACAAUUCUUCAAGCAUAGUUAUGCUUUAGAAAUUUGUUAUUGAUUGGUCCAAUUUUUAGACCAUCUUUAGCAACAAUCUUGUGGGCACCAUUGAUAUAAACUUGUUAUACAAAAUAUGAUCUAUCACAUUUUUGGCAAGAACUUUCCACUAGUUUUGUGCAUGGUAAUGAUCAUGCAUGCAAACUUAACUAAGUUAUACACUAGAUGCCAAACUACUACAAUUCUUAUACACCUUCCCAUUUUGUGCAACCGAACAAUUCAACAUCAUAACACCAAAGUUCUUGCUUAGAUUUCCUACAGUGCUAAAAUUUUGAAAUGAUUAAUUUUUUUAUUUUCCUUUCAAUACCAAGACCCACAUACAUCAUGUCAUGCCCUAAGACCCACUCUAAGGGCAUGACAAUCAUUUCACAUCUCAAGGUAGAAAGCUCAAAGUGUAAAUUGACCUUAACAUUCAUUUUGUAACUGGAAAAUUAUCAAUUACCAAAUUCAUAUUCAAAGUAGUAGAAUAAAAUUCUAUAAGUUUCAAAUCUCAACUUUAAAGCUAACACAUCAACUAAAGUGUUAUUGUCCAAACAACUUCAAACUUAACAAUUCAAGCAAUCAUUAAAUUCUAGCUUUCAAAAAAAUAAAGUUUUAACCAAAAGUCUUAAUAUUGCCAAAAUAUCAUCCUAACGAUCACUCCUAGCCCGAAUUAAGGUGCCUAAAAAAUUGUCAAUGAAAGGAAAUGAGAUCAACGCUCAAUAAGGAAUAUUAACAAAGUUUCAUGGAUCAAACAUUUUUAAUUAUAAUUCCAAAUAGGAGAUAUAAUAUAUAAUCAUUUUCAUAAAAACUUUUGAGUUUAAAUAUAAUAAUACAUUCAAAAAUUUUUAGCUAAACAUUUUCAUAUCUAUGUCAAAACAAUUUCAUAUCAAAUUCAAAUCAAAUAUAUACAAAAUAUUUUUAUUUUGGUUAUCAAAUAUCACAUGGUGUCAAGUUAGGUGGGACUUUACAAAUUGGUGUCUAGCCUCAAAUUUUUUCAUUUCAAGGUGGAUGAAACCAAACACUACUAGUAUUAUUAACAUCUAACCAAAUGCCUAAAGGGUGGAAUCUAAAGCAAUUACAUGCCCCGCCAAGAAAUAUAAGGUCAACAAUUAUAACUAGUUAACUAAGGACAAAAAUAAACUAGAGUCAAACACCUUAUUUCAUUAAUUCAAACUUACAAAACAAAAACAUCAUAUCUCCAUAAUUUUCAUUUUUUAUAAACAAAAGAAAUGUUCUAACAUAUUUUUUUCAUGAAAAAUAUAUAUUUGAUCCAUGCAUAAAAAUAAAAAUAAUUUUUUUUAUUAUUCAAAAUAACAUAUAAAAGUAAAUAUGUUCUUUUGGCCAAAACAUGUAUUAAUUUUUCUUACCUCAAAGAAACACUCAAAGACCUUGAAGCAAUUAAUCCUGAAGAAUUUCACCCCAAAAAACAUAUUUCAUACCUUACAAAAAAAAAACAAAAAAACAAAAUUACUAUUGAUUAUUUAUCUAAUAAUAGUUUCGUAUCUCAUAUCACCUAUAUUAUUUUUAACUUCCUAAUAAAUAACAAUUUAAUAAGUGAUUUUCCAAAUUUUAAAAAGUUAUGUUCUUUCCAAAAUUUAUUCAUAAUAUUCUAUUAUUAUUAAUUAAAUCUCUCAAAAAUAUGUUUUUUCUAUUUAUUGCAUUAAACUAUUAUUAUUAUUAUUCAAUUUCAAUUUGAUUAAUUGGUUUUUUCUUUUAAAUUUUUAAUUUAUAUAAGAUUCUUGUUUUGAAAAUCUUCCAUAUUUACUUAUUUGUUUAAAGUAAAUUUCUCCAAAACUUGUUCCUUUUUGUUAAACAAAUAUCUUUUCCUAUUAUUAUUAUUAUUAUUAUCCCUAAUAUUAUAUUCAAAUAACUAAACAAUAAUAAUUUAAAUUAGUGAGUUUCCAAAUUUUUAUAAAACUCAUAUUCAUUCUAAAUCUUAUCAUAUAUAUCUAUUUCUUUUAUAUAAUUAAAUUAAAUUAAAAAUUUUACUUAAAUAUAUAUAUAUAUAUAUAUAUAUAUAUAUAUAUAUAUAUAUAUUAUAUUAUAUUAUUACUUUCAACAUCCUUCUACCACCGAAACAAUUACCUCAAGUAAAAGUCAUCUAUCCUUAUUCUACUAACUACCCUCUCUCUUGCAAUAGCACACUUAGGGAUGGCAAUGGGGCGGGUUCAGGAUAGGUCACCCCCAUCCCAACUCCACCUUGUUUAUUCAAAAUAAUUAUCAUCCUCGUCCCAUUUAAAAAAUUAAAUGAGACGGGGCGAGUAUGAUAAAUUCUCAUACUCGCCUCGUCCUGCCCCGUUUAACUUUUUUUUGAAUUUAUUUAUUUAUUUAUUUUUAAAAUUACUUUUAAAAUUUUUAAUUACAUUAAAAUAAAUAUAUUUUAUAAAUAAUUAAAUAAUUAUAUUUUUUAUUACUUAUUUUAUUAAAAAUAUUUUAUUAUUAUCUAUAUAUUAAAAAUAGUAAAAUAAAAAUUAAAUUAAAUUAAUUUUAAAAAUUAAUUUUAUAUAUAAUUGGGGCGGGGUGGGACGGGGCAAUACCCAAACCUGCUUCGGGUUUUAAAAAAAAUUCUCAAACUUGUCCCAAACCCGUUUAUUAAAAUUGAACUCCGUCCCAUUAGGGACGAGGCGAGUACCUCGAAAAAACCUGCCUUAUUGUCAUUCCUAAGCACACUUUCAUUUUUUUUUUUUCAUUUUUAUUGCUUUUAUCUUUUUCCUCCCUAAGAUCAAUCAUAUUGUAAGCACCCCUUUUUUUUUUCUACCACAUCUUGUUGCAAUCAACCUUGUAAGUUUUUUUAAUUUAAAUUUUUUUUCCACUAUGGAGGCACGUACAACCAUAAAACCCCAUCUUUUUUUAUUUUAUUUUUACAACUCUCAAAUCUCUCAACCUCCAUACUAUUAGGUUUUAUUCAUUCAUUUAUUUAUUUAUUAUUCCAUAUCCAAAACUAUAAUUAAUUUUCUUUUAUAUUUUUUUAUUUUAGAUCUAUUAAUUUGAAUAUUCAAAAUUUCUAAUCUUUACUAAUAACUCUAAAGCAUUCAAAACUAAUUAAUAAAUAUAAAAUAUUAAUCUAAGGAUUAAAAUCUUAUAUAGAAAAUUGAUCUUCAAAUCUUAAACCCCCAAAUUUUCAACCUUACAUUGCGUUGUCUAAUAUCUCAAAUCUCCAUGUAAAAGGGCUUUUGAAUAGAGUAAAUAAGAAAAAUUUAAUUUAUACCUAAAAUUUUUAAAAUAGAGAAAAAUCUUUCUACCCUUAUUAAUUUAAUUUAAUUAAUUUUUUAAAAUUAUGUUUUUACCCUUUAAUUGGGUUUGGGCAUCACACAUCAUACUAAAAAGUUAUCAAUAACCGUCCUUUGAGGCAUAUUAGCAUAAAUUUGCAACUUUAGUUGUGUUCUAGGUGCAAUUCUAUUAUGUUUAAUUGAAAAAUAACACACAUAGCACAACCAAGCCUAAUUGAAAGCAUUUGGGCAAAUAAAUGGUAAAUUUCUAAAAGUUCACCAAAACAAAAAAAAAGAUCAUAGAGGGCAUAUUUUUCAAGUCAACCUAGUUUUGGGAUAGCCACUUUCAAGCCUAAUGAUGUUAAGAUGUCUUAUUGCAAUCCAAUCUAAGAAUGCAAUAAUAGCUCUUUAAUUCAUAAUUUUAAAUUCACAAAAGAUAUCACCAAAAAUUACCAUAGGUUACCAAAGCAUCAACAACAUACAGAAAGCUUAGAAAUGCUUGGAACCUAUCGGAUUUUCACUUUUUAGGAAUAAAAAAAAAAAUCAACUUUAAGGAUUUUAGGGUAAUACUUGCUUGAACCAUCUUUCAAUCCUUUUGUUGGUGGUGGGCCUUUUACCUAUAGGAACAGGAAUAAGAGGUGAAAAUGAGGGAGCCUUAUGAAAACAGAUCCCUAGGGCUUAAGAAGGGGUUUUCAAUUUUAGGGUUUGCCUUUUCACCAAGGAUGUGAAUGGGAAGAUCAAGUGAAGUUAAGAGAUUGGUGAAGCAAAGUGAGGGCAUGGUAGGGUUUGAAUAAGGGAAAUUCUACACUAUUAAUGAAGAUGAUAAUCUCGAGAAAGCAAAGCUAAGGUAAACUAGGGUUUUAAUAACAUUUUUCAAUCUACACUAGUGAAGACGAUAUCUUCGAAAACCAAAGCUAGGGUAAGCUAGGGCUUUAAUAAUGAAUUUCAAUCUACAAUGGUGAAGAUGAGAAUCUUCGAAAACCAAAUCUAUAAUGGUGAAGAUGAUUGAAAACUAAAUCUAUACUGGUGAAGACGAUUGUAAAGCAAAUCUACACUAGUGAAGAUGAUAAUCUUCGAAAACCAAAUCUAUAAUGGUGAAGAUGAUUGAAAACUAAAUCUAUACUGAUGAAGAUGAUUAGAAAGCAAAUAUUCACUGGUGAAGACAACGAAACCAAAGGUAGGUCUUCUAAACUAAACCCUUUUAGGGAUUUUCCAUUUUUUUUCCUUUGUUUUCAAGAAAGGUAAACUCUCUUGAAAACCAAAAAACUAAUGCAUUCUUAAAUCCAGAUCACCAUUUUCAACAUAGUAUUUGGAUUUCCACCUUGCAUUUUUUAUUUUUUAUUUUUUUUAAUAGUCAAGGGCAUUUUAGGGAUUAUUGAAGGAUAAUAUCAAUAAGCUCAAUUUCCUACAUUAGUUAGGUCUUAGGCUCAAAUGUGAAACUUAUAGGGAUGUUAGGCCAAUUAUCAAACUUACUUGCCUAAAGCAUAAUUUCCCCUUUUCAAAAUAGUUGUUAAACAUCAAUCCCAAACAUGUGUAACCCUUUGAAGUACUUGUAUGUCAACCUUGUUUCCUUUCCCUCAUGCAACAUGACUUAUUGAUGGUUGCAUUGAAUCAUUAUCAUUCACCAAAUCCAUGCAACUAUGGACUACCUUUCAAAUCCCUUGAACAUAAAUGGUAAUUCCAAAACAACUCAAGUAUAAUCUUUCCGGCCUUUCAAAUGAUUUAAUUAAUUGAUGUUUGAAUAUACUUCAUAUAUUUUUUUAGAGCAAUUUUUAGGCAUAUGACAUAAAUCUCUAAUUUUUUUUAUUUUUAUAAAAGGUUUUAUAUUUUAUAUUACAAUUUCCUCUCUUUUUUUUCAUCUAAAAAACAAAAUAUAAAACCUUAAUAAACGAGUUUUGUCACAAUCCCUUAAAAGGUAAUCUAUUUUUAAAAAUUACUUUAACCAUUUUAGAUAUAUUGAUUCAGUCUAAUUUAAUUUUAAUAUUUUUUAUAAAAUAUUUUUAUUUUAUAUGAUUAUAAAUUAAUUACCAUUGAUUGCAUAUUAUAGAAUAUAUAUUCUAAAAUAUAUCCUAUUGACAAUAAUAUCAUAAGAUAUUAUAUCCAUAUCCUAAUAUAUUAUAUACUUUUAUUUUGUGCAAUUAGCAACAGGGUGGAAGACGGCUUAGGCGGGAGACGGCUUAACGGAAAUGUCGUCUGCCAUGCGUGUCCCUUCCCUUAGUGAGUCUGAACAGCUCCAACAUUUCUGACACGCCCUUCUUCGGUUAGCUCUUAAGUAUUUUCGUUAACCCCAUCACAUUUCGCCAUGUGGAUCUAAGCCUCAUGGUCCUUUCGUUCGUACUAUGAAUAUAUUCCUUAUCUAGAGUCUGGAUCCUUUAUCUCUGCACGUGUCUAUGGCUCUUCACCCCAGCAAGUAUGGCAUUACAAGGGCAAUAUCGUCAUUAAAGACCCAAAAGGCAAACGAAUGGCAUUAUCUUCCUUUUGGGUCUAUUCUAUUUAUAUUUAUAUUGCAAGUUAUUCGUGAUGACUUCUCUCAUAACAGCUAAAAACCACUCCAACAGAGCACACUUCACUUCUUCGUUUUUGUCUUUCCUCUUUUUUUUCCAGAGAAGCUGAGAAAGCCCAGCUUGCCCUCAACUCCCCGAUGGGUUUGAUGAAUGUUCUCAAAUUCUCAGCUGCAUGCUUUGAUCUUCUUGGCUGGUAUGUUGUCCACGGAUUUUCUCGUCAUUGGAAAAUGAAGUGGAAUUCUAUGUUUGAGGACAAAACUGGGAUUUGCUUUGAUUUCUCCAUGUUGGUUUUAUCCCUUUCCUUUGAAUUGUCCACAUUCUUGUCAUUGGUUGUUAGUUAUUUGUUUGGAUUUCUACUUGCAGGCCUCUGUUUGCACUGGGUUAUCCUCUGUAAGUCUUGGUCUUACACCCCAAGAUAUGAUCAUUCAUUUACUCUUUUCUUGUUCUAUGAAUUCUUAGUUCUGUUACAUUUAUUGGGUUGGAUUAUUAGUUAUUAUAUUAAUAAUCAUCAACGUCAUCUCGGUUCUUCACAGAUGUGCUUCAAUUCGGGUAAUUGAGACUAACUCAAUCUCAGACGUUCGGAAGUUGGUGGCGUAUUGGGUUCUAUUUUCCUUGGUUUCACUCUUUGAUCAUACUUUUGCCAAGCUCCUUGAAUGGUAAUUUUGCUCAACUGCAUUCCACUAUAUGUGGCUCUAUUUCUUUCAUUUCUCUGCCCUUAAGGAAUUUGGAGUUGCUUUUUUCAGUUUUCUUCCCUGUGAAAAUAAUCGAGAUGUUUAAUGUUCCAGGCCUGCAUGCUCAAGGAAGUGGUGUCAGCUUUGGAAAUAAGAUGGAUCUACUAGUUUUUAUUUCUCAUCUUUAUAGGGAACUUUCCAUAAUCACAGUGAUGAAUAAUUGUCUUGUUUGAAAGCAUGGUUGCACUUAUUUCCAUGGAAUUUGUCUGCUGAGAAACAAAUGGAAAUAGAAAAUUCAGAAUCUGACAAGUUUGUGUAGGGCAACUGGAUCUAAUCUCUUAGUCGAAGCUUAAUUGGGGCAAAUGCUGAUCAUCUUUGGACCAUUGAAGGCUCUAAUCUGUGCACAAUUCUAAUGUUUUUGUUUUCUUCAUUUCUUUUUCAACUGUUCAUAAUAGAUGUCAAAAGAUAAAACCGAACUUAUGUAGUCCAUCCAAGUGGAUGCAUAUAAAUUUAACAGAAACUGAAAUUCGAAGAAAUUUAUUUAUUUUUUUAAAUAUUUUAUUUUCUUAUAUAAUGCAUGUCAGGAUACCAUUCUGGCCUUACAUAAAGCUGAUGGUCAUCUGCUGGAUGGUGAUACCGCAUUUUGAUGGUUCAUAUUAUGUCUAUCAACACCUAGUUCAUCCAUGCUUGUCCAUUGAUCCACAAGUUGUCAUGAAUUGGCUUUUCAAUGAAUCAAAAAAGAAGUUUCAUAGCAGAGAAAACUUUCUUGUUUCAGCAGACCAAUAUAUUAAGGAGAAUGGACCUGAAGCUUUGAAGAAACUACUUGCUAGGAAGGUAUGCCAUUAUAAGUAGGAUUAUCAACAAGUCAAACAGAGUUUUAUUUGAGAUGUUCAAGUAAAAAAUGACUAUAGCAGGUCAUCUAGAAUUAUGUGGUCUAAAUUCAUGUAUAUAUCUAUAUAUAAUUGUGUUCUCUUUUUUUCACAUAUGCAUGUGCAUUUAGAUUUACAUAAUUAUAUAUGCAUAAUCAGAUUCAACUGUGAUAGCCCGGGAUUUAAUUCAGUAAUCAACUCUUCUGGGAACAUGUUGGUUAUGGUUUCUCUCUCACUGUCCUCUUAUUUAUACAUGACUUUGGCUUCAGUUGAGGAGCACAAAGCCUAAUGUUGAAGUGAAAGAGAUCAAAGCACCUGCAGCACCGGAGAAAAAAGGGGAAGCGGUAUGCACUCUAAUGUGGCUAUUUUAUUUCUAUGGAGGCAGAUCCCCAGAAAAAUGUUGCUCAUGUAAAUUAGUGAUGCAUUUAAAAGAAAAACCACUUUAUGUAUGUUUCUGUGAAAAAGAGAACAAGUUUAUGGAUUAAGUGAUAUUUUUUAUGGUGAAAUAAUCAAUAAUUUUCAAAAUAAUAAUAUAUUCGUGCAUGUUUUUGCAAUUCAUGAAUUCCUUUUACGAUUGAUUCUUCUCACCUCAGUGGAAGUGUGAAGAGCCUAAUGUUGCAGAAAAGGAGAUCCAAGUAGUCAAAGUAACAGACAUAAAAAAUGGGGGGAUGGAGCAAAGAGGGUAAGUUUUCCUUUUUAUUUAUAAGGAAGGCUGUCUUCACACAAGGAUUAUUGUUAUUAUUUUUAAGACAUGAAUGUUGAAUGCAUUUGGAAUUGUCGUUGAAUCAUGUGAAGUGUGAAGGUGCAAAUGGUGCUAAGAAGGAGAUCAAAGUGAUGGAAGUAACACAGAUAACAUUUGGUGAUACAGAACAGUGGGUAAGGUUUCUUGUCAUACUUAAACGGCACCUCAUAUUUCACUAGGAUUAAUUUUGGCCUACAAACAUAUUUGGCUACAAGUUGAAGACAGAUUUCCAGAUACUGGUAGAAGUUGAGACAUAAGUAAUGAAUGAGUUUAGAAACAUGCACAACUCUUGUGUGAAACACAAUGAGAGUGGAAAAUAGCUAAGUUGAAAAAUGGCCAAAUACUAUUUUGUAGUUCCCCCCACCACUUAAGUAAUUUUUGUCAUCCUUUGUGAAUGGACAAUGCAGUCCCUUCAGUAAUUCCGCUAUAUUCAUGACUUGGUGAAGCAUAUAACCAUUAGUGUCUUGUCCUAAGUUGACCUUUAAUGAUGAUCCAUUGAGAGGGAUCUGACUUUUGUCAACCCUCUUAGAGGUUAAACAUACGGGGCUUAACCCACUUUUCAAUCUCAUUGGAUAUAUGGCACGUGGUAUCCUCUUCAUCUUGAAAGAGUGAAGUGGUCAUACUCUUUCCUCCGAGUCCAUCGUGGCCAUGCACUUCUGGCUCAUUGGGCUGAGUGAAAGGAUUCCCUUCUGCUUCAAAUCAUAGAGAGAUAUGCCAUGGUCAGCCUCUUUAAUUUGAAGGAUUGAAGUACUCAAAUCCAUUUCUUUGCAUCCAUCUUAGUCCUGCUUCCAUGUCUCAUGGUUAACCAGGAAGAUCAAGCUUCCAUCCAUGAGAUCAGCAUCUGCAGGGUUAUGACUCCACCCUUCCUUGGCAUAGGAAAGCGAUCAUUAAGCCACAUGUCGGAUGACAGAAGUCGUCAUUCAGGUUAUCUUGAGAACUAGGGAAGUUGGAAUUCUAAUUAUUGCAUAUGGUUCUUGAUGUUUAGCCAAUAUACUAUAGGAUUUUAAGCAUCAUGCCCAUGUGCAUUGUGGUUUUUUAUCAGCUAUAUGGUUUACCAAACUGAGGGAUUGAUUAUAGUCAUAAGUACCCUUUUCCCAUUAAUUUCUUGCAUGUGCUUUGCUGAGAUUAUGUUUUUGACAGUGCUAAUCAGGGCAAACCAACAAACAGCUUUAUGUUAACUUUUACAAACUGCCACAUUUUCAGGUUGAACGAUCAGACAUAAAUCUUGGUGAAACUAGAAGUAAUACAACCUGUGCUGUGGAGAUAAAAGAAAGGGCAGCAGCACUGGUGGCUGCAGAAAUUGAGGCAUGUAGAGACAAUAGAACCCCCGAGAUACCUCUGCAUAAGAAAGUCCAGAAAGAGUGGGCUUGUGCUGUAUGCCAGUUCACAACCCAAAGUGAAGUGACCUUCAAUUCCCACCUUCAAGGGAAGAGACAUCAGGCCACUUCUGAGCAGUUGAGAGCCAAAAACCAGGCAACCAAAACCAAUUGUUCCCCAUCUGCUUCAAAGGCCAAGAAAUCUGAUCAGUCCACCAAAGAGGAGCAACCAAAGUGUCCUUCCAACAAUCUGAAUUCCAAAAACAAUGGAAUCUCAGCUGCUUCAACAGUGAAGAAACCUGACGAGACCAAAGAUGAUGAGCAACAAAAGUGUGCAUCCAGCAAUGGACCAAACCAGAAGAAUAACAAAAAGCAAGAGGAGAAGGUGCUAGUUCUUGAGACCAAUGAGCAAGGCCAUCAGAAUAAUUUUGAUCCACGAUCCCACAUUUAUUUUGGGUCUCACAAGUUUCAAAUUUGCAGAAAAAUGAAAGAUGUUUGAGAGAAAAUUAAAUCAUAUUGCACUACUGUUAGGAAAAAUAUGGCUGAAUCCAAUUGCUUUUCUUCUCCAAGUCUAUUAAAAAUAUAAUUUUUUCUCCAUUCCUGACAAAAUUUAAAUUUUUUCCUUAAAAAAAAAAAAAUUAAGUUUGAUCACCUAACACAUCUUUCUAAACUCAAUCUCAACUUGAAAAAUCAAACCUUAAUGGAUGGACUAUAGAAAUAGUGAGAAAACACUUCUGGGGUUUUUUUUUUCUUCCAACAUCAAAUUUUUCUAUAUAUGGGAUUUCACAUGCAAAAGCAGGAGUAGAUUUGCUUGUGUUUGAUGUAUGUAUUAGAAAAAUUUGUCCCUUCUGGGAUGUUUAAUACUUUUCUAUUCUUUUAUAUGCAUGUUUAGCUAGAAGAUAUAGAAUCGAUACCAUUCCUUAAAAGUGAUAGCCACAACUGUGAUAAUUAAACACCAAAGAAUGUGAAGAUCUAUAUAUUCUUUUUUUUUUCCUCUCUCUUUCAAUAAUGAAGCUAAGAUGUGUUGUAAGCAUCAAAUGCAUUGUCUCUGCUUGAAUAUAUACAAAGCCAAGGACCACAAGAUGGAUAGAUAUGGGGACGCACAAAACUUCUCAAACAUGAUUAUAUUAAUCAAGAAUUCAACUAAGCUUAAAUUCAAGAUGUUGAUUUCUAGCAUCUCUGGUGCUAUAGGAUGACUAUUGAUCCUGUACUGUUAUGUGCCCUACUGAUAUAUUCUUCGGGUUGUUAUGUAUAAAUAAAAUUUUUGGGAAAGUUUGCUUGGUGGUUACACUAUCACUAUUUAGGCCAGUAAAAAUUGGAAGCCUUUGUAAAAAACUGAUGGUCCAAGAGCUAUUCUACUUCAUCAUCCAUGUAAUAUGACGAUACAAAUUUGACUAAAUGCAGCUAUAGAAGGCUUAGGACCAUAAACCAAGCCUAGUCGAUGUCACUCACCUAAAUUUAUGCAUAAAGCUUUUGGAUGGCUCAGAGUUAUAUUUAAUUACUGUUAUGUUCGCAACUAUAUUUUCAUUGGAUUUAUAGUCCAGCUUGAGAACUAGUCCUCCAUUGCACAUAAUGUCCACACAAGGCCACAGUGCCCGCUCAAAGGCCAUAGCGCUACUCAAGGAUAUAGUGCUUACUCAAGGCCAUAGAGCCCACCUAAGGCUAACGACCCAAAAGGAGAAAAAGGUUGGUUCCACGUACUCUAAUAUUUACUAGAAAAGGUUCUUCCUAUUAAAGAACAAAAAAUUGCAUUCCCUUGUGACCAAUCCAAACAGUAGACCACUGACUUGUAUAAGGCAUUAUUCACCAUGCAAGCACUUUUUCAGCAACCUACCAUCUGGCAUGAACCAUUUUGGAUUGAUUCACAAAGCAAUGGUGUUAUAUUAAGCAUAUUCAAUAUAGAACCAAAUUGUGCCUCCUUAGAUUAACUAAAAUAUUUCCAUUGCAAGAUGUGCAGAUAGGCAUAUGAUCAUGAAGUAAUUUCCUGAUGAUAAUACCCCACAAAAUAUUUCUUUUUCUCACUGAUCUCUCCUAGAUUUUCAGUUCACCCAUCCAUGGCGCCUGACUAAAAAUGGGGGCAUUUUGGAUACCCCGAGCAGUAAGUUAGCCUGGUAGGCAUCCCGUUGCAAGCAAAGUCAACCCGAGCGGUCCAUUUGACCAAAGCUUAUCCAGGCAGUAAGCGUCCAUAUACAGCUAACUGUUAUGCACCAUCAACAGGUUGAGGUUACAAGAUUAAAGAGUCAUAAUGGCCAAAUGGAAGUUACACGACUCGGCCUAUAUAAUAACAGUAUGACAAAAAAUGCAGGUAUGAAGAACUAUCACUGAAAAAAUUUAUUCCUAAAAAUCCUUUAAGCUCCUUUAAGCUAACUUGGGCAUUGGAGAGGUCUCUCCGAAGCACACUCGAGCUUACCUUUUUGUAAGACAUCGAGAACAAGAGGCAUUGAAGUGAUUGUCCGGAGGGUUGAACUUGGUCGGGAACCAACAAUACACACUAUUCAAAAAUAGGGAUCAUAUUAAAUUAUUAAUGCAACCAUAGGAAGCAAUUGAGGACAAGGGUGUUAUUUGAUUAAAAGGGUAAUUGAAAACCUAAAUUUUGAAAUUUAACCCUCCAUUCUAUUUGGCCUUAUGUGAACAAAAAUGCCUUCAUUAUUUUCUUGUAAAAAUAACUCACCCAUUUAAACCUUACAUGAAAAUACUUAAAAUGGUAAAUGAUAUGUUAAAAAUUGAUUAUUUUUCAAAUAAAACAUAAGAAGGGUCAAAUUCAUGAAAGGAUUAUUUCAUCCCUUUUAAUCAAUUAAUUCGAUUUAUUUCUUUUUAUUUUUUUUCUCUCCAUGUUAAUUUUCACAUCACCCAACAACACCACUCUUAAUUCACACAAGUUUGAAGUUUUUGAAUGAGAUAUAUUCGUAAUUAUAUUGUAAUUGUGUUAUAAUAACCAUUUCGUACUUGGAUUUGUUCUUUCAGUCCAUUUAACCUUUUUGUUUAUUCAUGUCAAAACAAUGUACUUAUAAUCGAAUCCAUUUAUGACAUGUUGAUCUUAUAUAAAUUUAUUAAUUUUAUAUAUUUAAAAAUUAUAAAAAUUAAAUAUACUUUUUCAAUUAUGAAUAUCAUAUUACUAAAAUAUUAAAUAACAAAUUAACUUGAAAUGCUAUAUAUUUCAUUAAUUAUUUUAUAAUUAAAACAUUAAAUGAAAUAAUAAACAAGUAUAAAAUAGAAAAUUCUAUCUUAGUUAGAAAUUAUAAACUGUUAUUGAGACAUAUAAGUAUUAAAAUUCUACCCAUUUCACUACCAAACAACUUAUGUUUUUAGUCAUAAUUUAACCUUAUGAUGAACACUUAAAUAAAAUUUGUCAUCUUUUUCUAUUGAUUUAUAUUUAUUUAUUUAAAAAUUUUGUCUGGCAUAAACUAUCAUCUCACAAAAUCAUCAUUGAUGAGUAGGCUAUGCCCCAGUGUAAGCAUCUCCAAAUCAAACAUCAAUGAGAGGAGUACAACCAAUCAUACAUCAUCUUAUCAAAAUGAAUCUCCGCUUUUCAAAGUCAUCGUGGUAACGUGAAGAGAGUAUUUGACCUCCUCUAAAGAAAAAACAUGUCUUGAUGUGAAAAAGAUCAAGCAAAGUGGUAUGCCUCAACAAAAAUGUGCUCAAACAUGAUCAUGCCCCGAUGUAAGUUAGUAUCUCUAAGAUCAAUCGCCAAUGAAAAGGUUAUUCCCCAGUAUAGGGCAAACUCUGAAAUGACUAAACUCCGUUGCAAGCUCUCAUAAGUGUCUGUGUCAUGAUCCAAUCAUCGCAAAAAUUUGUCAACAAUGAUGAGAAGGCUAUGCUCCUAUAAUCACAUCAAAGAAAUCACUCGGUCAUAUUACUCCAAUGUGAAAGAAAUCUAAUCACCUCCAAGGAACAGCUAUGCCUCAAAACCAUCAUCGACUGAGAGGGGGAUGCCCCUGAUCCAAUCACCACCCUAACUAACGUACCCAUCAUGAGGAACACUUGUUUGAGCUCCAUAAUGGGGAUCAACCAUUAGAUGAACAAGAUUCGAAUAUUACUUGCUCCCCAUUUCAACCAAUGAAUGAUGUACCUGGAAACCUUGUAGACAACCAUAGUUUUCAGCCUUCUUCCUCGCGAUCAUCUAGAACAGAGUCGGUAAGCUUCACUCAUUUCUUAUAAUGGACCUUGACCCACAACGUCGAACUACCUGUAUGCAAAAUUAUCCGUCCAGAAAACCCAUCCAUACAAUUCAGGUUCAAAACCCACAAGAACCACCCUAUGAAUAAACUAAUUAUAGCUGGCUUCGUUGCAAUAGGCAUUAACUUUCUUAUGCUGACAGUCCUAGCAUCAUUUACCAAAGGAUCAACAACUUUUCCAUGUCAGAGAACAUUAUCAAUCACAAUGACACCCCUGGUCCUCACUAGUUGCGAUAGCAAUUUAAAGUAUUCUUGAUUCAAAGGGUAAACAAAACAAAAAAGAAAACCCUAAGUGUGACUCCUUAUUUGAAAAAUGUGGUUUAUGAAAAACCGGAUCGAGCUUAGGGGUCAGGUUACUUAUCGGGAAGGUACAAAAAAAACCGUAGCACCCCUCUAAGUCCCUAAAAUGGGUCUCUAUUGAUAAAAUGAAGCAAUCAUGGCAAUUGGUAAGGAAAUCAUUGAGUAUCAACAUGAUCACACAUUGAGAGUUAAAGCAUGCAUGAGGAAUGGUCAAAGUGAGAAAGGAUGCGUACCUUAGCAACGAGUCCCAAUGCGCUAUCAAGAAAUUGGGUUAGUGCACAAUCAAUAAAUAUAAAAUAUAACACACAUGCAUCACUAAAUAGGGUAAUAAAUCCCCGAUGACAAACCUUGCACUUCACUCAGGUUUAUUUCUACUUCUCUGAUGUUGGGCCCCACCAAAGCUCAUUUUAUUUUGCAUGAAUCAACUCCAAUAACUCCAUUAUUCGGAAUUACGAAAUUUAAUUCUUGCUUAUUUUAAAGCAUUUUAAAAAUAGAGGAGAUAUGAGAAUUGCUCGCCAGAAAAGAAGAUGGCGGCAAAAUUUUAAUGAAAAACGAGUUUUUGGAACCUAAGAAAAAUGUUAAGGAUGGAAAAUUUUGGAGGUUUGAAAUUAAUUAAAAAUUAGAAUUGAGGAAUUUAUUUACAAAAUGGGGUUUAGGAAAAUUAUUUUCAAAAAAAAAAAAUGAUGAAAUGAGAGAUGGCACGUGACACAAGGGUGGCCAUGCUGAAGGCGUUCUCUUCUGGCCCAAGCUGGAAAUGCACUCCAAUUAUCCUUCUUUUCUGGUAUAACACCUUCAUCAAAAUAAAUAGCUUUUGCACCAUACUCUGAUAGACAAGGACCAAUAACAAUGCCUAUAUUUGCCUUAAGUAGACAAAGUAAGUCACCCAUUGAACCUCCAAUAUAAAUUGUCAAGUGCUCUGUGUCAUUACUGCAUCCCUCCUUCAAGAUGUCCUUAGAAACCUAAAGCUUUUCCACGACAUACUCCAUCUUCUUAAUGAUUUCACCCGUGGAAAUGGAUUCUUCACAAGCCAACUCAUUUGAAUAUACUCUCAAAACACCCAUAUCACCUGAUGAAAAUGCUGAUCUAACGAAAUCGCCACACCAACAGUAUGAAAGUCCAUGAACAUCUGCUUUCAGAUUAUUAUUUUUAAGAAUCUUUUGGAAGAAACCUGUGCAACCAUCUUGAAGAAUUAGACCUUGACCAACCUGUUUUAUAUCAUCUGAAUUUAAACCCUUCAAUACUCCAGACUGAGUCACUCUUGAAUCUGCCUUUUCCUCAAAAUCAGAAAGUUGCUCAAGUGCUUUACAUAAGCCUUCAUAAUUGAAUUUUUCCACUGUUUCACUGGGGACGAUGCUUCCCAUGCAUUUUUCAAGCUCUUCAGUAUGCUGGGUAGAUAGAACACCCCAUGUGUGUGUCCAGAUCACCAUGAGUGACCAUUUGAACCUUGACGAAUGAGAGAGUACAUAACAUUUAAGCACACAGGACAUAUAUUAACAUUCUCCAUUAGCUUCUCUUUGCCUUUGUCCACCUCUUGACCUCCCAUGCAGCCAACUGUGAAGACCACGUCCAGGUGCAGUCACGUGGUGACACAUCUCAUGGUCUUCCUCAUCCAAUAAAUCACAUGCUCUGUUAAAUCUGCUACCCGAAUGGAUACCUCCUAUCCAUCAACCUGAAUAUACUCCGAGCUUUCUUCAUAAAACCCAAGAAACUCCAGAAGGCAUCAUGGUUCUCCUCCAUCAUUGAAAUGAUUAGGGAUAGUAAAUCACUCAUCCCUUAGCAAUAUCCCAUUUUUAAACCAUAGGGUGCGUAGGCUUCUAGAAUAGUAGCAAAGUGAGCAACACGGAAAAUCUUGCGUGGAUCCAAGUUCCAUGAUGGUGAUCGUAGCCUCACCUUUGAAAUCACAAGACCCAGAACCCAUUCGUUCUUCCUGGUAAUAACUAUCAGAUGCAUAGGAGGCAGGGUUCUUCAGAUUGUUGAUUUGGUAAAAGCCUCUUCUGGUUGAACCCCUGAAUGAUUCACUUUUCUCAGUCCGCAAACCUAGUUCAGAACAGCCCGCAAGAUCAGAACCUUAACCUAGGCGUGGAGAUCCAGUGUUGUAUAACGCCUCAAUUGUCGGAAGCAGCCAUGGCCCAAACAAUGAUAUAAUGGUCAGCAAGUUGUCCCCAAGGACCAUGACAGUGAUGAGCAUUUCCGGGCAGCGCGUCACCACGUUCCACGUCGCGACGGUAAUGGCUAUGGACUGAGUGUCAUGGUCAGGGAGCUUGAUGAAGCAGGUGAAAAUCUGGUGUUUUAGAUUCUGAGGCAAUGACUGCUUGAUCGGUCGGAUUCUAGUACCGGCGUUACAUUGGGGAGGCAAUCUUAAAGUUCCAACGGAGGUAGUAGUGGACUAAUAUUCCUCAAUAACCAAACUUGAGUUUCUCACUUUCCGCUUCUCAAGGCAUUCACCUGAAACGCUUCAGGCGCCCAAACCCUUUCUGCUCAUCAGUAUAAUCACGCGCAUGAAAGUCUUAACUGCCUUCUAAACUUCACAACUUCAUCUUGCAUCUGGGUCAUCGUCGGCACGAACUUAUCACCUGAUUCAGUUAAUAUCCCCAUAUAACAAGUUCCAAUGAAGUCGCAACUUUGCAUCUUCUUUUCUGCGAUUACUUUGAUUCUCAAAGCCGAUUACUUGUUGCAGUCCAUAGGAGAUUCAAUAAUCAAACAUCAUGCACAAGCAAAAAGGCAACAAAAUACAUCGGCAUGUGGCCCAUACACCCUCCAAAAUCUUCACUCAUUUAGUAAGUUUUAGAUUCAAAAGAGUUAGCCUUCUGGUGAGCAACCCGAUACCCAUAACGAAUGAUGUAUCUGAAACACCUUUCCCACGUGGCCCUUGAAGGAUUCACUAGAAGGUGACCAUGCAUAGUAGGUCUUCACUCGCAGGAGAAUGAGAAGGAAAUAAACCUAAAGGGGGGUUGACAGCGUAGUCUAGAAGGUGAUGAGCUGAGCGGGUGGGGGUAUUAGGGUGGUCAAGUUCAGUGGGUAUGAAGGGUGGAAAGAUGGCAUGAUAGAGGAAUAAGCAGCUGAUAGUGGGUGCGAUGAUAUAAGGUAGGUUGACUAUGGAGAGUAUGGCAUUAAAGGAUGAAGACUUAGAGAGAGAGAGGUGGGUUUAAGGGUAUGGUGAGAUGGAGGGUUGAGGGUGAUAGGCUUGGAUAGUUGCAUGAGGAGGAUGAAAGGUGGGUAUGGAAAAUGUGCAUGGGUAGGAAAUGGGUAUAACAAUGGGUGUGAAUAUUGAGAGGUAGUGAAAUGAAGGCAGCCUUGCUCGUAUGGAUCAGUGUCGGAUUGAGUUAAGAAUGGUGAGAGAAAGGGAUUCGAUGAAUAUUGAAUGAUGGAAAAUGGUGAUUGGUUAGAUAGGGAUUUGUGGUCGAAUGGAAAUAGGAGACAUGAACAUAGAGAUGAGUGUGAUGGAUGAUAGUGGGCAUGAAGGGUAUUGGAUUUGUUCAUGGGUAUAGUGGUUAAAAGAGUGGUGAGAAGAAAAAAAAAUGGCCAUGUAAAUAGCAAUUAUACAUGUGGGCCCGUGAUUGCAAACGGGACUGCAUUGUUGCAUCUCAUGCUGAACCCUCACCUCCUUCUAGGAUCAUUUUCUGCAUCAAAGCUAGAUAAACUUAGAUGGUAUUUCCUGCCAAUUUUGGAUGCCCCCCACUUUGGAAAUAUUUCCUUUUCACCCAUCAGAAUAUGCUUAUCAGGUGUACUUGACUCAGGUUCAUUCCCAUAUUGCCUCUCUGAUUUAUGAUCUUCAAAGGUUUUGCAUGAAGGAAGCCUUUCACUGCAUUCCCCUUCAUCCACCAGACCUUCAGAGCAUCGUUUCCAACAAAAGCAACCUUGACUCUUCUAGUCCCAUCAGAAAAAAGUCUGAAUAUCCUCAGUUUAUGUCAUCCCUUGAUGCCCAACUCAGAAAUGAUCCAAAAAACAGUCAUCUCCCAUAUUUGGCUUCCCAGAAACACCUCGACUCAGAUGGCCAGUCCAAAUGUGAUACCCAACAUUCUAAAAAUGCUAAAAACAGAGGAGAUGAUGAAGAAAAACAGAGCAUGUAUAAAAGAAAAAAAAAAGGACUGUUAAAUCUCACUCCAUUCCAUAAAUGCUAAUGGGGUGGAUAUGGUGGAAUCAAAAGGAAGCAAGAGCGUGAUCUUCAAAAUCAAAAGCAAUGAUGGAUCCAUAUUCAAAACGUUCCAGAAUAGAGAAAGACACAAAUAAGGAGCAGGGUUUUUUUUUGUUACUGGCAGGAAGAUAUUUUUUCUAGAGAGUAACUAGAGAGAAAAAUAGGAAGAAAAGGGAAGAGCAUAGAAGACAUCUACAUAGGAGAGUAUUCAUUGUUGUGAGGAGUAGUAGAGAGCUUAGGAGGAGUUACAAAGAGAGUGAGUUUGGUUAGAGGAGGAAGUUUUGUUGGUUUUUCAGAAAGGAUUCUAGCUUGAGUGAGAGCCAUUCUAGAGAGGGUUAGAGAGGAGAAAGGUGUGUUUUGAGCAGCAAAGACACGAAGCAAAAUAGAGCAGCCAGGAAAGAGAAGCAGAAAAUCAAAAUUACUAAAAAAUUAGUGAAAGCUGUGAAAUUUCAUAUUGUUACUAAUUAUUAUAAUUUUUUUUUGUAUUUUCAAUAUUUCAACCAAUAUUUUAUAUAAUUAAAUUUAAAUUAUAAGAAUUAUAUUAUUAAUACACAUAACUAUCUUAAUGUUUUAACAAUGUAUACUUAUUUAAAUUUAUUUCAAUUUUUUUAUUUUUUUAUAAAUAUCUAAUUAGACUUAUAAUUCAUUGAAAUUAUUCAUUUUUUUUUUACUUCAUAAACCAAUUAUAUUACUUUUUGUAUUUUCAAUAUUCAUUUGGAAAAAAUAAUUUCAAUUUAAAAUAAAAUAAAUUAAUUAACUCUCAAUUUAUAAAUUGUGUCAUUGAAUUAUUUUUUAUUUAUAAUAUUUAGUUUAUUUUAAAUUUAAUUUUUUUUCUUCACCUUUUGGUUUAUCACUUUAUAUUAAAAAAUAAAAUAAAAUUGAAUUUCUUUUAAUUUAUAUUUUCACAAAUUAUUCAAUAUUUUUUUAAUUUUUAUAAAAUAAAUCCUCAGAUUAUAUAAUUGGAUGUUGUAAAGAGUUAAAAUUUUUGUGUUGCAUUGAAUUAUUUUUUCUAACAAAAGUAUAUUUGGGUACCGUAGACAUUAUAUCCAUAUCUUAACGUAUUAUAUACUUUUAUUUUGUGCAAUUAGCAAUUGAGCGGAAGACGCGGAGCCGGCUAACGGAAAUACCGCGUGUCACGCGUGUCCCUUCCCGUACCAAGUCUCAACUGCUUCAAGAUUUCCGACGCGCCCUUCUUCGCUUAACUCUUAAGUCUUUUCUUCCACUCUUCCUUAAACCCAUCACAUUUCGCCGCGUGGACCUAAGUCUCAAUGUCCUUGUGUUCAUACGAUGUAUGUUCCCCCAAUUCCUCAUCUACACUGAAACUCCAUACUCGCCUACUCAAUCACUUCUCUACUCUAGAGUCUGGAUGCUUAUCUCUGCGCGUGUCGAUGGCUCUUCACCCCAGCGAGUAUGGCAUUACAAGGGCAAUAUCGUCAUUAAAGACACAACAGAGUGUCUAUUUUAUUUAAGCUGUACGUAAUCGUGAUUGACUUCUUAGUAUCCUUUUGCUCCUAGUCUUCUCCCGCGUCUCUUAUAAAAACUAAAGAAAACCACUCCAAGAGAGCACACUACAAGAAUCUUCUUCCUUUUUUUCUUUCCUCUUUCUCUUUACAGAUAAACUGAGAAAGCCCAGCUCAUCCCUCAAUUCCCAGAUGGGUUUCAUGAAUGUUCUCAAGUUCUCAGCUGCAUGCUUUGAUCUUCUUGGCUGGUAUGUUGUCCACGCGUUUUCUUGCCAUUGGAAAUUUUUGGGAAAUGAAGUGGAAUUCUCUGUUUGAGGACAAACAUGGGAUUUUCUUUGAUUUCUCCCUGUUGGUUUUAUCUAUAUUCUUUGAAUUACCCACAUUCUUGUCAUUGAUUGUUAGUCAUUUGUUUGGAUUUCUACUUGCAGGCCUCUAUGUGCACUGGGUUAUCCUCUGUAAGUCUUGGUCUUACACCUCAAGAUAUGAUGAUUCAUUUACUCUUUUCUUGUUCUACGAAUGGUUCAGUUACAUUUAUUGUGUUGGGAAACUGAAAAGGAAAAGGAUUAUUAGUUAUUAUCGUAAUAAUCAUCAACAUCAUCUCGGUUCUUCACAGAUGUGCUUCAAUUCGGGCAAUUGAGACUAACUCAAUCUCAGACUUUCGGAAGUUGGUGGCGUAUUGGGUUCUAUUUUCCUUGAUUUCACUCUUUGAUCAUGCUUUUUCCAAGCUCCUUGAAUGGUAAUUUUGCUCAACUGCAUUCCACUAUAUGUGACUCUGUUUGUUUCAUUUCUUUGCCCUUAAGGAAUUUGGAGUUGCUUUUUUCAGUUUUCUUUCCUAUGAAAAUAAUCGAGAGGUCUCCAUGUAUUUUAUAUUCCUUCAUUUCUCUGCUUUGACAAAGGCCCACAUUCUGAUCAGCAGAAAGGUUAUAACAUUUGAAAAAGAAGUGCUUUAUUUUUGUUUUUUGUUAGUACAAUAAUUUUCGUUUGGAUAAAUGGUCUGAAGGGUGUUUGUGUUUGGCUGAGUUCAUGGAAUUUUCUAGCUAAUUUGGGAUUUAUUCUCAAUUUCAAGAUCAUUGUGGAUAUGUCAGAAAUUAAUGAAAUAUAAACGGUGGAAUGUGAUUUUCUUGUUUAAGAAAAGUUUUUCUUUGAAAAUACGGGUGCACCUGACCUACCUUAUUGUGCUACUUGGAACACAAAACAUUAGUACAGGUAAUUUAUUAACUAAAUUGUACACUUUUUGAUAGUUCAAGGAGGUGGUUUUCUUCUUUUAGGGUGUCAGCUUUGGAAAUAGGAUGGAUCUAAAAGUUUUUAUGUCUCAUCUUUAUAGGGAACUUGAAAGCAUGGAUGCACUUAUUUCCAUGGAAUUUGGCUUCCUUGAAAUCAAAUUAAGCUUUAUGCAUCAUUUGGAUGCUGAGAAACAAAUGGAAAUAGAAAAUUCAGAAUCUGACAAGUUUUUGUAGGGCAACUGGAUCUAAUCUCUUAGUCGAAGCCUAAUUGGGGCAAAUGCUGAUCAUCUUUGGACCCCAUUGAAAGCUCUAAUCUGUGCACAAUUCUAAUGUUUUUGUUUUCUUCAUUUCUUUUUCAACUUUUCACAAUAGAUGUCAAAGGUUAAAACCAAAUUUACGCAGUCCAUCCAAGUGGAUGCAUAUAAAUUUAACAGAAACUGAAAUUCGAAGAAAUUUAUUUUCCCUUUUGUAAAUGGUGUUUAAAUAUUUUAUUUUCUUAUAUAAUGCAUGUCAGGGUACCAUUCUGGCCUUACAUAAAGCUGAUGGUCAUCUGCUGGCUGGUGAUACAGCAGUUUGAUGGUUCAUAUUAUGUCUAUCAACACCUAGUUCAGCCAUGCUUGUCCAUGGAUCCACAAGCUGUCAUGAACUGGCUCUUCAAUGAAUCAAAAAAGAAGUUUCAUAGCAGAGAAAACUUUCUUGUUUCAGCAGACCGAUAUAUUAAGGAGAAUGGACCUGAAGCUUUGGAGAAACUACUUUCUAGGAAGGUAUGCCAUUAUAAGUAGGAUUAUCAACAAGUCAAACAGAGUUUUAUUUGAGAUGUUCAGGUAAAAAAUGACUAUAGUAGGUCAUCUAGAAUCAUUUGGUCUAAAUUCAUGUAUAUAUCUAUAUAUAAUUGUGUUCUCUUUUUUUCACAUAUGCAUGUGCAUUUAGAUUUACAUAAUUAUAUAUGCAUAAUCAGAUUCAACUGUGAUAGCCCGGAAUUAUUUCAGUAAUCAACUCUUCUGGGAACAUGUUGGUUAUGGUUUCUCUCUCACUGUCCUCUUCUUUAUACAUGACUUUGGCUUCAGUUGAGGAGCGCAAAGCCUAAUGUUGAAGUGAAAAAGAUCAAAGCACCUGCAGCACCGGAGAAAAAAGGGGAACAGGUAAGUUCUCUAAUGUGACUAUUUAAUUUCUAUGAGGCAGAUCCCCAGAGAAAUGUUGCUCAUGUAAAUUACUGAUGCAUUUGAUUCAAUGGCAUGGUUUUAAAAGAAAAACCACUUUAUGUAUGUUUCUGUGAAUAAGAGAACAAGUUUAUGGAUUAAAUGAUAUUUUUUAUGGUGGAUUAAUCAAUAAUUUUCAAAAUAAUAAUAUAUUCGUGCAUGUUUUUGCAAUUCAUGAAUUCCUUUUAUGAUUGAUUCUUCUUGCCUUUUUUCUCACCUCAGUGGAAGUGUGAAGAGCCUAAUGUUGCUCAAAAGGAGAUCCAAGUUGUCAAAGUAACAGAGAUAAAAAAUGGGGGGGAUGGAGCAAAGAGGGUAAGUUUUGCUUUUUAUUUAUAAAGUAGGCUGUCUUCACACAAGGAUUAUUAUCUUUAAGACAUGAAUGUUGAAUGCUUUUGGAAUUGUCCAUGAAUCAUGUGUAGUGUGAAUGGCCUAAUGCUGCUAAGAAGGAGGUCAAAGUGACAGAAGUAACACACAGAACAUUCGGUGGUACAGCACAGUGGGUAAGGUUUCAUGUCAUAUUUAAAUGGCUCCUCAUAUUUCACUAGGAUUAAUUUUGCCCCUACAAACAUAUUUGGCUACAAGUUAAGACAGAGUUCCAGAUGCUGAUAAAGUUGAGACAUAAGUAAUGAAUGAGUUUAGAAACAUGCACAACUCUUGUGUGAAACACAAUGAGAGUGGAAAAUAGCUAAGUUGAAAAAUGGCCAAAUACUAUUUUGUAGUUCCCCCUACCACUUAAGUAAUUUUUGUCAUCCUUUGUGAAUGGAAAAUCCAGUCCCUUCAGUAAUUCCGUUAUAUUCAUGACUUGGUGAAGCAUAUAACCAUUAGUGUCUUGCCUUAAGUCGACCUUUAAUGAUGAUCCAUUGAGAUGGGUCUGACUUUUGUCAACCCUCUUAUUCCCUUGAUCAUAGAGGUUAAACUUAGGGGGCUUAACCCACUUUUGAACCUUAUUGGAUAUAUGGCACAUGGUAUCCUCUUCAUCUUGAAAGAGUGAAGUGGUCAUACUCUUUCCUCUGAGUCCAUUGUGGCCAUGCACUUCUGGCCCAUUGGGCUGAGUGAAAGGAUUCCCUUCUGCUUCAAAUCAUAGAGAGAUAUGCCAUGGUCAGCCUCUUUAAUUCAAGGGAUCGAAGUACUCAAAUCCAUUUCUCUGCAUCCAUCUUAAUUCUGCAUUCAUGUCUCAUGGUUAACCAAGAAGAUCCAGCUUCCAUCCAUGAGAUCAGCAUCUGCAGGUUUAUGACACCACCCUUCCUUGGCAUAGGAAAGGGAUCAUUAAGCCAUGUGUUGGAUGACAGAAGUCAUCAUUCAGGUUAUCUUGAGAACUAAGGAAGUUGGAAUUCUAAUUAUUGCAUAUGGUUCUUGAUGUUUAGCCAAUAUACCGUAGGAUUUUAAGGAUCAUGCUCAUGUGCAUUGUGGUUGUUUAUCAGCUAUAUGGUUUACCAAAAUGAGGGACUGAUUAUGGUCAUAAGUACCUUUUUCCUAUUAAUUUCUUGCAUGUGCUCUGCUGAGAUUAUGUUUUUGACAGUCCAAAUCAGGGCAAACCAACAAACAGCUUUAUGUUAACUUUUACAAACUGCCACAUUUUCAGGUUAAACGAACAGAGAUAAAUCUUGGUGAAACUAGAAGUAAUACAACUUGUGCUGUGGAGAUAAAAGAAAGGGCAGCGGCACUGGUGGCUGCAGAAAUUGAGGCAUGUAGAGACGAUAGAACCCCCAAGAUACCUCUUCAUGAGAAAGUCCAGAAAGAGUGGGCUUGUGCUGUAUGCCAGGUCACAACCCAAAGUGAAGCGACCUUCAAUUCCCACCUUCAAGGGAAGAGACAUCAGGCCACUUCUGAGCAGCUGAGAGCCAAAAACCAGGCAACCAAAACCAAUUGUUCCCCAUCUGCUUCAAUGGCCAAGAAAUCUGAUCAGUCCACCAAAGAGGAGCAACCGAAGUGUACUUCCAACAAUCUGAAUUCCAAAAACAAUGGAAUCUCAGCUGCUUCAACAGUGAAGAAACCUGAUGACACCAAAGAUGAUGAGCGACAAAAGUCUGCAUCUAGCAAUGAACCGAACCAGAAGAAUAACAAAAAGCAAGAGGUACAGACCAAUGAGCAAGGCCAUCAGAAGAACUUAAAGCAAACUGGCGAUGGAAUGAAAGAGUUGAGAUUAUGCUGCAAUAUCUGUAAUGUAAGCUGCACAAGUGAGCUUGACAUGGCCUCUCAUCUCAAUGGAUGGAGGCACUUUAAUAUGAUAAAGGAGGCGUCUGAAUUAUGGUGCAGUAACUGCAAUGUAAGGUGCAACAGUGAGGCUGUCAUGGCCUCUCACCGAAAUGGGAGGAGGCACUUGAAGCAGCUGAAGGAACGGUCGGGAUUAUAGUGCAGUAUCUGUAGCGUGAGAUUGUGUUAGGAAGAGGUGGAAUGGGUUCCAAUCAGGAAUUAAGACUCGGUUCCAAGACAUGGAAAGUGUCUUUAGAUUAUGUUAUCUCCAUUUUUUUUAUUGUGAGAGGGGAGUAUAAGGAAUGAAAAUAAAUAUAUAUAUAUUUUUUAAUAGAGAUGAAUUUGAUAAUUUUAAUUAUUGUGUUUUGAUGUAUUUAGGAAUGUAAAAUUAAAAUAAUUAUUUAUUUUCAUUUUAGUAUUUGACAAUAAUAAAAUUAUGAAUUAAAAAAUAAUGUGAUAAUAAUACAUUUAUAUUUAAUUUAAAAUAUUUUUUAUUUUAUUUUAGAAGAAUAUGGGUUAAAUUCUUUUUUUAAAUAAUAAGCUUAAGAAAAAUAAUUUUUACUCAAUAAAUAAAAUUAAUCAUAAAAAGUCAUAACAACCUAAUAAAAAUAUAGGGGUAAAAUAAUAAUUUUAAAAUAUUAUUUAAGUUAUCCAAACAAAUUUGACUCUUCAUUCUCUCUCUUGAACCAAAUACGGUCUUUUAAGCGUUUGUCAACUUAUUUUUUUUUGCAAAAUAUCAAUAUUUUACUAAUAUUUUUAUCGAUUAUUUGCCAAUAUUUAUCGCCACGUCACCAAUUCUUUGAGUUUGACUUUCAAAAUUUUGAAAUGAUAUUUGAAGUCCAGUUCAGCCCAAAUCACUACACCCAUGAUUUUUCCCUUUUCUUUUUCUCCUUAAUUUUCACAUCACCCAACAACACUACUCUUAAUUCACACAAAUUUGAAGGUUUGGAACGAGACUUCUUCCUAAUUAUAUUGUAAUUAUGUUAUAAUAACCAUGUCGUAUUUGGAUUUAUUUAUUCAGUCCAUCUAAAUCUUUUGUUUAUUCAUGUAAAAAGAAUAUAGUUAUAAUCGAAUCCAUUUGUGACAUAUUCAUCUUUUAUAAAUUUAUUAAUUUUAUAUAUUUAAAAACUAUAAAAAUUAAAUAUAUUUUUUCAAUUAUGAAUAUCAUAUUACUAAAAUAUUAAAUAACUAAUUAACUUGAAAUGUUUUAUAUUUCAUUCAUUAUUUUAUAAUUACAACAUUAAGUGAAAUAAUAAAUAGGUUAAAAUAUAUAUUUUAUUUUAGUUAAAAAUUAUAAAUUGUUAUUGAGACGUAUAACUAUUAAAAUUCUACCCAUUUGACCAUCAAACAAACAACUUAAGUUUUUAGUCAUAAUUUAAGCUUCUGAUAAACUCUAUUUCCAUAAAUUAGAAACCGAAAUCAAUUUCUUCUUAGACUCAAAAACAUAAAGACAAUCUUUUAAUUCUAGAAGACAUCUAUCAUUUAAGAUAAGGGUAACAUAUCCCAUUGCCUAAACAACAACUCUUGCUUCAAAAGCCAAUGUCAAGUACAUAUCCCUAUCAUUCAACCUUUCCCUUAGCUAAAACCCCUAUAAAGAAUUAUAAACAUAAUCAAUGGCUCCAAAAUUUAUCCACCAAGAGUUAGUGGAAUCCAACACUAAACAUAAUUCAACUAUAAGAGAAUGAUGCAUAGUUGACUAUCUCUUCAAGAACUAAGGACAUUCCUUCUUCUUCUAAUGGCAUUUUUUACCACAAAGGAAACACUUGUCAUGACCCUUACUCUUCUUCUUCUUCCCCUUAGCCUUAAACUUCCCCUUCUGCUUGAUGAACUCUAUAGUGUUCUUCUUAUUUUGGCUAGAAAAACCUAAAGAACCCUUAACUGCCAUAUAAAUACCUCUCUGGUCCUUGAGAAUUCCCUCAGUCAUUUUGUGUUCUCUCAUUAGUUCAAUUGUAGUUUAAGAAAAAUAAUGUUUUUUAUUUUAUUUUAUGUGAUUGAACUUGGAAUGAAUUUCCAAGUUGCAUACAUACUUGGGUUGAGAUCAAGUCAUAACGUAGUUUAAGAAAAAGAUUUUUUAUUUUUUAUGUGAUUGAACUUGGAAUGAAUCUCUAAGCUACCUACGUAUCCAAGAUGGGAUCAAGUUCUAACAUAGUCACAAUGCAGUUCAAGAUUUUUUUUUUUCUUUUUUUGUGCUCUAACUUUUGUCAAGACUAAAGAUCUUAAUCUUGCAAGCAUGUCCUAACUUUUGUCUAGGUCACCUUUCCAAGUUUUCAACUUAGCAAACAUUUUUUUUUUUUGUUCUCUAACGUUUGCCAAGACAAAAGAUUUUAAUCUUGCAAGCAUGUCAUAACUUUUACCUAAGUCAGAUUUUUAGGUUUUCAAUGUGGUGGAUUUUUUUGUUUUUUAUUUUUUAUUUUUUAUUUUUUGUGUCGUAGGCAAUUUAGCUCAUACGGCCCAGAAGCGAUGUGUAGUUUGUUGGGAUUCAACCCUUAAAAGCAAAACAUGAUGUAACAAAGUUAGACUUAACUAUCCCCUUGCUAUCAUUUUGGUGUAUUAACAUUGAUUUAAACAUUCAACUCAUAUUUUACAUUGUACAUGACUUAGGUGCAUUAGGAGUUGCUCAUAAGAUACAUGGAUUCCUUGUAAGUAGAUGAGUUAUCCAUAGUCAGUUCAUGGAUUUGGGCAAUCUAGUAGAGACUGUAAUGCACCACCUCUUAAUUGAAGAGAUGACUUGUCUUGACAGUUGGGAUAGGUUUCCUAUGGUGAGUGCACUAGUAUAUAUGAUGCACAUUGGAUAGGACCUACGGUAAAUCAUGAGCAAAGCUAUCAAUUGUCAUGAUUCACCAAGUUACGAUACUGCAUGGACUCUCAAUCUUGAGAGGACAUUGAACCUGUGCCAAAAUCAACAAAAAGCUUUCACCUAUAGAUGAGACCUUAAAGUGAUCAUAUAUCCCUAUGGAUUGAGUCACUAUUGAUGAAGGUUGGUGGUAAUAGGUAUUCUCAAUAGAGGCACCAUGAUAUCUCAUGAGAUUGAGACGGUGUGUCCCCUUGGGUGAUACAAAGGACAUGUGAUCAUAAAAUCUGUGACCAUAGUAAUUCUUUUAUUGAAAUUUGACAUAUACCCCUUCGAGCUAGAGUAUGUCAGUUGAUUACAUAAUAAGUGGCAUCUAUAACUUAAGGAUUUGAGAGGUAAUCUUGAUAGGUGAUAGCACUACCUUGUUAGAUUAUGGACACCAGUUCAUGGGGAAUCUACAUGCAGUGGAUGAUAUGUCACGAACGCGAGCUUCAUAUCGUUGUUAUUAACAUAGGAUACUGGAGUGCAAUUGAUUCUCUUUAGUAGAAUGUUGAAUCAACUUCAAAAUGGAUUAUGAGGGAGCCAAUACUCCUAUGGGUCUUAAUGGUCCCCACUCUGAGCUCAUAUACCAUGAUGACACAGUUUAUGAGGGUUUGAUUGGCUUUAUGUUCAUUUUUGUGCAUAAGGGCAUUUUGGUAAUUACACAAGGUUACAUAGGGGAUAGUCAAUAAGGUCUUUAGAUUGGGCCAAUUGAUUAAUUAGAUGACCUUAUGUGGUUAAUUAAUCAAUUAUGAUAUGUUUAGGCUAGAUUAAAUGACCCAAGCCUUGAUGAAUUUAAGUCACUUAAGCCUAGCAGAUAACCUUAUAAAUACCCUCUUAUGGGUUAGGGUUUCCUAAUGACUUUCAGUUAAUCAUCUUCCAUCCCUAGAAAGAGAAAGAGAGCCAAAUCUUUCUCCCUUCCAUUGCCCACACUUUGGUAUGCCAAGAUCAUGGUUCAAGUCACUGGGAGGAAGAUCUUGGGUGUACAAGACCUUCGGACUCUUUAAGUUUCUUCUUCGUUGGAUGAAUUUUUAUUUGGGACACAUCUAGAUCAUAAGUAUGUGUUAGAAAAUUUGGCUAAUUCAACUUAAGGUAAUCACUCUAGAGGAGGGGUGAAUAGGGUGAUGAUCUUUUUUUACAAAUUUAAAUUAUGUGAAUGCAAGAGACAAUUAUACUAUGCAAAUAUAUAGUAAAACCAUAUAAAAAUAAUUGCAUAUAAAGUACAAGGGUAGAAAAUAGAGAAUAUAAACACAAGAUUUUUAUAGUGGUUUGGUGCAACUCGGCCUACAUCCAUUCUCCUCUAGCUUCAAUCCCAAGUUUGAGGUUCCACUAAUUCAAGGCUUCCAACCUAACCCUUCAAGCAAUACAAUUGGAUUAUGGUUCCAAUCAAACCUUUUGGACUUUUGGCUCUAAGCACCUUUUACAAUCUUUGAUUCGUGCCUAACUGGUGUUUGCCCUGUUGAUUGGUGUUCAAUCAACUGAUGUGCUUUGAUUUCAGUCCUCAGACGAGAGUAAUCAACAAAAUUUAUAAACCUAUUUCACCAUAUACUAGGGUAGCAUUAGCUAGCAUAGCAUAGUGGCUCUAGGAUCGUCCACAGGGAUGGGUUUUCAAAUUACAAUUGAUAUUAGUUCAAAAACUGAAUUGGUGUUUUUUCUUUUCAAGGUUAGCUUUAAAAGAAAACAUAAGUAUGUGUGAAAAGGUUGGUUUUAAGUGAAACCAAAAAUAAAGUAACUGAAAUUACUUACAAAGAAAAGUGCUUCUUGGAGUUUUAGAUCACUAGGCUCAAGUUCCUUAUACAAAAAGAGAGAUUCCGAUCACUUGGAUCUUUUCCUAGCAUUGGGGAUUUAACAUAUAGUUAUUUCCCGAACCGGUGCGGUACAGAUGCUUCCCCUUAAUGGUUUCAAACACUAAAUCUCUAUCACUGAAUCAUCUUGUAAUGGUUCAUACCUCUCACCUGGUAUUGGUCAUUUAAGGUGAUCAUUAACCUUGGAUUACCCGUCAAAAGCUCGCAAAAGAUAACUAAUGAAUGUCUCCUAGGAGUCCAAAAGCUUACCAAGUGUUGGCUAUUCUAGAUAAUCCUACCUUUAAACCAUCUCCCAAAAGCUCGCAAGAGAUAAACUAGUGGAUCUCAAUGGACGGAGUCCACUUGCCUUACCAAGUGUUGGCCCAAGUGAUUUUAAGGGAUUUUAAGUUAACUAAAAAGAUAAAAACCAUUAACGGGUCACACUUUCUCUUCAUUAAAACCUGAAACAAUGAAACUUCCACUUUUGUAUACGAAACCUUACCUAGCUUCCUUCACUCCAAGAAACAAAAAGCCUAGCCACUCAUCCUCUAGGAAAACAUCCUCAGAGUUUGAUUUGGUAGAAAUAAAAAUAAAAGAGAAAACCAAAUGUGAAGGUAAGGCCGAGCAGAGCUCUGUGUAUUACUUUAUGAAAAACUAUACAAAAUUUGUCUCUAAGAGAAACUCCCCCGAGAUCUCUUUUAAAAGAAAAUUACAAUAGAUAUCAUAUAAAGAGGCUAUUCACCCCUCUUGCUAACUUCCCAACCAUGAAAACUUGUCAAUGGUGGGUUACAAGGAGAAAAUAGGGAUUUACACACAAAUAUUUGAAGAUAAACAUCAAACUGAGUCGGUGCGCAAAUAUCUCAGAUUACAAGUGGAUUUCGCAAGUUCAAACGCAACUUGCAAAAAUUUUGCAAGUUGAAAUUAUGGUUUCGCAAGUUGCGAAAUUGUCCUGCAACUAAUCAGCUCUCUGUCCUACAACAAUUCCUUUCCUCUUCCUAUUUCGCAAGUUGUGAGAAUUUCGCAAGUUGGAUUCCACAACUUGCAAAAUUGUUGGAUGGUUGAUUUCUUUUGUGAUUUUCUUCCUUGCAUCCUCAUUUGGCUUUGGCAAAGGGUUAUGAAGCUCCAAAGCUUAGUUUCUUCAUGAAUUUGAGCUUCAACUUGCUUUGCCAUGAACUAUACAAAGAUCUCCCUCAUUCUUGGAUUGCUUUGGUGAUAAAAAAGCUAUGAAAAACACCAAAACUUAACACAAUUUGAUUAGAAACGAUUGUAAGGGUCUUUAACAUGCCAAUUGAGUUAAAAGGUAAUAGCUACUACUCAAAAGUGUUUAAAAGAGUUAAUUACAAGCUAUAAAAUGACCCUUUUUGAAGUUCAACCCCUUAAGUGAUACCCCUUAAGUGAUACCCCUUAAUUCAAGAGAUGUCUUACUCUUAAACAACCCCUUAAGUGAUACCCCAUACUUGAGAUUCCCUAAGUGAUGCCUCACACUUAGAUUUUUCAUCUCAAAGAUUUACAAAUGAAGAUAGGAAAUAAUCUCACAAAAUCUUAAUACAAAACAUUAGGCUCAAAUGAUACAAGAUAAACUAUGAUUGAAUGGUGCACUAAUAAUAUGCAAGUUUUAAAACAAUGAGUACUAAAAAACACUCUCCUAAGGUUCAAAUAUAUUCAAGAAAGAUUUAAGAAGGUUAAACUCUUGAAACAAUAAAGAUUGAAACCUUUUUAUGGAGGAGAAAUGCCAAACUAGUUGUUGGGGGUUUGUCCAGUCGAGUUCUGGUUUGACCGGUUCACUAACCGUUAGCAUUUAAUGCAUGAUAGGUGAUCAUUGGGCCUUGACCAUCCCUCGACCAGUACUCAACCGGAUAAAGUUCAACCUUAAUCAAUCGAAUAAGCAUUCUAGAAUAGAGAGAAGGUUUUUGCACCUUUCAAUCAGUUGAGUUGAACAAAUAGACGGAUUCCUUAUCCAGUUCAACCGGUUGAGCCAUUUUUGGCUCAACAAUCAUCAUUUUCAACUUAAAACCUUUUAAACAAGUUUAGAAAGCAUUUGACACAAGGAUUUAGUUGAAAACAUUAAAUCAUCCUAUUUUUAAAAGAUUUAAAACAAAAUACCUCUUGAAUGAUUUUGGUGUAUAAGUAAAUAAUGUAAUGCAUGAAAAACCCAGUGCGCCAACAACCUUACAAAGAGAUCUUAUGAGGCUUAGGUAUUGAAAAACACUUCUCUUUAAGGCAGACAACAUCGUGUGAAUACCAAAGGGGAACUCUACGUUCCUAGGGAAAGAUGCCUCGUCAGUACGUCUUGAGGUUGUUCACUAACUUCGGGGUUACCGGCUUUGAGAGGAGCCCUUUGAUGACAUUUGGGCAUGCAACUCUUCAUUUUCUUCCUUGAUUCGCCUUGUUUGGUGGAUCAAAGAUUGCAUAUGCCAGUCAUUUUUGCACUAGGUUCUCUCCAUGCUUUCACGCCAGCCAAAGUAGCUUUCGUUACCCAUAGUUGAGGAUCGGCUUCUAAAGGGUACUAACAUCCUUAGUCAUUCCCACAGAUGACACCAAUGUUGGUUCUGAGUCGGCUGAAGUCAAAUUCAUCCAACUUAACGGAAGUUUGACAACCUUCCUCCAUUUUUUGUGCCUCUUAGAGAAUCCACCUAGCAGUAAUGAGAUUGGGCGAACUCCUUUCUUGCACAAAAGAAUGUUCAGAUGAGUACUUCGGGUACGCCCUUCGAAGCUUAAGUGAGGCAAAAAUAGCUCAAACUACUUAAUGAGAGAGAGUGGAUAGGUGAAUAUGUGCCUACCUUGUUCGUGCUUUUUGAGGGGUUUAUAUAAUGUUGAUGAGAAUGCCACUAUAGUGCUUACUAGACACUUUAACUUUCUUCUAUAAUGAUGAUUGUCUUGCAGGCGGUUGGGCAAUCAUCAAAAUUUUGGGUGGCUGAUAGGUGCCAUCAACUAACGUGCCAUGAUCUUAGACCAUGCAGUAACCUGUUCCCUCAGUCUGUUGAUGGCCUAAGGUUAUGUGCAACAAUUAAUUGACAUGGACUUGAGGGCUAGAAGAGGUCCCAUCGGCCGUUCACAUGUCAAGUGUGAAUGAUCACUCAUGCUAGUGGGUCUUGAAGAUUUGACUAGACAACCUUACCUAUUUGGGAGGUCCAACCUCCCAUUGCCGUUGUUUUGGCCUUAUAGGAGAAAAGGGCUUUCUCAUGUAUGGUGCUAGAGGGACUAGUCGUGAUCCAGAUGAGUUGCAUACCCAUGCUAGAUGGUCGAAGUGUCCGGGUUGGAAAUGGAGGGAAGCCUCCCACAAAUAUGAGGGAGCCUUAUGAAAACGGAUCCUUAGGGCUUAAGAAGGGGUUUUCAAUUUUAAGGUUUGCCUUUUCACCCAAGGAUGUGAAUGGGAAGAUGAGGCGAAGUUAAAAGAUUGGUGAAGCAAAGUGAGGGCAAGGUAGGGUUUGAAUAAAGGAAAGUAUACACUAUUAAUGAAGAUGAUAAUCUCUAGAAAGAAAAACUAAGGUAAACUAGGGCUUUAAUAAUAAUUUUCAAUCUACACUAGUGAAGAGGAUAUCUUCGAAAACCAAAGUUAGGGCUUCAAUAACGAAUUUCAAUCUACAAUGGUGAAGACAAUAAUCUUCGAAAACCAAAUCUAUAAUGAUGAAGAUGAUUGAAAACUAAAUCUAUACUAGUGAAGACGAUUGGAAAGCAAAUCUACACUGGUGAAGACAAUGAAACCAAAUGUAGGUCUUCUAAACUAAACGCUUUUAAGGAUUUUCCUUUUUUUUUUCCUUUGUUUUCAAGAAAGGCAAACUCUUUAGAAAACUAAAAAAACUAAUGCAUUCUUAGAUCCAGAUCACUAUUUCCAACAUGGUAUUUGGAUUGCCAGCUUGCAUUUUUUAUUUUUUUAUUUUUUUAAUAGUCAUUGGCAUUUUAGGGAUUAUUGAAGGAUAAUAUCAUUCAGCUCAAUUUCCCAAAUUAGUUAGGUCUUACACUCAAAUGUGAAACUUAUAUGGAUGUUAGGCCAAUUAUCAAACUCAUCUGCCCUAAAACAUAAUUUCCCUUUUUUAAAAUAGUUGUUAAACAUCUAUCCCAAACACGUUUAACCCUUUGAAUUGCUUGUAUGUUAACCUUGUUUCCUUUUCUUCAUGCAACAUGGCUUAUUGAUGGUUGCAUUGAAUCAUUAUCAUUCACCAAUUCCAUGCAACUAUGGACUACAUUUCAAAUCCCUCGAACAUAAAUGGUAAUUCCAAAACAACUCAAGUAUAAUCUUUUCAACCCUUUCAAAUGAUUUAAUUAAUUGAUUUUUGAAUAUAUUCAUAUAUUUUUUUGAGCAAUUUUUAGGCAUAUAACAUAAAUCUCUUUUUUAUAUAUAUAUAAAAGGUUUUAUAUUUUAUAUUACAAUUUCCUUUUGUUUUUUCAUCUAAAAAACAAAACAUAAAACCUUAAUAAACGAGUUUUGUCACAAUCCCUUAACAAGUAAUCUAUUUUUUAAAUUACUUUAACAUUUUUAGAUAUAUUGAUUCAAUCUAAUUUACUUUUAAUAUUUUUUAUAAAAUAUUUUUACUUUAUAUGACUAUAAAUUAAUUACUAUUGAUUGCAUAUUAUAGAAUAUAUAUUCUAAAAUAUAUCUUAUUGACAAUAUAAUCAUAAGAUGUUAUAUCCAUAUCCUAACAUAUUAUAUACUUUUAUUUUGUGCAAUUAGCAACAUGGUGGGAAGUGGCAAGCAGCUUAACGGAAAUGUCAUGUGCCAAUGUGCCAUGCGUGUCCCUUCCCUUAGUGAGUCUGAACUGCUCCAACAUUUCCGACAUGUUAUUUUUUACUUAGCUCUUAAGUAUUUUCGUCUCGUUUUCGUUAACCCCAUCACAUUUCGCCACAUGGAUCUAAGCCUCAUGGUCCUUUCGUUCGUACAAUGAAUGUUCCCCCAAUUCCUUAUCUACACUAAAACUCCAUACUCGCCAUCUACUCAACCACUUCUCUACUCUAGAGUUUGGGUCCUUUAUCUCUGCACGUGUCUAUGGCUUUUCACCCCAACAAGUAUGGCAUUACAAGGGCAAUAUCGUCAUUAAAGACCCAAAAGGGAAACCAAUGGCAUUAUCUUCCUUUUGGUCUAUUCUAUUUAUAUUGUAAGUUAUUCGUGAUGACUUCUCCCAUAAAAGCUAAAAACCACUCCAAUAGAGCACACUUCACUUCUUCAUUUUUUUUUUUCCAGAUAAGCUCAGAAAGCCCAGCUCAUCCCUCAACUCCCCGAUGGGUUUGAUGAAUGUUCUUAAAUUCUCAACUGCAUGCUUUGAUCUUCUUAUCUGGUAUAUUGUCCACGCAUUUUCUUGUCAUUGGAAAAUUUUGGAAAAUGAAAUGGAAUUCUAUGUUUGAUGACAAAACUGGGAUUUGCUUUGAUUUCUCCAUGUUGGUUUUAUCCCUUUUGUUUGAAUUGUCCACAUUCUUGUCAUUGGUUGUUAGUUAUUUGUUUGGAUUUCUACUUGUAGGCCUCUGUUUGCACUGGGUUAUCCUCUAUAAAUCUUGGUCUUACACACCAAGAUAUGAUGAUUCAUUUACUCUUUUCUUGUUCUAUGAAUUCUUAGUUCUGUUACAUUUAUUGGGUUGGAAAACUGAAAAAGGAAAGGAUUAUUCGUUAUUAUCAUAAUAAUCAUCAACGUCAUCUCAAUUAUUCACAGAUGUGCAUCAAUUCAGGUAAUUGAGACUAACUCGAUCUCAGACAUUCAGAAGUUGGUGGCAUAUUGGGUUCUAUUUUCCUUGAUUUCACUUUUUGAUCGUACUUUUUCCAAGCUCCUUGAAUGGUAAUUUUGUUCAACUUCAUUCCAUCAUAUGUGGCUCUAUUUGUUUCAUUUCUUUGCCCUUCAGGAAUUUGGAGUUGCCUUUUUUAGUUUUCUUCCCUGUGAAAAUAAUCGAGAUGUUUAAUGUUCCAAGCCUCCAUGUAUUUUAUUUUCCUUCAUUUCUCUGCUUUGAUAAAUCCCCAUGAUUUGAUCAGCAAAAAGGCUAUAACAUUUGACAAAGAAAUGCUUUAUUUUGGUUUUUUAAGUACAACAAUUUUCAUUUGGAGAAAUGGUCUAAAGGGUAUCGGUGUUUGGAUGAAUCAUGGAAUUUUCUCGCUAAUUUGGGAUUUAUUCUCAAUUUCAAUAUCAUUGUGGAUAUUUCAAAAAUUAAUGAAAUAUAUAUGAUGGAAUGUGAUUUUCUUGUUUAAGAAAAGUUUUUCUUUAAAAAUUUAGGUAACCCUGACCUACCUUAUUGUGCUACUCGAAACACAAAACAAAAGUACAAGUAAUUUAGUAACUAAAUUGCACACUUUUUGAUAGUUCAAGGAAGUGGUGUUAGCUUUGGAAAUAAGAUGGAUCUACUAGUUUUUAUUUCUCAUCUUUAUAGGGAACUUUCCAUAAUAUAGCUUAUAAAUACCAUAAUCACAGUGAUGAAUAAUUGUCUUGUUUGAAAGCAUGGUUGCACUUAUUUGCAUGGAAUUUGUCUGCGUUGAAAUUAAAUUAAGCUUUAUGCAUCAUUUGGAUGCUGAGAAACAAAUGAAAAUAGAAAAUUCAAAAUUUGACAAGUUUGUGUAGGGAAAUUGGAUCUAAUCUCUUAAUCGAAGCUUAAUUAGGGCAAAUGUUGAUCCUCUUUGGACCUAUUGAAAGCUCUAAUCUGUGCACAAUUCUAAUGUUUUUGUUUCCUUAAUUUCUUUUUCAACUUUUCAACAAAGCAUCAAUUUGCUAUAAUAAAUGAGAACCAACUUGACGAUGAGAAAAAUGACUGGUGAUGAUGUCAUAGAGAAUCGCAGAUGAGAACAACCAAAAAUACUAGGAUUGGUACCACUGAUGGUAAUGAAGAAAACACAAAAAUGGUGCAAAUGGUGAACAGGAAACUCAAAAUGGAAUGGGAAAAGAAACCUAAACAAUAGUCUCCUAUAUAAAGCACACAACAUGUACAUCGAGGCAUCUGAAAGGACACGCUGCCUGAGAAGUCACUCUAAUUGAUGUGACUCCUCAUGACGUGGGUGGUGGACAUAUGUCCCAUGGUGCCAAAAAUUUCAAACACUCAAGCAACCGAAUACUUUCACUUAGUCAUUUAAAGCCUAGCUAGACUCAAUUGCAAGAAUUAAGGGCAUUGUGGGAUGCUCACCACCGUCUAUCAUGGUCCUCAAACACUGUCUGGUGUGAGACAUAUUGGCACAAGAGCCAUGUAGCUUCUCUAUCCACCCCAAGAUACUCCUAGGGUAGCAAACGAACACAAUCCGACCAAACACUAUGCAUUCCUACCCUACAAGCAUUAAUUUCAAUGAGCAAUAAGUGUAUUAACACAUUAAUGAAUGCAACCGUUAUAACGCUAAAACGCCAUACUUUAAGGUUCAUCAAGACACAACAACCAUUAUGGGCCGACAAUUAUUGGCGUUAAAUAUGGUAAUGCGCAAUCAAAGGCUCAAUUAAGGCCCUUUAGAAGACGUUACUAUUGGGCAAAGAUAAAUAACCAUUUUUUACCACAAGAAAGUCUGAUGCCAUUUUUUUCACAAAAACUUUUGCUUAAGUCUUCCAUCUCUAACCUAAGCUUUGAAGGGGUGUACUUGGAAAACCUAUCCGAACAUUCCUUUAUGUAGGUGCAAUCAUCGUUUAUGUCACGCGAAGGCUAGUCAAAGACCUUUAUUGGUCGUGCACCAAUAAAUCUAUUUAGUAUAUCUCAUUUAUCCGUUCAAGUGAGAUGAAGGAGUGACCUAAAGAUAGAUUGGAAACAUCAUAGUUUCUUAUAUUGGUAAGGCAGCAACAACCUCGGCUAGUGCAUCAACCUGCUCGUUUUCCUCUAGGGGUACGCGUUUGAUAAACCAUUCAUUCAAUUUUUCUGUUCAAGUGUACCAAAGAGAGGUAAUGAGCCAUGCAUUCAUCUCAAGCUUCAUAUUUUAGUUAGAUUUGUUCACCCACUAGUUGUGAAUUGCUUUUGAUUUCUACUUUCAUGGUUGUGAGAGCUAAGGCUAGAUCGUCUCAUAAGAAUUGCUUCAUAUUUUGCCUCAAUAUUAGAUACUGGAAAGUUGAGACAGACGACUUGUUCAAUUUGCUCUCCUGUAAGGAAUUGUUGUGUUAGUCCUAUCCUAGCUUCUGAUGUUCUAGAGGCUUCGUCUACAUGGAGAACACGCCAUUGUUCUUCAUUGUUAGACCUUGUCCAUUUUUGGGGUGGUUCGACUAUGAAAUCAAUGAGAACUUGCUAUUUGAGAUACUAAUGAGGUUUGUACCGUAUGUAAUAUUCACUCAAUUUGAUUGCCCAAUUCACCAUUCGACUAGAUAGAUUUAGCUUGUGCAACGUGACCCACAACGGUUGAUUUGUCAAGACCGUUAUUUGGUGCGCCUGAAAAUAUGGACAAAGCUUCUUGGCAGCGAUCCGUAAGUUCAGAGCCAUUUGUUCCACUUAAGAAUAUCGUGUUUUUGUGUCAAUCAUAGCUUUUCUCACAUAGUAAAUAAGUCUUUGUUCAUUACUCUAAUUGUGUGGAAACAAUAUGACAUUGACAGCAAAGUUUGACACAACCAGGUACAUGUAUAACUCUUCUCUAGCUUCAAGACUACUUAAGAUUGGUGGCUUCGUAAGAUACUGUUUGAUGUCUUUAAAGGCAUGCUCACACUCAUCCAUCUAACUAGACAUCUUUGCUCCCUAGAGUUUGCUCAAGAAAGGUCUGAGCUUAUUUAUGAAGCGUGUUAUGAACCAACCUAAGGUGAUUAGACACCCAGUUAGACGUUGCACUUCCUUCUUGCUAGUAGGAGCAGGGAUUUCUAACACUACUUUCACUUGAGCCAGAUCGACUUCAAUACCCCCUUUGAGUCACCAUGAACACAAGAAACUUCCACUCACUUACUCUAAAUGCAUAUUUUAUUGGAUUAAGCUUCAUGUCAUACCUGCACAUUAAACUGAAUGCUUCUUCCAAAUGGAGGAGCUUCUUGGAACGAGUUAUUCUCUUAAUGACAAUGUCAUCGAUAUAGACUUCCAACGUUCGACCUAUCAAGGGCUUAAAAAUAUGGGUCAUCAACUGUUGGUACGUAGCUCCAAUGUUCAUUAACCCAAGCGACAUGAUCUUGUAAAAGUACAACUCCUUAUGUGUAAUAAAUGUCAUCUUCUCUUUGUCAUGUGGAAACAUUGGUAUCUGGUGGUAUCCAAAAGAAGCAUCAAGAAAAGACAACAUUCCAUGCCUGGUUGUGGCAUCGACUAUCUAAUCUAUCUAGAGCAAUGGGAAGCUAUCUUUCAAGCAGACUUCAUUCAUAUCCACGUAGUCUGCGCACACCUGCCAUUUUUCUCCUUUCUUGGUACCACUACCACAUUUGUUAACUAGUCCAAGUAGGUCACCUCCUUGAUAAAUCUUCCUUUUAAUAGCUUCUCAACUUCUAUCUAGAUAAUUUUUUGAUGAUCCAACUAGAAACGUCAGACUUUAUAUUGUAUGGGUCGUGCUGUAGGAAGAAGGUUCAACUUAUGAGAGCUCACCGCUAGGUCUAUUCCAAGCAUUUCCGAAUGAAUCCACACGAGGAUAUCCUUGUUUUUACAAAGCAUUUCACCAACAUUACCACAUUCAUCCCUAGUUAGCAAAAAAUUAGCGUAAGUCAUCUGCUUAUUAUUUUUCGACAAAGAUAGCUAUUGUAAUAGGCUGAUUGCCAAUGAGUCUCUAUCCUCUAGUUUUCCUUCGACCUAAUUCUAUAAUUGUUAUUAGCUCUCUCUUGAUGAUUUGAGUUCAUCUUUAGUUGGGCCUGAACUCCAUCGCCACUUAGUAACACUACUAGGUGGCUAAUUGGAUUCCAUGUGGAUCCACUUACCCAAAUUCUGUCAGGUAGCUCACCAUCUUAUGAUAGGUGGAUGGAAUAACUUUCAUCUUAUGUAGGUACGACAACCUUAUGAUGGUGUUGUACGACGGUAAAUCCUCUACUAUAGAAAAUCAUACGUUGAGAGUAGGCGGGUUGGCUUGGACAAGAAGUACCACGUCGCAUAGUGAUAUUGUGGCAACCCUAUUAAACCCAAACAAAAGUCGAACUAGAUUUUCUAAGGCAGAUGACGAACAUCCCAUUUUCCUGUAGGUUGACAUAUGCAAUAAAUUGGAAUGAUCAUUUUAGGAAGGAUCACUUGAUUAAUGUUAAUUGAAGGGAAAGUGAUUGGGUCAUUGACUGGUCGGGCACUUUCGACAGUAAAUGUGCACUGAACUGCACUUACUCUUUCCCUCCCUGUAGUCGCACAGAGCAUUCGUCUCCUUUGUUGUUUGGAGUGAUAUUUGUCAUCUACUAUUUCCCCAUGGAUAUAGUUAAUCACUACUCGAUGUGUUGUGGGAGAGUCAGGAACUCACUCUGACACUUCACGUGUCAUUUCUUUAUGUCCACCAGUUGCUCAGACAUACAACUUGAGAUGUCCGGUAAUGAUUAGUUUCUCCACCAAGUAGUGCAAAUUUUUGCACUCUUCUGUGGUGUGCCCAUGCUCCUUAUGAUAGAAUCAUCGCAAUCCUCGAUCAUGCUUGGACGAAUCAGUUUUGAUGGGCUCUAGCCACUUGAACUCGAGCAGCUCUCAAAUCAAGAGGAGAAUUCUAUCAUAAAAAAUGGUCAACGGGGUGAGCCUAGGCGAUUAUCAUUGUUGUUGUCUUUCUUGUCCUUGAUUAGUCUAUCUAGACUGGCUUGAGGGCUUUAAGCUCUUAGCCUUCUUUUUUAAUUGCUCGGUUUAUAACCAGGAUUUGUUGAGAGGUUACCUAAACAUCCUCCUCAAGCAUGACAUGUUUGCCCACUCGUCUAAAUAGGUCAUUCAUUGUAGUGGGCAACUUUUUGGCCAUGGACUUGAAGAAUUGAGUGCUUGGACUGAUGAUCCAUUUGAAGAUCUGCAGGAUAGCAUCCAUGUUGUAAGAUUCCAUCUAGAACACCGCUUGUCUGAAUCACUUCAUGAAGUCCCUUAGCGAUUCAUUCUCCUACAUCUGAAUGUUCUAUAAGGUGCUUAUAUUCUGCUUUUGGCGAGCAAAACAUAAAUAAUGGCCCACAAAGGCCUCUAAAACAUCUGUCAUCUGUUGUUGGAAGUGCAUCAGGUGAACAAAAGAGUCACCAUCCCAUAGUAAAUAGUAAAUUUGGGCACCGGAAACCCCUGGGCAGCUCAUAACUAAUGAUAUGUGGGUCAAACGACAUGAAGAGCAUGUCAUCCAAUCAUCUACUUAUGGAGUCAAGAGGGGCUUUUGUCAAUGGGUUAUUUGUCGAUUGUAGUUCUAGUAUUGAACAUUAAGGCAGACGGCUUGGUGAUGCCUCAUCGUUUGAUUGGCCUAAUUGUGCUUUCAAGGCCUCCAAUAUGCAUGGCGAUGCUAGUGUUCUUCUCUCCUGAUACCCAAGAUAGGCUUUCAGGGCAUCUGAGAGACGUAAGCCCCAUUCUUAACCCAUUUUCCAUUUUUCUCCAAUAGAGCUUGCAACCUCUUUCGCUUGAGUUCGAUCGACUACUGAAUGCACUAGUUCAAGUAAUGUUAGCGAACUGCUAGUAGACAAUCCCUCAUCCACUGUUUGUAGAGACGACUUAGUGUAUCAUUGAAGAACUUUCAUUGUUUGGCUUCAAACUACUCUUGAAGUCGUCUAUUGGUUGGAGGUACGAUGACUUUUUUAUCAGCACCCCAUAGCCACUUGUGCUCGUAGCUCUUGGUUCUCUUGCUGUAGUUGUUCUGCCUGUUGGACAGGGACUACAUAGGUUAUUCAUAUUCUUCUUGCUUUUUUUCUAUCUUUCCUUGCCAAGCUUGGAAUCGCUCGUCAACAUUUGCAGAAUGAGUUGCAGGAGGCGUGUUAACCAUCGUGUUUUUUAGGCAUUUGUGGUUGAUUCCCAUAGACAAUGCCAAUGUUGGUGCACGACCAGUAAAAAAAGGUGUUUGGCUAGUCUCCAUGUAACAUAGAUGACGAUUGCACCUGCACAAAGGAAUGUCUGAAUGGGUUUUUCAGGUACACCUUUCCAAAGCUUAGGUCAGAAAUGGAAGACUUAAGCAAGAGUUUUUGUGGAAAAAUUGGUAGCAUACUUUUCUUGUGGUUAAGAAUAACUAUUUAUCUUUGUCCAACUAUAAUAUCUUCUCAGAUGCCUUAAUUGAGCCUUUGAUUGUGCAUUAUCAUCUUUAAUGUCAAUGAUAGCCAACCCAUAAUGGUUGUUGUGUCUUGAUGAACCUUAAAGGUUGGCGUUUUAACCUCAUAAUGAUUGCAUCCAUCAAUGCGUUAAUGCACUAAUUGCCUAUUGCAAUUAAUGCUUGUUGGGCAAGAAUGCAUAGUGCCCGAUUAGAUUGUGUUUGUUUGGUACCCUAAGAGUACCCUGGGGUGGACAAAAAAGCCACAUGGCUCUUGUUCUAACAUGUCUCGACUAGACAGUGUUUGAGGAUCAUGUUAGAUGGUGAUGAGCAUCCCACAGUGAAGACGUAUGAUGAAAGCAAAGGUAGGGCUUCUAAACCAAACGCUUUUAGGGAUUUUUUUUUUUUUUUCAACAAAGUUGACCUCUUCAAGGAAAAAAAAAAAGGUUAAAAAAACUAUUGCUUUUUUGGAUCCAAAUCACCAUUUCCAAUGUGAUAUUUGGAUUUCCACCAUGUAUUUUUUUUUUUUUUAACAGUCAAGGACAUUUUAUGGAUUAUUGAAAGAUAAUAUCUUUCAACUUAAUUUCCUACAUUAAUUAAGUCUUAGGCUCAAAUGUGAAACUUAAGUGGUUGUUAGGCCAUCAAACCCAUCUGCCCUAAAGUAUAAUUUCCCAUUUUCAAAAUAUAUAGUUGUUAAACAUCUAUCCCAAACUAUUGUAACCCUUUGAAGUGCUUGGUAUGUUAACCUUGUUUCCUUUUCCUUAUGCAACAUGGCUAAUUGAUUGUUGCAUUGAAUCAUUAUCAUUCACCAAAUCCAUUCAACUAUGGACUUACCUUUCAAAUCCCUCUAACAAAAAUGGUAAUUCCAAAACAACUCAAGUCUAAUGUUCUCAACUCUUUCAAAUGAUUUAAUUAAUUGGUGUUUGAAUAUACCUCUUAUAUUUUUUUAGAGCAAUUUUUAGGCACAUAACAUAAAUUUCUAAUUUUUUUUUAGAAAAGGUUUUAUAUUUUAUAUUUUAUAUUACAACUUCCCCUUUUUUUUCCAUCUAAAAAACAAAACAUAAAACCUUAAUAACCGAGUUUUGUCACAAACCCUUAACAAAUAAUCUAUUUUCCAAAAAUUACUUUAACAUCUUUAAACAUAUUGAUUUAGUAUACUUUACUUUUAAUAUUUUUUGAAAAAUAUUUUUAUUUUAUAUGAUUAUUAAUUAAUUAAGAUUGAUUGGGUAUGGUAGAAUAUAUAUUCCAAAAUACAUCGUAUUGAGAACAAUAUCACAAGAUAUUAUAUCCAUAUCUUAACAUAUUAUAUACUUUUAUUUUGUGCAAUUAGCAAUUGGACGGAAGGUAGGGAGCCGGCUUAAUGGAAAUGUCGCAUCUCACGUGUGUCCCUUCCCUUACCAAGUCUCAACAAAGGAUGAAAAUAUCGGUAAUCACGGAUAUAUCGGUACUUCGAUUUUACGGAUAUAUUAGAUAUAUCAGAGAUAUAUUGACGGAUAUUUUGGAAAAAAAUAUCGAUAAGCCUAAAAUUGAUCAAAAUUUAUAAAAAUAUAAAAAAAACUUCAUAAAAAUGUAAUUAAAAGAAGGUCGUAUAAGUUACUCAUGUUGAUCAUGUGAUAUAUCACGAGAUAUAAUCGAUUUUUGGGAAUUUCUCACGAAAAUAUCGCGACAUUUCUUCCUUGUCUCGACUGCUCCAAGAUUUCCUAUACGCCCUUCUUCGCUUAGCUCUUAAGUCUUUUCUUCUCCUCUUCCUCAAACCCAUCACAUUUCGCCGCGUGGAGCUAAGUCUCAAGGUCCUUUUGUUCGUACGAUGUAUGUUCCCCCAAUUCCUCAUCUACCUUGAAACUCCAUACUCGCCAUCUACUCAACCACUUCUCUACUCUAGAGUCUGGAUGCUUUAUCUCCGCGAGUGUCGAUGGCUCUUCACCCCAGCGAGUAUGGAAUUACAAGGGCAAUAUCGUCAUUAAAGACACAACAGGCAAACCAAUGGCAUUGUCUUCCUUUUGGUCUAUUUUAUUUAUGCUGUAAGUAUUCGUGCUUGACUUCUCCCGCGUCUCUUAUAAAAACUAAAGAAAACCACUCCAACAGAGCACACUUCAAGAAUCUUCUUUUUUUUUUUCUUUCCUCUUUCUCUUUACAUAUAUACUGAGAAAGCCCAGCUCAUCCCUCAAUUCCCAGAUGGGUUUUAUGAAUGUUCUCAAGUUCUCAGCUGCAUGCUUUGAUAUUCUUGCCUGGUAUGUUGUCCACGCAUUUUCUCGCCAUUGGAAAUUUUUGGAAAAUGAAGUGGAAUUCUCUGUUUGAGGACAAACAUGGGAUUUUCUUUGAUUUCUCCCUGUUGGUUUUAUCUAUAUUCUUUGGAUUACCCACAUUCUUGUCAUUGAUUGUUAGUCAUUUGUUUGGAUUUCUACUUGCAGGCCUCUAUUUGCACUGGGUUAUCCUCUGUAAGUCUUGGUCUUACACCUCAAGAUAUGAUGAUUCAUUUACUCUUUUCUUGUUCUACGAAUAGUUCAGUUACAUUUAUUGUGUUGGGAAACUGAAAAGGGAAAGGAUUAUUCUUUAUUAUCGUAAUAAUCAUCAACAUCAUCUCGGUUCUUCACAGAUGUUCUUCAAUUCGGGCAAUUGAGACUAACUCAAUCUCAGACUUUCGGAAGUUGGUGGCGUAUUGGGUUCUAUUUUCCUUGAUUUCACUCUUUGAUCAUGCUUUUUCCAAGCUCCUUGAAUGGUAAUUUUGCUCAACUGCGUUCCACUAUAUGUGACUCUGUUUGUUUCAUUUCUUUGCCCUUAAGGAAUUUGGAGUUGCUUUUUUCAGUUUUCUUUCCUAUGAAAAUAAUCGAGAUGUUUAAUGUUCCAGGCCUCCAUGUAUUUUAUAUUCCUUCAUUUCUCUGCUUUGACAAAUGCUCACAAUCUGAUCAGCAGAAAGGUUAUAACAUUUGAAAAAGAAGUGGUUUAUUUUUGUUUUUUUUAAGUACAAUAAUUUUCGUUUGGAUAAAUGGUCUGAAGGGUGUUUGUGUUUGGCUGAGUUCAUGGAAUUUUCAAGCUAAUUUGGGAUUUAUUCUCAAUUUCAAGAUCAUUGUGGAUAUGUCAGAAAUUAAUGAAAUAUAAAUGGUGGAAUGUGAUUUUCUUGUUUAAGAAAAGUUUUUCUUUGAAAAUGCGGGUGCACCAGACCUACCUUAUUGNNNNNNNNNNNNNNNNNNNNNNNNNNNNNNNNNNNNNNNNNNNNNNNNNNNAUCAGAUUCAACUGUGAUAGCCCGGAAUUUAAUUCAGUAUUCGACUCUUCUGGGAACAUGUUGGUUAUGGUUUCUCUCUCACUGUCCUCUUCUUUACACAUGACUUUUCAGUUGAGGAGCACAAAGCCUAAUGUUGAAGUGAAAGAGAUCAAAGCACCUGCAGCACCGGAGAAAAAAGGGGAACAGGUAAGUACUCUAAUGUGGCUAUUUAAUUUCUAUGGAGGCAGAUCCCCAGAGAAAUGCUGUUCAUGUAAAUUACUGAUGCAUUUGAUUCAAUGGCCACGGUUUUAAAAGAAAAACCACUUUAUGUAUGUUUCUGUGAAUGAGAGAACAAGUUUAUGGAUUAAAUGAUAUUUUUUAUGGUGAAAUAAUCAAUAAUUUUCAAAAUAAUAAUACAUUCCUGCAUGUUUUUGCAAUUCAUGAAUUCCUUUUAUGAUUGAUUCUUCUCACCUUUUUUCUCACCUCAGUGGAAGUGUGAAGAGCCUAAUGUUGCUCAAAAAGAGAUCCAAGUAGUCAAAGUAACAGAGAUAAAAAAUGGGGGGGAUGGAGCAAAGAGGGUAAGUUUUGCUUUUUAUUUAUAAAGUAGGCUGUCUUCACACAAGGAUUAUUAUUAUUAUUAUUGUUAUUAUUUUAAGACAUGAAUGUUGAAUGAUUUUGGAAUUGUCCUUGAAUCAUGUGAAGUGUGAAUGGUCUAAUGCUGCUAAGGAGGAGGUCAAAGUGACAGAAGUAACACAGAGAACAUUUGGUGGUACAGCACAGUGGGUAAGGUUUCAUGUCAUAUUUAAAUGGCUCCUCAUAUUUCACUAGGAUUAAUUUUGCCCCUACAAACUAUUUGGCUACAAGUUAAGACAGAGUUCCAGAUGCUGAUAAAGCUGAGACAUAAGUAAUGAACGAAUUUAGACACAUGCACAACUCUUGUGUGAAACACAAUGAGAGUGGAAAAUAGCUAAGUUGAAAAAUGGCCAAAUACUAUUUUGUAGUUCCCCCUACCACUUAAGUAAUUUUUGUCAUCCUUUGUGAAUGGAAAAUGCAGUCCCUUCAGUAAUUCCAUUAUAUUCAUGACUUGGUGAAGCAUAUAACCAUUAGUGUCUUACCCUAAGUCGACCUUUAAUGAUGAUCCAUUGAGAUGGGUCUGACUUUUGUCAACCCUCUUAUUCCCUUGAUCAUAGAGGUGAAACUUAGGGGGCUUAACCCACUUUUCAAUCUUAUUGGAUAUAUGGCACGUGGUAUCCUCUUCAUCUUGAAAGAGUGAAGUGGUCAUACUCUUUCCUCUGAGUCCAUUGUGGCCAUGCACUUCAGGCUCAUUGGGCUGAGUGAAAGGAUUCCCUUCUGCUUCAAAUCAUAGAGAGAUAUGCCAUGGUCAGCCUCUUUAAUUCAAGGGAUUGAAGUACUCAAAUCCAUUUCUCUGUAUCCAUCUUAGUUCUGCAUUCAUGUCUCAUGGUUAACCAAGAAGAUCCAGCCUCCAUCCAUGAGAUCAGCAUCUGCAGGUUUAUGACACCACCCUUCCUUUGCAUAGGAAAGGGAUCAUUAAGCCAUGUGUCGGAUGACAGAAGUCAUCAUUCAGGUUAUCUUGAGAACUAAGGAAGUUGGAAUUCUAAUUAUUGCAUAUGGUUCUUGAUGUUUAGCCAAUAUACUAUAGGAUUUUAAGCAUCAUGCUCACGUGCAUUGUGGUUGCUUAUCAGCUAUAUGGUUUGCCAAAAUGAGGGACUGAUUAUGGUCAUAAGUACCUUUUUCCCAUUAAUUUCUUGCAUGUGCUCUGCUGAGAUUAUGUUUUUGACAGUCCAAAUCAGGGCAAACCAACAAACAGCUUUAUGUUAACUUUUACAAACUGCCAUAUUUUCAGGUUAAACAAACAGAGAUAAAUCUUGGUGAAACUAGAAGUAAUACAACCUGUGCUGUGGAGAUAAAAGAAAGGGCAGCAGCACUGGUGGCUGCAGAAAUUGAGGCAUGUAGAGACGAUAGAACCCCCAAGAUACCUCUUCAUGAGAAAGUCCAGAAAGAGUGGGCUUGUGCUGUGUGCCAGUUCACAACCCAAACUGAAGCGACCUUCAAUUCCCACCUUCAAGGGAAGAGACAUCAGGCCAUUUCUGAGCAGCUGAGAGCCAAAAAUCAGGCAACCAAAACCAAUUGUUCCCCAUCUGCUUCAAUGGCCAAGAAAUCUGAUCAGUCCACCAAAGAGGAGCAACCGAAGUGUACUUCCAAUCUGAAUUCCAAAAACAAUGGAAUCUCAGCUGCUUCAACAGUGAAGAAACUUGAUGAGACCAAAGAUGAUGAGCAACAAAAGUCUGCAUCUAGCAAUGGACCGAACCAGAAGAAUAACAAAAAGCAAGAGGUACAGACCAAUGAGCAAGGCCGUCAGAAGAACUUAAGGCAAACUGGUGAUGGAAUGAAAGAGUUGAGAUCAUGGUGCAAUAUCUGUAAUGUAAGCUGCACAAGGGAGCUUGACCUGGCCUCGCAUCUCAAUGGAAGGAGGCACUUUGAUAGGAUAAAGCAGCUGUCUGAAUUAUGGUGCAGUAACUGCAAUGUAAGGUGCAACAGUGAGGUUGAUAUGGCCUCUCACCGAAAUGGGAGGAGGCACUUGGAGCAGCUGAAGGAACGGUUAGGAUUAUGGUGCAGUAUCUGUAGUGUGAGUUGCAACAGCAAGGUGGACAUGGAUUCUCACCUAAAUGGGAAGAUUCACUUGGAUCAGAUCAAGGACCAGUUAAGAUUAUGGUGUGGGGCAUGUAAUACAACCUGCAAGAGUGAGCGCAACAUGGCCUUUCAUCUGAAUGGGAGGAAGCACUUAGAGAAGAAGGGGAAUACCUGAUUUGCAUGUUUCUUCAGAUUAUUGAUACUUACAAAUGGUUUUAGUUAGAAGCAUACAGGCCAGUGGGUGGUGGUCACAGAUGCCUCUAUUUUGUUGUAUGAAGUAAAAACAGUAUUUCCAUGUCCAGAAAUCAACCACUUGUUUAGUGCAUGCAUGGCUGGUUCAAAAUUAAACCUAAUUGUGAAUGACUAGGAGCAGGGAGGGAAAAAUUGAAGGGAAGAAUGUAAGAUUAUGGCUUCAUUUUUAUUUUUUCCUCUUCUGAAAAUUGUAAGAUUGUGUUAGGAGGAGCUGGAAUGGGUUCAAAUCAGGAAUUAAGACCCAGUUCCAAGACAUGGAAAGUGUCUUUAGAUUAUGUUAAGUUAUUUCCAUUUUUUUUUCUUUUCUAUUUUUUUUCUUUAUUUAUUGUAAGAGGGAGCAUAAAUGAAUUUUUAUUUUUUAUUUUUUUUUUCAGAAUAAAGAUGAAUUUGAUAAUUUCAAUUAUUGCGUUUGGAUGUAUUUCGGAACGUAAGAUUGAAAUAAUUAUUUGUUUUCAUUUUAGUGUUUGAUAAUAAUGAAAGUAUGAAUUAAAAAAUAAAUUGAUAAUAAUACUCUUACAUUUAAUUUAAAACAAUUUUUUAUUUUUAUUUUUAUUUUAGAAGAAUAUGGGUUAAUUUUAUUUAUUUAUUUUUUAAAUAAUAAGCUUAAGAAAAAUAAUUUUUACUCAAUAAAUAAAAUUAAUCAUACAAAGUCAUAAAAACCAAACCAAAAUAUAAGGGUAAAAUAGUAAUUUUAAAAUAUUCAUUUAAGUUAUCCAAAUGCAUUCCUACUCUUCAUUCUCUUGUACGAAAUACGGUCUUUAAGCGUUUGUCAAACUUAUUUCUUUUUUGGCAAUAUAUCAAUAUUUUAGUAAUAUUUUUAUCGAUUAGUUGCUGAUAUUUAUCGCCACGUCACCAAUUCUUUGAGUUUGACUUUCAAAAUUUUGAAAUGAUCAUUGAAGUCCAGUUCAGCCCAAAUCACUACACCCAUGAAAGGGAACGGCUGGGCCACCACACUAAUAUGGCCCAUACAUGGGACCUCGUAAAAGAAUACCCAUCUUCAAAAAUAGGGACCAUAUUAAAUUAUUAAUGUAGCUAUAGGAAGCAUUUGAGGACAAGGGUCAUGAUUUUUCCCUUUUCUUUUUCUCCUUAAUUUUCACAUCACCCAACAACACCACUCUUAAUUCACACAAAUUUGAAGGUUUGGAAUGAGACUUAUUCGUAUUUAUAUUGUAAUUAUGCUAUAAUAAUCGUGUCGUAUUUGGAUUUAUUUAUUAAAUCCAUCUAAAUCUUUUGUUUAUUCGUGUCAAAACAAUAUAUUUAUAAUCGAAUCCAUUUAUGACAUAUUCAUCUUUUAUAAAUUUAUUAAUUUUAUAUAUUUUAAAAUUAUAAAAAUUAAAUAUAUUUUUUCAAUUAUGAAAUCAUAUUACUAAAAUAUUAAAUAAUUCAUUAACUUGAAAUGUUUUACAUUUCAUUAAUUAUUUUAUAAUUACAACAUUAAGUGAAAUAAUAAAUAGGUAUAAAAUAUAUAUUUUAUUUUAGUUAAAAAUUAUAAAUUGUUAUUGAGACAUAUAACUAUUAAAAUUCUACCCAUUUGACUAUCAAACAAACAACUUAAGUUUUUAGUCAUGAUUUAAGCUUAUGAUAAACUCUAUUUACAAAAAUUAGAAACCAAAAUCAAAUUCUUCCUAGACUCAAAAACAUAAAGACAAUCUUUUAACUUUAGAAGACAACUAUCAUCUAAGAUAAGGGUAACUCAUCCCAUUGCAUGUACAACAAUUCUUGCUUCAAAAGCUAAUGUUAGGUACAUAUCCCUAUCAUUCAACCUUUCCCUUAGCUAAAACCCCUAUAAAGAAUUAUAAACAUGAUCAAUGGCUCCAAAAUUUAUCCACCAAGAGUUAGUGGAAUCUAACACUAAAAAUGAUUCAACUAAAAGAGAAUGAUGCAUACCUAACUGUCUCUUCAAGAACUAAGGGCAUUCCUUCUUCUAGUGGCUUUUUUUACCACAAAGGAAACACUUAUCAUGACCCUUACUCUUCUUCUUUUUCCCUUGCCCUUGAACUUUCCCUUCUGCUUGGUGAAUUCUACAAUGUUCUUCUUAUUUUGGUUAGAAGAACCUAAAGAACACUUAACUGCCAUAUAAAUACCUCUCUGGUCCUUGAGAAUUCCCUCAAUUGUUUUGUGUUCUCUCAUCAGUUCGGUUAUAGUUUAAGAAAAAAAAUGUUUUUUUUAUGUGACUAAACUUGGAAUGAAUGUCCAAGUUGCAUACAUACUCGGGCUAAGAUCAAGUCAUAACGUAGUUUAAGAAAAAAGAUUUUUUUUUUUUUUUUUUUUUUUUUUUUUUUGUGAUUGAACUUGGAAUGGAUUUCUAAGCUACUUACGUAUCCAGGAUGGGAUCAAGUUCUAACAUAGUCACAAUGCAGUUCAAGAAUUUUUUUUUUCUUUUUUUGUGCUCUAACUUUUGCCAAGACUAAAGAUCUUAAUUUUGCGAGCAUGUUCUAACUUUUGCCUAGGUCGCCUUUCCAAGUUUUCAAUUUAGCAAACAAGGUUUUUUUUUUCUUUUUUUUCUUUUUCUUUUUUUAGUUCUCUAACUUUUGCCAAGACUAAAGAUUUUAAUCUUGGAAGCAUGUCUUAACUUUUACCUUAAGUCGAAUUUUUAGGUUUUCAAUGUGGUGGAUUUUUUUUUUUUUUUUUUUUUUUUGUGUCGUAGGUAAUUUAAGCUCAUAUGGAUUGGAAGCAAUGUGUAGUUUGUUGGGAUUAAGCCCUUAAAAGCAAGACAUGAUGUAAUAAAGUUAAACUUAACUAUUUCCUUACUAUCUUUUUGGUGUAUCAACAUUGAUUUAAACAUUCAACCCAUAUCUCUUACAUUGUACAUGAUUUAGGAGCAUUAAGAGUUGCACAAAAGAUACAAGUUAUGGGUUCCUUGUAAGUAGAUGAGUUAUCCAUAGUCAUUUCAUGGAUUUGGGCAAUCUAGUAGUGACUAUAGUGCACCACCUCCUAAUUUAAGGGAUGACUUGUCUUGGCAGUUGGGAUGAGUUUCCUAUGGUGAGCGUACUAGUGUAAAUGAUGCACAUUGGACAGGACCUAUGGUGAAUCAUGACGCAAGGCUAUCAAUUGUCAUGAUUCACCAAGUUACUAUACUACAUGGACUCUCAACCUUGAGAGGACAUUGAACCCAUGUCAAAAUCAAUAGAAAGUUUUGACCUAUGGGCGAGACCCUAAAGUAGUCAUAUAUUCCUAUGGAUUAGGUCAUUGUUGAUGUAGGCUGGUUAUAAUAGGCAUUCUCAAUAGAGGCACCAUGAUAUGUCAUGGGAUUGAGAUGGUGUGUCCCUUUGGGUGAUCCAAAGAACAUGUGAUCAUGAAAUUUGUGGCCACAGUAAUUCCUUUAGUGAAAUUUGACAUAUGCUCCUUGGAGUUAGAGUAUGUCAAUUGAUCACAUAAUAAGUGAGAUCUAUAACUCAAGGAUUUGAGAGAUAAUAUUGAUAGGUGAUAACACUAACUUGUUAGAUUUAGACACCAGUUUCAUGAGGAAUAUGCAUGUAGUGGAUAGUAGGUCAUGAAUGCGAGCUUUGUCUCGUUGUUAUUUACAUAAGGUACCGGAGUGUAGUUGAUUCUCUUUAGUAGAGUGUUGAAUCAACUUCAAAAUUGGAUUAUGAGGUAGUCAGUACUCCUAUGGGUCUCAAUGGUCCCCACUCUGAGCUAAUAUACCAUGAUGACACAAUUUAUGAGGGUUGGAUUGACUUUAGGUUCAUUCUUAUGCAUAAGGGCAUUUUGAUAAUUACACAAGGUUGCAUAGGGGAUAAUAAAUAAGGUCUCUAGAUUGGACUAAUUGAUUAAUUAGAUGGCCUUAUGUGGUUAAUUAAUCAAUUAAGACAUGUUAGGGCUAGAUUAAGUGACCCAAGCCUUGAUGGGUUCAAGUCACUUAAGCCUAAUGGGUAACCGUAUAAAUACCUCCUUAUGGGUUAGGGUUUUCUAAUGACUUUUAGUUAGUCAUCUUCCACUUUUAGAAAAAUAGAGAGAGCCAAAGCUUCCUCCUUUCCACUGCCCACACUUUGGUAUGCCAAGAUCGGGAAUCGAGUCAUCGAACAAAAGAUCUUAGGUGUACGAGACCUUUGAACUCUUUAGGCUUCUUCUUCGUUGGAUGGAUUUUGAUCUGGGAACAUCUAGAUCACAUGUAUGUGUUAUAAUAUUUGGUUAAUUCAACCUAAGGUAAUCACCCUAGAGAAGGGGUGAAUAGGGUGAUGAUUUUUUUUUGCAAAUUUAAAUUAUGUGAAUGCAAGAGACAAUUAUAUGCAAAAUAUAUGGCAAAACCAUAUAAAAACAAUUGCAUAUAAAGUAAAAGGUUAAGGAAGAGAGAAUAUAAACACAAGAUUUUUAUAGCGGUUCAGUGCAACCCGACCUCCAUCCAUUCUCUUCUAGCUUCAAUACUAAACUUGAGGUUCCACUAAUUCAAGGCUUCCAAUCCAAGCCUUCAAGUAAUACAAUUGGAUUAUGGUUCCAAUCAAACCUCUUGAAAUUUUAGUUCUAAACACAUUUUACAAUCUUCAAGAGAUACCUCACUCUUGAACAACUCCUUAAGUGAUACCUCACACUUGAGAAUCCCUAAGUGAUACCUCACACUUAGAUUUUUCAUCUCAAAGAUUUAUCCGCUCUGCACCCACCUCCCGAGUAUAUGCUUCAACAGGAAUCACACAAGGGUAGAUUGAUACAAUAGAAACCUCUGGUAAAAUGCCCGCUCGUAACCCAGCAGAUAAAGUACAUUACAUAGUCCGUUUUAGGGAUUGGCUACUUACCCAUUCAGUGACUUUGGCACUGGACGUUCCCAAAAUGGGUACUAUCGGGUCGGGUGAAUUCAAUAAUAGACGCCUGUUGGCAUUCCAGCCUUCCUUCUCCUUUCAGGGCCUAUCCGAAAGAGAAUCCAGUACUUCUUGGUCAAAUGAAGAUAGGAAAUUAUUAGCCUAAGGACUCUCCUAAUCGGGUUUUGAUGAUAACAAACCAUGAUUAAAUGACUAAUUGGUUUAAUGGUUAAGAAUCUCAAGCAUAAACUCGAAAAUUCAUCAAAUGACCAAAUGGAUACAAGAUCGAGACAUUUGGAAGACUUGUGAUCAUAGGAAACUAAUGUAAGAUGAAUGCAUGAGUGCACUUAGGAUUUUCAUACCGUUUCAUACAAUUUAGAAAACUCAGUUUAUUCUUUAAAACUUCAAUUUCAUUAAAACCCGAGUUUUAACAAUUGUACCUCAGGCAAAAUGUUUUAAAAUUGGCAUAAUAAUUCACCUAAAAACCUUGCCUAAGUGUUAGGAAAGAAAGGAAUUGAAAAAGAUAGGUUUUCGGGGCCAAAAGGCUCAACCGGUCGAGGCUAUGGCCAACCAACUCAACCGGUUAGGGAAUCGGUCGACUGGUUACCCUUGUCCAGUUGAGGUCCGAUCGAAGGAUGCACAAAAUUUUCUCUCUCUCCCAGUAGCCUUCUCUUCCCGGUUGAGGUUAUUCUCUUCCCUGUCGAGGUCCGGUAUAGGCAACGGUAACCUGUCAAGCAUUAAAUGCUCCAACGGCUAGCGAACCGGUCAACCCCUAGCUCGACCGGUCAAGGUUACCUUUUGUUGUUUUUGACUCCCGAGCUUAGAAACCUAUAAAUUGAGAGCUCCACUUCAUUUAUUGACGAGAUAACACUUGCAAUCAAUUGUCUACCUAUUUGUUCUUGAUCAGAAAGCUCUCAUUUCUUUCUUAGUACAUUAAAUCAUCACUUGCAUAUCCUUUAGUGCACUCUUGUGUGUCAUCCUAGAUUUGUCUUGUAUUUGAGCUAUCUUUAAGCUAGGUUGAGGGAUUCAUUCUUGUAAAAACCGAGUGUUAAAGCCUUCAAGAAGUUUAAAUCUUGAAGAGAUUGUGUAAGAGUCCAUUGGAGCCAAAAUCCAAGUGUAAGAAGAUUGGAAGUUUGGUUGAAGUUUCAAGUUAGUGGAACCUUCACUCGGUUAGGAGAUUGAGGAGACUGAACGUAGGCAAAGAAGUGUCGAACUACUAUAAAACCCGAGUUUGAAUUCUCUAACUCUAGCUCUUUAUUUUGCUUAUAUUGUGCUUGAACUCGUUGUGAUUUAAAAGAAUUUAAAAAACCCCUAUUUGGGUGUUUUUCUUAAUUAAGCAUAGCCUUUAUUUUCUCAUAAAUAAUCUUACAAAAUCUUAGUACAAACUUUAGCCUUAAAUGAUACAAAAUAAACUAGGAUUGAAUGGUGCACUAAUGAUAUGUAAGUUUUAAAACAAUGUGUACAAAAAACACUCCCCUAAAGCUCAAAUAUAUUCGAGAAAGGUUUAAGAAGGUUAAACUCUUGAAACAAUAAAUAUUGAAACCUUUUUAUAGAAGAGAAAAACCAAACUACCUGUUGGGGAUUCGUUCGAUCAAGCUCUGGUUCGACCAGUUCACUAGCCUUUAGCAUUUAAUGUAUGAUAGGUGACCAUUGGACCUUGACUACCCCUUGAUUGGUACUCGACCGGAUGAAGUUCAACCUUGAUUGAUCGAAUAAGCAUUCUGGAAGAGAGAUAAGGUUUUUGCACCUUUCAACCGAGUAAGCUGAAUAGGUCGACUAAUUUCUCAUUCGAUUCAACCGAUUGAGUCAUUUUUUGCUCAACAACUAUUAUUUUCAACUUAAAACCUUUUAAACAAGUUUGGAAAGCAUUUGACAUAAGGUUUUAGUUGAAAACAUGAAAUCAUCCAAUUUUUAAAAGAUUUAAAACAAAAUAACUCUUGAAUGAUUUUGGUGUAUAAGUAAAGAAUGUAAUGCAUGAAAAACCCAAUGCACCAACAACCUUACAAAGAGAUCCUAUGAGUCUUAGGUCUUGAAAAACACUUAUCUUUAAGGUCUUCUUCUUCUUAUUGAUUUUAUCUUUGUGAUUGCCACUUUGGAAAUCAUCUUGCCUAGUCACACUUAAAAUAUAAUCAUUAGUUCUAAAUCUUGUUUUGUUAUCAUCAAAACUAAGAUUAACCAAACCUUGGUUUCACAAUAUGAAUAUUGUAUCUCUAGAUCUAUAGUUAAUAGUGGUUUUUAUAGUCAUUUGUUUCCAUUGCGAUAAAUUUAGAGAAGCUUAGGGAUAGAUGAAUGCACCCUAUGAGAUCUAGGGCAUAGGAAUGGAGUAAUCCGGGGUUCCUAACAUAGUUUAGGCUUGUGCUUCAUGGAGUGAUAACAAUUCUUCAAGCAUAGUUAUGCUUUAGAAAUUUGUUAUUGAUUGGUCCAAUUUUUAGACCAUCUUCAGCAACAAUCUUGUGUGCACCAUUGAUAUAAUCUUGUUAUACAAAAUAUGAUCUAUCACAUUUUUGGCAAGAACUUUCCACUGGUUUUGUGCAUGGUAAUGAUCAUGCAUGCAAACUUAACUAAGUUAUACACUAGAUGCCAAACUACUACAAUUCUUAUACACCUUCCCGUUUUGUGCAACUGAACAAUUCAACAUCAUAACACCAAAGUUCUUGCUUAGAUUUCCUACAGUGCUAAAAUUUUGAAAUGAUUAAUUUGUUUAUUUUUCUUUCAAUCCCAAGACCCACAUACAUCAUGUCAUGCCCUAAGACCCACUCUAAGGGCAUGACAAUCAUUUCACAUCUCAAGGUCGAAAGCUCAAAGUGUAAAUUGACCUUAACAUUCAUUUUGUAACUGGAAAAUUAUCAAUUACCAAAUUCAUAUUUAUAGUAGUAGAAUAAAAUUCUACAAGUUUCAAAUCUCAACUUUAAAGUUAACACAUCAACUAAAGUGUUAUUGUCCAAACAACUUCAAACUUAACAAUUCAAGCAAUCAUUAAAUUCUAACUUUCAAAAAAUAUUUUUUAAAAAUAAAGAUUUAACGAAAAGUCUUAGUAUUGCCAAAAUCUCAUCCUAACCUUCACUCCUAGCCUGAAUUAAGGUGCCUAAAAAAUUGUCAAUGAAAGGAAAUGAGAUCAACGCUCAAUAAGGAAUAUUAAUAAGGUUUCAUGGAUCAAACAUUUUUAAUUAUAAUUCCAAAUAGGAGAUAUAAUAUAUAAUCAUUUUCAUAAGAAAUUUUGAGUUUAAAUAUAAUAAUAUAUUGAAAACUUUUCAGCUAAACAUUUUCAUAUCUAUGUCAAAACAAUUUCAUAUCAAAUUCAAAUCAAAUAUAUACAAAAUAUUUUUACUUUGGUUAUCAAAUGUCACAUGGUGUCAAGUUAGGUGGGACUUUACAAAUUGGUGUCUAACCUCAAAUUUUUUCCUUUCAAGGUGGACGAAACCAAACACUACUAGUAUUAUUAACAUCUAACCAAAUCCCUAAAGGGUGAGAUCUAAAGCAAUUACAUUCUCCGCCAAGAAAUAUAAGGUCAACAAUUAUAACUCGUUGACUAGGGACAAAAAUAAACUAGAGUCAAACACCUUAUUUCAUUAAUUCAAACUUGCAAAACAAAAACAUCAUAUCUCCAUAAUUUUCAUUUUUUAUAAACAAAAGAAAUGUUCUAACAUAGUUUUUUCAUGAAAAAUAUAUAUUUGAUCCAUGCAUAAAAAUAAAAAUAAUUUUUUUAUUAUUCAAAAUAACAUAUAAAAAUAAAUAUGUUCUUUUGGCCAAAACAUGUAUUAAUUUUUCUUACCUCAAAGAAACACUCAAAGACCUUGAAGCAAUUAAUCCUAAAGAAUUUCACCCCAAAAAACAUAUUUCACACCUUACUAAAAAAAAAAAAACAAAACAAAAAAAUUACUAUUGAUUAUUUAUCUAAUAAUAGUUUUGUAUUUUAUAUCACCUAUAUUAUUUUUAACUUCCUAAUAAAUAACAAUUUAAUAAGCGAUUUUCCAAAUUUUUAAAAGUUAUGUUCUUUCCAAAAUUUAUUCAUAAUAUUCUAUUAUUAUUAUUAUUAAUUAAAUCUCUCAAAAAUAUGUUUUUUCUAUUUAUUGCAUUAAACUAUUAUUAUUAUUAUUCAAUUUCAAUUUGAUUAAUUGGUUUUUUCUUUUAAAUUCCUAAUUUAUAUAAGAUUCUUGUUUUGAAAAUCUUCCAUAUUUACUUAUUUGUUUAAAGUAAAUUUCUCCAAAACUUGUUCCUUUUGGUUAAACAAGUAUCUUUUCCUAUUAUUAUUAUUAUUAUUAUUAUCCCUAAUAUUAUAUUCAAAUAACUAAACAAUAAUAAUUUAAAUUAGUGAGUUUCCAAAUUUUUAUAAAACUCAUAUUCAUUCUAAAUCUUAUCAUAUAUAUCAAUUUCUUUUAUAUACUUAAAUUAAAUUAAAAAAUUUACUUAAAAAAUAUAUAUAUUAUAUUAUUACUUUCAACAUCCUUCUACCACCCAAACAAUUACUUCAAGUAAAAGUCAUAUAUCCUUAUUCUACUAACUAUCCUCUCUCUUGCAAUAGCACACUUAGGGAUGGCAAUGGGGUGGGUUCGGGAUGGAUCGCCCCUAUCCCAACUCCUCCCCAUUUAUUCAAAAUAAUUUUCAUCCUCGUCCCAUUUAAAAAAUUAAAUGAGGCAGGGCGAGUAUGAUAAAUUCUCAUAUUCGCCUCGCCCCGCCCCGUUUAACUCUUUUUUGAAUUUUUUUUUAAAAUUACUUUAAAAAUUUUUAAUUACAUUAAAAUAAAUAUAUUUUAUAAAUAAUUAAAUUAUUAUAUUUUUUAUAACUUAUUUUAUUAAAAAUAUUUUAUUAUUAUCUAUAUAUUAAAAAUAGUAAAAUAAAAAUUAAAUUAAAUUAAUUUUAUAUAUAAUUGGGGUGGGACGGGAUGAGGCAAUACCCAAACCUGCUCCGGGUUUUAAAAAAAAUUCUCAAACCUAUCCCAAACCCGUUUAUUAAAAUUAAAUCUCGUCUCAUUAGGGACGAGGCGAGUACCUGAAAAAACCUGCCUCAUUGCCAUCCCUAGGCAAACUUUCAUUUUUUUUUUUUUUUUUAUCUUUUUCCUCCUUAAGAUCAAUCCUAUUGUAAGCACCCUUUUUUUUUCUACCACAUCUUGUUGCAAGCAACCUUGUAAGUUUUUUUAAUUUAAAUUUUUUUUCCACUAUGGAGGCACGUACAACCAUAAAACCUCCUCUUUUUUUUAUUUUAUUUUUACAACUCUCAAAUCUCUCAACCUCCAUACUAUUAGGUUUUAUUCAUUUAUUUAUUAUUAUUAUUAUUAUUAUUAUUAUUCCAUAUCCAAAACUAUAAUUAAUUUUCUUUUAUAUUUUUUUAUUUUAGAUCUAUUAAUUUGAAUAUUCGAAAUUUUCUAAUCUUACUAAUAACUCUAAACGUUCAAAACUAAUUAAUGAAUAUAAAAUAUUAAUCUAAGGAUUAAAAUCUUAUAUAGAAAAUUGAUCUUUAAAUCCUAAACUCCCAAAUUUUCAACCUUACGUUGCCCUAUGUUGUCCAAUCUCUUAGAUCUCCAUGUAAAAGGGUUUUUUUUUUUAAUAGAGUAAAUAAGAAAAAUUUAAUUUAUACCUAAAAUUUUAAAAUGGAGAAAAAUCUUUCUACCCUUAUUAAUUUAAUUAAUUUUUUUAAAUUAUGUUUUUACCCUUGAAUUGGGUCUGGGCAUCACACAUCAUACUAAAAAGUUAUCAAUAACCAUCCUUUGAGGCACAUUAGCAUAAAUUUGCGACUUUAGUUGUGUUCUAGGUGCAAUUCUAUUAUGUUUAAUUGAAAAAUAACACCCAUAGCACAACCAAGCCUAAUUGACAGCAUUUGGGCAAAUAAAUGGUAAAUUUCUAAAAGUUCACCAAAAAAAAAAAAAAACAAAAAAGAUCAUAAAGGGCAUAUUUUUCAAGUCAACCUAGUUUUGGGAUAUUGCAAUCCAAUCUAAGAAUGCAAUAAUAGCUCUUUAAUUCAUAAUUUUAAAUUCACAAAAGAUAUCACCUAAAAUUACUAUAGGUUACCAAAACAUCAACAACAUAUAGAAAGCUUAGAAAUGCUUGGAACCUAUCGAAUUUUCACUUUUUAGGAAUAAAAAAAAAAUGAACUUUAAGGAUUUUAGGGUAAUACUUGCUUGAACCAUCUUUCAAUCCUUUUGUUGGCGGUGGGCCUUUUACCUAUAAGAACAGGAAUGAGAGGUGAAAAGGAGGGAGCCUUAUGAAAACGGAUCCCUAGGGCUUAAGAAGGGGUUUUCAAUUUUAGGGUUUGUCUGUUCACCAAGGAUGUGAAUGGGAAGAUGAGGUGAAGUUAAGAGAUUGGUGAAGCAAAGUGAGGGCAUGGUAGGGUUUGAAUAAGGGAAAGUCUACACUAUUAAUGAAGAUGAUAAUCUUUAGAAAGCAAAGCUAAGGUAAACUAGGGCUUUAACAACAAUUUUCGAUCUACACUAGUGAAGACGAUAUCUUCGAAAACCAAAGCUAAGGCAAGCUAGGGCUUUAAUAACGAAUUUCAAUCUACAAUGGUGAAGAUGAUAAUCUUCGAAAACCAAAUCUAUAAUGGUGAAGAUGAUUAAAAACUAAAUCUAUAUUGGUAAAGACGAUUGGAAAGCAAAUCUACACUAGUGAAGUCAACGAAACCAAAGGUAGGUAAAAAUAAUAAUAAUAAUAAUGCAUUCUUAGAUCCAAAUCACCAUUUCCAACAUGGUAUUUGGAUUUCCACCUUGUAUUUUUUGUUUUUAAUUUUUUCAAUAAUCAAGGACAUUUUAGGGAUUAUUAAGUGACAAUAUUCUUCAACUCAAUUUCCCACAUUAGUUAGGUGUAAGGCUCAAAUGUGAAACUCAUAUAGAUGUUAGGCCAAUCAUCAAACUCAUUUGCCUUGAAGCAUAAUUUCCCCUUUUUAAAAUAGUUGUUAAACAUCUAUCCCCAACACUUGUAACCCUUUGAAGUGCUUGUAUGUUAACCUUGUUUCCUUUUUCUCAUGAAACAUGGCUUAUUGAUUGUUGCAUUGAGUCAUUAUCAUUCACCAAAUCCAUGCAACUAUGAACUACCUUUCAAAUCCCUCGAACAUAAAUGGUAAUUCCAAAACAACUCAAGUAUAAUCUUUCCAAGCCCUUCAAAUGAUUUAAUUAAUUGAUGUUUGAAUAUACUUCAUAUAUUUUUUUAGAGCAAUUUUUUAGGCAUAUAACAUAAAUCUCUAAUUUCAUUUUAUUUUUUUUAUAAAAGGUUUUAUAUUUUAUAUUACAAUUUCCUCUCUUUUUUUUCAUCUAAAAAAAAAAACAUAAAACCUUCGUAAACGAGUUUUGUCACAAUCCCUUAACAGGUAAUCUAUUUUUAAAAAUUACUUUAACAUUUUUAGAUAUAUUGAUUCAGUCUAAUUUAAUUUUAAUAUUUUUUAUAAAAUAUUUUUAUUUUAUAUGAUUAUAAAUUAAUUACUAUUGAUUGCAUAUUAUAGAAUAUAUAUUCUAAAAUAUAUCCUAUUCACAAUAAUAUCAUAAGAUAUUAUAUCCAUAUCCUAACAUAUUAUAUACUUUUAUUUUGUGCAAUUAGCAACAGGGUGGAAGACGGCUUAGGCGGGAGACGGCUUAACGGAAAUGCCGUCUGCCAUGCGUGUCCCUUCCCUUAGUGAGUCUGAACAGCUCCAACAUUUCCGACACGCCCUUCUUCGCUUAGCUCUUAAGUAUUUUCGUCCCGUUUUCAUUAACCCCAUCACAUUUCGCCAUGUGGAUCUAAGCCUCAUGGUCCUUUCGUUCGUACGAUGAAUAUUCCCCCAAUUCCUUAUCUACACUAAACCUCCAUACUCGCCAUCUACUCAACCACUUCUCUACUCUAGAGUCUGGAUCCUUUAUCUCUGCACGUGUCUAUGGCUCUUCACCCCAGCAAGUAUGGCAUUACAAGGGCAAUAUCGUCAUUAAAGACCCAAAAGGCAAACGAAUGGCAUUAUCUCCCUUUUGGGUCUAUUCUAUUUAUAUUGUAAGUUUUUCGUGAUGACUUCUCUCAUAACAGCUAAAAACCACUCCAACAGAGCACACUUCACUUCUUCGUUUUUGUCUUUCCUCUUUUUUUUUUUUAGAGAAGCUGAGAAAGCCCAGCUCGCCCUCAACUCCCCGAUGGGUUUGAUGAAUGUUCUCAAAUUCUCAGCUGCAUGCUUUGAUCUUCUUGGUUGGUAUGUUGUCUACGCAUUUUCUCGUCAUUGGAAAAUUUUGGAAAAUGAAGUGGAAUUCUAUGUUUGAGGAGAAACUGGGAUUUGCUUUGAUUUCUCCAUGUUGGUUUUAUCCCUUUUGUUUGAAUUGUCCAGAUUCUUGUCAUUGAUUGUUAGUUAUUUGUUUGGAUUUCUACUUGCAGGCCUCUGUUUGCACUGGGUUAUCCUCUGUAAGUCUUGGUCUUACACCCCAAGAUAUGAUGGUUCAUUUACUCUUUUCUUGUUCUAUGAAUUCUUAGUUCAGUUACAUUUAUUGGGUUGGGAAACUGAAAAGGGAAAGGAUUAUUAGUUAUUAUCAUAAUAAUCAUCAAUAUCAUCUCGGUUCUUCACAGAUGUGCUUCAAUUCGGGCAAUUGAGACUAACUCAAUCUCAGACGUUCGGAAGUUGGUGGCGUAUUGGGUUCUAUUUUCCUUGAUUUCACUCUUUGAUCAUACUUUUGCCAAGCUCCUUGAAUGGUAAUUUUGCUCAACUUCAUUCUUUGCCCUUCAGGAAUUUGGAGUUGCUUUUUUCAGUUUUCUUCCUUGUGACAAUAAUCGAGAUGUUUAAUGUUCCAGGCCUCCAUGUAUUUUAUUUUCCUUCACUUCUCUGCUUUGAAAAAUGCCCACAAUCUGAUCAACAGAAAGGUUAUAACAUUUGAAAAAGAAAUGCUUUGUUUUGGUUUUUUAAGUGCAACAAUUUUCAUUUGGAGAAAUGAUCUAAAGGGUAUUGGUGUUUGGCCGAAUUCAUGGAAUUUUCUCGCUAAUUUGGGAUUUAUUCUCAAUUUCAAGAUCACUGUGGAUAUUUCAGAAAUUAAUGAAAUAUAUAUGAUGGAAUGUGAUUUUCUUGUUUAAGAAAAGUUUUUCUUUGAAAAUGUGGGUGACCCCAACCUACCUUAUUGUACUACUUGGAACACAAAACAAAAGUUUUUCUCGCUAAUUUAUUAACUAAAUUGCACACUUUUUGAUAGUUCAAGGAAGUGGUGUCAGCUUUGGAAAUAAGAUGGAUGAUUGUAGGGAACUUUAUUUCUCAUCUUUAUAGGGAACUUUCCAUAAUAUAGCUUAUAAAUAUCAUAAUCACAGUGAUGAAUGAUUGUCUUGUUUGAAAGCAUGGUUGCACUUAUUUCCAGGGAAUUUGUCUGCGUUGAAAUUAAAUUAAGCUUUAUGCAUCAUUUGGAUGCUGGGAAACAAAUGGAAAUAGAAAAUUCAGAAUCUGACAAGUUUGUGUAGGGCAACUGGAUCUAAUCUCUUAGUCGAAGCUUAAUAGGGGCAAAUGCUGAUCAUCUUUGAACCUAUUGAAGGCUCUAAUCUGUGCACAAUUCUAAUGUUUUUGUUUUCUUCAUUUCUUUUUCAACUUUUCAUAAUAGAUGUCAAAAGUUAAAACCGAACUUACGUAGUCCAUCCAAGUGGAUGCAUAUAAAUUUAACAGAAACUGAAAUUUGAAGAAAUUUAUUUUCCCUUUUGUAAAUGGUGUUUAAAAAGUCUGUGUGUAGUUUGGUUUUUUUCCUGGAAGAUCAGAUGAUUUCGUGAUCAUUUUUUCUAUUUGCCUUAUCAUCAUGAGAUUUAAGUAUUUUUUUUAAAAAAAUAUUUUAUUUUCUUAUAUAAUGCAUGUCAGGAUACCAUUCUGGCCUUACAUAAAGCUGAUGGUCAUCUGCUGGCUGGUGAUACCGCAUUUUGAUGGUUCCUAUUAUAUCUAUCAAUAC